Molecule: long non-coding RNA, 112771 nt
Filed under: Brassica napus (rape)
Lineage: Eukaryota; Viridiplantae; Streptophyta; Magnoliopsida; Brassicales; Brassicaceae
Description: long non-coding RNA (BNAP_LNC011779)
Source: RNAcentral
AAAAUAGCAUCUUUCUAAGUUUCUCCUUUGAAAAUUUUAAUUUUUUUAUUUUUCAAAAUUUGAAAUCUUAUCCCCUAAACCUCAUUUCUCAACUCUAAACCCUAAACCCUAAACCUUAAACUCUAAACCCUAAACUCUAAACCCUAAACCCUAAACCCUAAAAUCUAAACCCUAAACCCUAAACUCUAAACCCUAAACCCUAAACCCUAAAUCCUAAACCCCACCCUUUAACUCUAAACCCUAAGUUUGUGACUUUCGAUAAAACAUUAAGUGCUAUUUUUGUGACUUUUUACCUUGAGUGCUAGUUUGGGAACAUAAACUUGAUUUAGUGCUAUUUUUGUCUUUUUCUCUUUUUUUUUUGUUCUAAAAAAACCUUUUAACAUUUGUAAACACUUCGACGUGUUCGCACAUUUUUCAGCUUGAUUAAAUUUUUCUUUUACCCUUCAAAAUUUAUUAGGAAAAUUAGAGCAUAUGACCUUAAGAGAUUAUUACAAAAACUAACCAUAUCAACAUAUGUGCUACAAUAUAUUACUAGAUCUCGAUCCGCGCAACCGCGCAAAUUUUUGUUUUCAUUUAUUUUUAUAUAAAUAUUUUGUUUUCAAUUCUAAAUUGGUAUAUAUUAUAAUAUAUAUGUGUUUAUCAAUUUUUAAAACAUAAUAAGUUUACUGUAUAUUUUUUUCAUUGAAUAGAUUGUUUCAAACUUUAACAUGUUUAAAAAAUAUACAGUAAACUUAUAUAUAUUUUCGGAUUAUUAUUUCAUUAUUAAAAUCGUAACUAUAUAUAUAAAGAUUAGUAAAAUAUUAUUUUAUUGUCAUAUUCAAAGAUAUUGUAACAUUUCACAAAUUUAGAAAGUUUUUAAAAAAUUAAACUUUUCGCUUCAUUGAUUUAUAUUAUCGAGUAAAUAAUUAAAAAUUUAGUUUUUGUUUAAUUUUUAAAUAAAUUAUAUAGUUUAAAAUUUGUUUUCAUUGGUUUAAGGUAGUAAAGAUUAAUCAUUGUUAGAUAAUAUGAUUUUUGUUAUUUAAAAAAAAAAUCUUUAGAAUUUUAAAAGUUAACAUCGACAAAUAUUUAAAUAUUUAGCAUAUAAAGGUAUAGUAUUACAACAUUAAAUUAUAUCUAUUUAAUUUAUAUUAUCUAUAAAUCCAAUGGAUCAUCUAUUAUUUAAAUUCAAUUAAUGAUAGCCCAAUAAAAUUUUUUGGUAGGCCAAAAAUUUAAAUGAUAAAAGUAGAUAUUAAAUGUAAUAUGAUUUUCUAAGAAUAUGUAUAUUAGGUCAAUUUUAAAAAAAUCACAUAUGAAUUAAGCUUGUUAUUUCUGUUUUAAUAUAUAAGAUAUGUGUGUACAAACACAGACAAAAAAAAUAUCAGUGGUGAAAUUUAGUGUUUAGGAUCGUAGUUGAACAUAAAAAAAAAAACUAAUUCAUAAAAUAAAGAAAAAAUGAAAUCGAUGAUAAUUGUGAAGGUGUGGUUCAAUUGAUUUUGCUGAGGAACAUGUCGAUCGAGUGUGAAUGUGAAAUUAAGGUUACAGCGGUGCUAGACAGAGUACAGCGGUGCUAGACAGAGUACAACGGUGCUCGGCAGAGUACAACGGUGCUCGGCAGAGUACAACCGCGCACGAUAGGAAGAAACUAGUGAUGAAGAUUUAAAUAUGGUCAGAUCAGAGAUAGUAAAGUUGUACCUCAGAUCCAAUGGUAAGGAAAACAAUAAUGGUGAUUUUAAAGACGAAUAAUUUUGCUUUGUCGCUAAUUAGACUUUACCAAGUAGUUGUAGUUCUGGCGGUGAGUAUAAAUAACGUAAAGAAGAUGAAAUGUAAUUGUACAUAAUGUGCCAUACUAUUUUAUCUAGAUAAAUCUAUAAUAUAGUAUACAAUAGAUUGUGGAGUUAUUACCCAGUGGGCCUCCGACGGAUAGGGUAUCGGGGUAAUUUUGAGGUAUCUCGAUCCAGAUUCUUAUCCGGUGGAUCCAUAAUUUUACUAUCUUUAUUCGGAUUCCGAGUUCUCGGAUAUCCGGACGUCGGAUAUCUUUCUAAAUAUUGUAAUAUCCGGAUCCGGAUUUAGAUCCUUAAAAAAAAAUAUUAAUAUAUAUAUAAAAUAUUAAUAAUAAUUUAAAAAAUAUAUAUAUAUAAUUUCUUUAAUUAUUUCUAAGUAUAAUAUUACAGAAUUUACAUACAAUUUAUAUAUACUAUUAUAAAAAUGAAAAUAUGCUAAAUAAAAUUAAUUUUUACAUAUAGAUAUUAAUAUUUUGAAAUAUUUAUUAAUAAAACUUACGGAUCCAGAUAUUCGGACUUAAAGAUUAAGAUAUCCGGAUCCGGAUCCGGCUUUGACGGAUCCAACAUUUUACUAUCCAGAUCAAGAUUCAGCCUCUCUGGAUAUCCGGAUUUUUGGAUCAGAUCCGAAUCGAAUCUCGGAUCGAAUCCGGAUUUCGGAUAAUAGUCCCAUGCCUAGUUAACACACUAUAUAAAAUAAAUACUGUAUAAUAAAAUAUGCUUCUAUAUCAUUUUGAUAAUGGUUAUCUUAUUUAUCAAUAUAGAGACAUAUUUGUUAUCCCAACCACUGCUAUUGCUAAUGUCAUUGAACCUAUGCGUCUACCAAUUAAAUCUAAAAUAUCCUCCUCUCCUCCAUAUACAAAGAUCAGAGAAGAUGAAUAAUUGACUUUUUAUAUGUUCUAUUUUAUUAUAAAAUUAUAAAACAGAAACAUAAUACAUUUUUUGAGUCAAUUGGCUCAAAACAUAUAAACAUCACCACUAUUGGUUGUUUUCUUGCUGUCAUCAAUUUUCUUUUCCACCAUUGUUAUCACUGUUUAUAAACCUACAUAAUAGAAAUGCAAUACAAUAUGUAUUAUAUUUUUUGUUAUGUUAUUACUAUGAAUCUAUCGUUCGAUAUUAUUUAUUUCGUAAAUAAUAGUAUAGUGUAUAUAAUUAGUUAAUUUUAUUAUCAUGCAAGGAAAAGAGAGAUUAGUCCACAUUCGCCCGAAAUUGUCACAUCUCAAGAUCACUUUAAUAUAUGGUUAAUUGGUAAAAAAAAUUUGCCUAUGUGUAUUUCACUAAUUCACCCAAUUUAUAACUACAUAUGUCCUUUUUGAGCACCUAACUACAUCUGUCCAAAAAAAUAUACUUUAGACCCUUUUCACAACGAUACUUUUUAAUAUAUUCUUUUUCUUUCAUGUUUUUAUUAAUUUUUAUGUAAGUAAAAUUUAACUACUUUGUUGUGUGAUGAUGUAUAGUUCUUUGUAUCUUUCUUUUUUCUGAAAUCUAUUUUCCUAUUUUUUUAUUUUGAAUAAUAAUUUAAAACUAUUUAAUCUGAACAACAUCUUAUCUAUCUAUAACAAUAAAGUAGAGGUUAGUCUCUCCUCCUUACGCCAAGUCACCAUGGAGAUAGGGGCUUUGCCGACACGUGUCAGCACCUGGUCGAUCUGCGUUUUUUUUUCCGACCCACAAGCGCAUUAGGGUUUACCCCAUUUUCUUCUCGCGGCGCGAACUCACCAACGAAACCACUGUUCUGUUAACUUUAUCGUCAAAAGAUAUCAUCAUUUUGAUCUCAAUGAUUCCAUUAGAACUUCAUAUCGUCUCAUCGGAGGAUUAUUCAAAUCCAAAAGAUUCCAUUUUUCUCAUUUUGGUAUAUGAUUUUUACAAAGCAAAUAAAAGAAAGAAAAAUUAGGUUUUAAUAUAUUUUUAUAACUUCUCUAUGUUCAUUCCGAUUCCAGAAUGCGAAGAUGACGACUUCCACGAAGAAAGACAGCAAAACAGAGCAACACCAAGCAGCGACGGCGGCUCUUCCGCUACUCCAAGUCGCCGCCACAACCGCCGCAGUAACGAGAACUACCAACACACUCUAACGCCUCUCCACCACAACGGAAAUAGAAAACGACAUGACUCCGACGACGAAUACGGAGGAGCAGUCUCCUGCAACAAGUGUCGUCCUCACCACUCUCACCGCGACAAUUCUCCGUUGUGCCUCUAGAAAGCCACAACAACAACAACCCUUCCUUCAUCUCAAGCCCCAACCUCAUAAUCAAAUCCACCUUCCAAUCGGAGAAGCCCCAAACCCUCUUCCGCCGCGGUCUUCCUCCUCCUCCGCCUCCGUCGCAGACGCUUCCAGAGAAGAGCAGUGGCGGUUAGCCGUGGCGGAGCUUUCUCAUAAACUGAUCCAAGCCACGAAGAAGAAAGAAGACGCCGUCACGGAAGCUUCUCGGUUGAAAACGUCCAUGACGGAGCUAGAGAAGAAGCUCAACAAGCUCGAGAUCUACUGCCACAACCUCAAAUCGGGCCUCGACGAGUGCAGCAGCAACAACAAGAAACAGAGCGUCCCUGUUCGGUUCAACGAUGGGAUCAUCCAGCAGUUCCUCGUCUCGGUGCUCUUCGAUCAGAGCCCUGAGCAGAGCUCUCGCGUCGUAGACUCGCAGCUGCGUACCGUCGGUGGGAAAGUCUACGAGCGGCUCUCUCUCCACCUCCAGUCUUUCGAUGUCAAGAUCAACUCUUUCGCGAAGAACCCGAAAAGCCUGAUCUUUUACCUCGAAGCGAUCCUGAGCAGAGCCUUCUUCGAGAACUUCGAACUUCGAAGCUUCCGGGUUUUCAGAAAAUGGGUCGACCCGGAUUUUGAACCCGAGUGAUCGUUGCGAGUCCAAUUACGCUUCGUUUAACGUCUUGAUGGAGCUCACGUGGGACGAGGUGUUGAGCAGAGGAACAAAGCAUUUCUCUGAGCAGUUUAGCCGGUUCUGUGACCGGAAAAAUGAGUGUCACGUCGCUUCCAUGCUUUGCUGGAACCGAGCGUGGCCUGAACCACUUUUACAGGUAAAGUAGUUAACCGAACAGUUUAUUGGAUUAUGAUUUGGUUUAUUGGAAACCAUUUAAACUGUUCUUCUUUUUCUUUUGUAGGCUUUCUUUGGUGCGUCGAAGAGUGUUUGGUUGGUUCAUCUCUUGGCUAAUUCGCUGAACCCGGGUUUGCAGAUUUUUCGUGUAGAGAGAGAUGAUCGGUUUGAUCCGGUUUACAAGGAGGAAACUGGUGGGGACAGGUAUAAGAGUGUGGUUCGAGCUAUGGUUCAACCUGGGUUUUAUGUGUAUGGCAGUGUAGUUAAGUGCAAGGUGGUUUGCAAGCAUUGCGGCAGCGACUAGGAAGAGACGAUAAGCAUUUUUAGCCCAUUAGGAGUCUAAUUUACGUUGAUUAAGGAAUUAUAAAAUUGGUGAGUUUUGAUUUGUUUUGUUUUUGCAACUUGUACUUAAAAAAAAUGGAAUGAUCUUUGCAAGUAAAUAUUUUAAAACUGGCUCUUUUAAAAAAUAACGUUUUUGUUGGUUUUUUUUCAAACUGAUUUAAUAAAAAGUCUAUUGGUGUUUUGUUUGAUUUUCUUUUUUCUUUGGCAAGUUACUUCUGCUCUUUCACAUGCUGGUUUGGAGCCCUCGAAUCUGGUAUUGAUGUCCCCAAAAGAAACAAAUGGACAGGUUAGACAAGUUAUGAUCUUUAUGUAUAGCCAAUCUUUAAGUUUAGAUUUAAAGUAAUCUACUCCGAUAUGAAAGGUGACUGGUGAUUUGAUUUAGGGGUGAGAUUAUUUGGUAGGAAUAGCCUGCAUUACAUUGGAACAACUCCAAACCCUUAUCAACAAGUUAUUUUCAUCAUUGGAAAGACUUUAUUUGUUUUCGUUGAAUAUAACUUGAUCCCAUGUUAUUGAUUCGGUUCGGAGUUCGUAAUAACCUCAAAGAUCUGGUGUUUUAUCAUUUAACUGCCAAGUUUUUAUUUGGUCUGUGGUUACAGAAAAAUUAGUUUCUUUGGUUUUGACUUUCCAGCUACAACACAUGAUCAAGCUGUCUUUAGUUUCAAUUCCAAUAAUACAUAUUUUGUUACGGGUUUGAAGAAGUUCUCAUGUGUUACAGCGAUAUUGUUCCCCAACUGCGCCUUGCAGUUUGACAACUGUCUGUGUUCUUACACUUCCUCUACUUUUUUUUCUUGAUUUUUUCUGGUUUUGUAACAGGUCUGACAUCUUUCACUUAACUCUGCUGUCUUUAGGCAUUUGCUAGGUGAGCCGGUAUGGGAGUGGAUGAGCUUGAGCAUCUAGAAAUUCAAGUAGAUACAUCAAUAAGGCAAAUAAGAUCCACAAAAGGUAUACACAAUUUCAAGAAAUUACAAGCUUAUAUCUGAUUUGGUCCAAAGAGAAUUUAGAACAAUACCAAAUCUUGGAUUUGUUUUCUCAUUGCCAGGCCCGAUCAAUGUUUGAUCAACUGUUUGACCUCAAAACAAAGGUACAUAAAGAUCCUCACAAAGUUCAAUAAUCUCAAUACAACCCUCAUUGGAAACAACAUAGAUCUUAAGAGAAAGUUAGUGCCAUCAAAAUCUUAUAGCCCAAGAAAUUAAAUCAUUUGAGAUCUUUUACAACAUUGAUGCCUUUCUCUCUCUAUCUAUCUCAGUUGGGGGAAAGUGAUGCAGACCUUAAUCGAUCACUAUGUGGAGAUUCUUUUUCCGCAGAACAUCAUCAACGACAACAAUAAGGCAUGAGCCCUUAUCAAGCAAACGUUCCGAGUAAGAAGUGGGUUUCUUCAGACCUUUACUGGGCAAUGUAACACCGCAAAUGAGGUAUUCAUCACAGAGAAACAGUAAAGACCCAAUGAAUUGACUUUUUUAUGGUCAGCUAGACUUAUAAUUGAUUUUUAUGGAACGAUCAUUACAGUCACUGGUGUGCCUAAUGCAAGCCACUCUGCAACAUCACAUAAUGUUAUUAACAGGUUCUUCCCUGGAUGGAUGGUCUGAAAAAUACAUAGCAAUCUAUACGUAUCUGUGUUCUAUAGAUAACAUAUCAUAGUUGUGCCAUUUGGUUUUUCCAAGAGAACAAUAGUUCAUGAUUACAAAACACUGAUAUAGUGAUAUAUAAUUAAGGCUGUAAACACUCCGUUCUUUCUUUUUGCUCCUAAAAUACAUAAAUAUUUCUGAACUUUUUAAAAUACAAAAUUUUGUAGGAGCAUUCUUUUAAUUAUUUUUAAAAUAUUAUUGAAACUUAGUUGGAUUAUGAUUAGAUUCUCUGGAUUAGAAUUAAAUGGUGAAGCAAGUUCUCUGCAUUUUUAUAUCUAUCAAGGUAUUAUUGAUUUUUUAAGAUGUGUUUGUACAUAUAUAUAUUCACAUGUAGUGAAUUGAAUUCCAAAUAAUUGGCUUCUAAAACUUCCCAUUACAGCACACUUUUGAAAUCAAUUGGAAAGUAAACUAUAUUCUAACAAUCAAUACUUCGAAAUGCAUACCCUCGCCGCUUUGAAAAUAUAUUUUAACAGAGAUCAAGUAGGUAAUAUUCCACACAGAGAGACCACUAGAGCAGUCUCAGAAGAAUAACUUUAUCAAAUCAAUUGCACUUGGAAUAUCAAGUGUUAAUCCUGUUUUGAUUUCGCAAAAUAAGUCACAAUUUCCCAUUCUCUCUGGCUCUCUCUAUACUUGAAAUAUUGGAUGCACUUGAAUGGAAAACAUAUAAACAAUAAUAUAUGCACAAGGUCUAUUCAUGGAGUGAGAGUCACUUGACUGACCAAUUAUAGAUAUAAAAGAUCAACAAUAAUACGUUACUGGUCCAACAUAAAUAAUCCCUUUGACACAUGCUAUAAUUAUAAGUAAAUGGCAAAACUUAUUUUUGUUAUUUAUGUGAAAUAUAAAAAAUUAUGUUCUACAAUACUUUUUCCCUUCUGCUAACAAAAAAAAAAGAUUUUCCGAUUAACACUAUACAAAAACAAAACUCGAGAAGAUAAAAAUGCUAGAUUAGCCAAAAACAAUGUGAUUAGCCAAAAAAAUGUGAUUUUAGUAUUUGGUUAAGAAUUUUUUUGAUAAAAGCAUUAUUAUAGACACCCACAAUCACGGACAAGAUACAUUCAGAUAUACCACAAUCAAAUAUAAAAUUUUAACACACAAUUAAAAAUAUAUUAAAAUACUGUACAUAUAAUUUCAUACAAACGCAAAAAAGGAAUGUAUUUCCAUUAAAAAUAUAACUGAAAUAAGUACUGAAAUUAAAUUAAUACAAUGUCAUAAAAUAUAGUUGAUAACAAAUAAAAAUCUAAACACGUAAGAAAUUACAAACUAAGGUCAAAUGUUAAAAUAAAUAUAUAUAUAUAUGACCUAAUUAGAAAAUAAAUUAUAUUUAUUAUAUUUAAUUUAAAUUAAUUUUUUAAUGUUUUAUAAAAUUAAAAUACAUUUUUAACAUAACAUAAUUUUAAUGUAAAAUCACCCGCCCGUAGGGCGGGCAAACCCCUAGUUAGCUAUAUACGUUGGAUAAGUUGUGUAAACAAACUACUAUGCAUGAUUUAGUAUUUUGUGAUAGAAACAUGAAUUGUGUCAAUAGUUAUUAUAUAGAUAUUUUAUCACAAUCUCAAGACUUAAUGAUACCUGUGUUCAUCAGGUUGAAUCGUUUUUUUUUCCAUCUUUUAUUUUAGAAUUGUGUAUCUACUUGCUUCAUAUGAGUCGCUUGUCCAGUCACAUUCUAACUACAUAUGACUAGGCACCAAACAACCCAACAGUGAUCUGCCACCGACCCACGCCAUUCGUCAAAGUUUCGAAACAUGACCGCUUAUGUAGCUUUAUAAUAUUUCUUUCUUUUUUCUUUUCUCUUCCUGCAAUGAAACCACAAUGGGUUUGUUCUGGUUUAGUUUAGUCUGGUGUAUAAGCAAGAAGAAAUUCAAAAUAUUGGACAUGAUAAAACCAAAAUCAGUAAUGGUACUUCAUGUGAGAACCUUUGGAAACAUUUCUUCUUCUUGAUACCUUUACUUCACCAUUCCUAAUUCUAUUUCUCUGACGUAUCUCUUACGAUUUGCCAUUCAACACCAAGCACUUGUUCUACCAUUUAUCUCAUCGAGUUGCCACCAUGCUCGUCUUUAAGUAACAAGAAACCAAUUCAAUAUUUCCCACUAGGUCAAACCAUCUCCAUCUCCCUCUAAAUGAGCCUAUUCGAUCCCGAACUGCGUAUCAAUGUGAGUAGCCAACAGUGUAGGAGCAAUUAGUGAUAUAGCGUCUAUAGUUUCUUUCUCGCCACAGUGAGUGCACCGUUUCUUAGAAUAUUGAGUGCGGCUAAAAAACGGUUUUGCAGCCAUAAGAAUAGUGAUUCAGAUUUUGUAGCCAUUCACUCGAUUAACACGAUCCAAAGAGGAUGGUUAAGUCGGAUAGGUUAAAUUGUUACCGGUGUAGUGGACUUUUUGAAAGUCUACAGUGAUAUUUUUGUUGUUGUUUAUUCUUUACUGUUUCAGUAGUUUUAAUAUAUGAUUUAACAAUUUCUUUCUUCAUUGUCUUAAUAGUAUUAAUAUAUGAUUUUAUAAUUUUUUAAUCCCUACAAAAAAACUAAAAAUAAUUUAAAAUUAAUUUAACUUUUGUAAUCUCAAAAUUUAGUAGACUACAUAAUAAGUUUACUAUACCCAAAAUCAAGUAAUUUUAGUGUAGCUUAGGUGGUUACGACUCCAGAGUAUUGGUACCAUCAUUAACUCAUUGUAAAAGGCAAAACAAACCUUCUUCAAGUCAUUUCCUCCCUUGGCCAACCUAUAUUUAUAACUAAAGAGAUAUUCCUGCGGGACUGAGCCCUCAUGCCAUGUCGGUUCAGCUCUUGUAGGACCGACUUUUGAGUGUUGGUAGUUAUAAUUAAAGAGCUACUUGGCCCUGAUCCAUACAUUGCAUUUAGUAGAUAAUUGUGGACUGAUCUGCAAAAAAAAAACUGAAAAGGAAUAAGACAGCUUUAAAUAGAACAUAAAAUCAAAUUUCGCUUAAUAUAUAUAUAAAUUCUUUUUCGCUUUUUAGCGGAUAGAGCCGGUGUUGUUCUAAACAUUGAUAAUAUCACAUAAUACAUAGAAGUCAAUAUAAAUAAUACAGAUCGUUAAGUUCUAAACGUAUAGAUAAAGAUAAUGCAAAUGGUUGACACCUUAGAGUAAAAACGAUCAAAAUCAAACAAAAAAAAAAUUAUUAUAUUUAGUUAACCGGUUCUAAAUCAAACAAAACAAUAAUCUAGUAUAAAUGUUCUGAACUAUAUAAAACUAAUAAAUAUGAAAAUUAUAAACAGAUUUGAUUUCAAUUUUUGUAAUCAUAGAAUGAAAACAAAAGAACCGAGUUUUGUACCCCACGUUUCUCCAUGGGGAAGUGAAGAAUAACAACAUCAGAAUGAGGAACAAAAGAGGUCCCUGGGAGAGAUACCUUGCCAAGGAAGGAAUGUCCAUAAGUAGGUCUGUUUUGACUAUAAGCAUGACCUUCAAGAGUGAGAUAGUGAAGCCCAAUUUAAUGACGGAUUAAAGAAUCCGGAAGACGUUAUGGCUCGAGAAGGGGGUGGUGUUUCGUCGGUGUGUGGGUUCGACGAAAAAUCAGCCGGAAGAAGAAGAACGAUGAAGAUCCCUAAUUCAAAUGGGCCACAAAUAGGAAACGGACUCAAUUUUUUUAAAAAAGGAAGUGAUGCCCAAUUCUAACCAGCAUUUCACCGCAACAGAACGGAUCGCGCGUGAACGGUAGGGAUAUCAACGCGUGAGAAACACCAUUAUCACAGAAUGUCGACACGUGUCGCGAAAUGCCUCAUCUCCAUGAUGACGUGGCGCAAGGAAGAGAGAGUAUAGUCUACUUUAUUGUAUAAGAUUUGGUAUCAGAACCAAUCUAGUUGUAUUCUUUACGAGGAAUAAUUUACGUGUACUUAGCGAGGAUCACACACGAACUCAAAAAUCACACACGAACUCAAAACCACACACAAACUCACAAAUCACACACGAACUCAAAAAUCACACCCUAUCUCAAAUUACACAACUCAGCAAAAUGCUUUUCAAAUUAGAAAUAUUUGAAAAAAAAAGGAAGAGAAGAAAGAUAUUGGAACACAUGUGGGCUAGACUUACGUAAGUCUCGCCACAUGUGAUUCCAGUAUCUUUCUUCUCUUCUCUUCUUUUUUUUUUCUAGUUUUUAUUCUACGAGGAAUUAGCAAGGCCAGCUUUUUUUUGGUUACUAGGUAUUUACGACGAUUUGCGCUUACGUGAAAUUAACGAGCCCCGCGUUCUUUAUUUUUAUAUUUCGUCGUUAUUUCCUCGUUGGCUUACGAGUGCUUUAUGACGAUUUCUUCUUACGUGGAAUUAACGAGCCCCACGUUCUUUAUUUUUAUAUUUCGUCGUAAUAUCCACGUUUAUUUAUGAGGAAUUAACGAGUAUUAUGUUUAAAUCCCUAAAAUCCGAAACCCCAAACCCCAUCUUCCUUAUCUUCUACUUCAUAUAUUCCAAACCCCAAACCCAUCUACCCUUUAAACUCAAUAUAUUCUUUCACCUCAAUCUAUUCUUUCCAUUCCAAACUCCAUUCCUUAACUUAUUAUCUCAAUAUCUUAUUUAUAAAACAAACUCCCACAUUACCUUACACAAAAUCAAAUACAUCAAUCCGAUACAUCGACAUUCUCGUCAUCACUAGAAACAUCAUCAUUUUCAUUAAACUCGUCUUCAACAGCUUCCUCUGUGGCAUCGUCGGUAAGAUUUUCGUACUCGUGAUUAUGCGGAUCAAUGAGAAGGAUGUCAUCAAUUUCUUGUCCAGGUUCCUCGACUUCAUUUAUCUGUUCUUCUUGCAAUGGUGGUUCUUCUCCACUGAUGAUUCGUCCUCGAGGUGUAACUUUGAUCACGACUAACCAAUUUAUACACGAAUCUCUCAUCCGAGGGUAUGGAAGGAAGAUAACUUGGUCUGCUUGUGAAGCUAAGAUGAAAGGCUCGAAUUUGUUGUACCUUCGUCCACCGUUGGCAACAACUACACCGAAUUUGUUAAACCGAACACCUCUGUUGACGACGGGGUCGAACCAUUCACAUUUGAAGAGGACGCAUUUCAGCUUCAAUAUCCCUGGGAAUUCGACUUCAAUAAUCUCCGUCAAGAUCCCGUAGAAAUCUUUUUCCCCUUUCACACAUAUUCCAUAGUUACUGGUCGUCCGCUGUCUACCAUACUCAUAUGUGUGAAAAGUAUAGCCUCAUGUGAAAUACAUCUGUGAUGUGGUGACCUUUACAAGUAGAGAUUGAAUUACUUCAUGUAACCACUUAGGAUAAUCUGCAUCGUCGUCAUAAUCAACCUGCAAAAAUAAAGAGAACGUUGAAAUACAGAUCAUGUAUGAAAAAAGAGUUUGAGUUAAUUAAUACCUGAUUCCUCAACCACUUAAUAAAGUGUUGAUCUUUCCUUUUGUCUACGUCACUUGUGGAUAUACCAAGAAAUGUUUCUUCUACUUAAGAAACAAAUAGGCUGUAAAAUCACAUUUUAUAUGAAUGAAUCUGUCGCAAUUAUAUGUGUUUAGAAGUGUCCCUUUCAAAAUAACGCAUCAAUGGAUCCUUGCAAUUGAGUAGAAAAUAGGUGUGUGCACUAUGAGCGUCUUGUUCACUCGACCACCAAACCUCUUUUGACUUCCCUCCGAGUCGCCCAAUCUGGCUAAAGAGAUCUGGAACACUAGCAACUGCAUAUGUUGGCGCAACACCACCAUCAUCAUAUCUUCUUGGAGCUCUUCUCCGGGUACGUACUUUUGACGCAAAGCAGUACGAUGUGAAGUGAGAAACUUCUUCCGUCAAACUUCCAGCAAUUAUAGAACCUUCAACUUUGGCGAGGUUCCUUGCUUUUCCCUUCAAAUAUUUCAUGGCUCGCUCAUACUGAUACAUCCAUCUGUAAUGUACAGGUCCACGAAGCAACACCUCAUAUGGGAGGUGGACAGCUAGAUGCUCCAUGACGUCAAAAAAUCCGGGAGGAAAUAGCUUCUCCAAGUUGCACAAUAAGAUGAGAAUGUUCUCCUGAAGCUGUUCCACAACUUCUUCUUUAAGAGUGCGUGUACUCAGAUCCCUGAAAAAUGCUCCAAUGCCUUUAUAUUCCAAAAACAAUUAAACACAUUGUUAGUCAUAUAUUAUUUUGCAAACUAAACCGUUAUAAAAUUAUUGCACUAUAAAACACUACCUGCAAGUGCUUCAUGUACAUUUGUUGGAAGUAGCUCCGCAAAUGCAAAGGGCAGUAGUCGUUGCAUAAAGACAUGACAAUCACGACUCUUCAUCCCAGAGAACUUUUGACCCUUUUCAACACAUCUAGAGAGAUUUGAAACUUACCCAUCGGGGAACUUCACUUCUGAUGCCACCCAGUUGAACAACACCGACUUUUUUUCCGAAGACAAUCUGAAUAUCGGAACUGGAACUUGUCCAUUGCUUAUUAUAUGUAACUCACUUCUUGAGAAAAUAUCUGGCAAGUCCAACCUCGAUUUUAUGUUGUCUUUUGUCUUCCCUGGGACAUUCAAUAUUGUAUUCAUGAUGUUCUCAAAGAAAUUCUUCUCUAUAUGCAUCACAUCGAGGUUGUGGCGCAGAAGAGAUCCUUCCAAUAUGGAAACUCCCAAAAUAUACUCUUCUUGUGCUAGUUGUGAUGAACACCGUAAGAAUCAGGCAUAUUACGAGGGACAUGCCAAUUACCACCCCAACGAACUGUUUCUUUAGCUCCGUAGUAGUCGAUUUGCGCUUCAAUUUGUUCUCCAGUUAGAUAUGGAGGAGGAGUGUCUCUCACAACCUUUUUGUGCCUAAGCAAAUUCUUGUUUCUUCGGUACGGAUGGCCAAUAGGAAGAAAUCGACGGUGACAAUCAAACCAACUUGUCUUCCUACCAUUCUUCAGUUGAAACGCAUAUGUCGUUCCAUUACAAUAUGGACAAGCUAAUCUCCCAUGUGUAGUCCAUCCAGACAACAUCCCAUAAGCAGGAAAGUCACUUAUGGUCCACAAAAGCAUCGCUCGCAUCGUAAAAUUCGUCUUCGUUGAACAGUCAUACGUCCUCACCCCUGUUGACCACAAAUCCUUCAACUCUUUUAUCAGUGGUUGUAGGAAAACUUCCAGGGACCUUUUUGGAUUGUUCAGACCAGGUAUUAAUAUGGUCAAGAAUAGCAACUCCCGUUGCAUGUACAUCUCCGGUGGCAGGUUGUAUGGCGUAAGAAAGACUGGCCACAAUGAAUAUUGUCUCCCUGACAUUCCGAACGGACUAAAUCCAUCUGUGCAUAAUCCGAGAUAUACAUUUUGGGUAUUGCUAGCGAAAUCUAGAUGUACUUUGUUAAAAUGCUUUCAGGCUCUUGCAUCUGCUGGAUGAGUCAUCUCACCAUCAGUCUGAGUAUGCUCGGCAUGCCAUCUCAUCUUUCCAGCAGUCUGCUCUGAUUGGUUCAAUCUUUUCAAUCUGUCUGUAAUUUGUAGGUACCACAUCCUUUGGUAUGGUACCCUAUUACGUCCCCGUCCUUGCGGCUUGAAUCGUGGCUUCUUGCAGAAUCAACAUUCUUCUAACUUCUCAUCAUCUCCCCAGUAGAUCAUGCAGUUGUCGAUGCAAACAUUUAUCAUCUCCGAAGGCAACCCAAGACUAUAAACCAAUUUCUGAAUGUCAUAAUAAGAAUCAGCAGACACAUUGUCUUCCGGCAAAUACUCUUUAAACAAGUCUGCCCAUUCGUUCAUGCAACUUUCAGAUAGAUUGUGAUCAGUUUUAAUAUUCAUCAUUCUAGCAGCCAACGACAAAUUAGAGAGACCUUCUCUACAACCACUGUAAAGUGGUUGAUUUGCCGCGUUUAACAUUUCGUAAAACUUUUUUGCAUCUAUAUUAGGUUCUUCGUCUUCAUCAUGAGCUACGAAUGCAUCAGCUACCAUAUCAUGAACCCUAUCAUAAUCUACCAUCUCCUCCUGAUGGUAACUAUGUUCAUUAUGCAAAUGAUGAUCAACCGGUUCUUCCUGAAAAUUGCUAUUACUACUACUAGCUUCAUUCUGAUCAUAAUUAUAACAUUCUCCAUGUUGAAACCAAAUAUAGUAAUUUGGCGUGAAACCUCUAUUUAUUAAAUGCUUCCAAGCAUUUUCACGGUUUGCCAAUUUCGAAUUGUUGCAUUUCCGACAAGGACAGAACAUCUUACCACUUUCUUGGGCGAGCGGUGUUGAAUCUACUUGAUGCAUAAAUUUCUCCAGCCCCGCAAGGUAUUCUUUCGUCACUCUCCCGUUAGCAUCUCUAUGCAUAUACAUCCACUUCUGCAACUCGAAAAUAUUCCCGGAGCCAGCCAUUUUUUUUUCUUUCACGUUUUUUUUUUGUUGGUGUGUUUAAAAUGAUGUUCAAACGUCCCUAGUUAUAGAAAAAUUUUGAGUCUGGUAGUUGUAAUUUUCCUACGAAUUUACGACGAAAAUUAGUUAGGUGGCCGAAAAAAAACGUGUGACAACAAAGUUGGUGGAUUCAAAAAUUCGUCGCUAAGUAGACAUAAAUUAUUUCCUCGUAAAGACCACGCUAAAUUUACGUGGAAUGUACGAGGAAAUACGAUUUCCUAGUAUAAGCCACGUCACUUUACAUCGCCUUUACGAUGAAACUGUUUCGUCAUUACUUUACGAGUAAAUAACGCUAAUUUUAUUUUUCCGCGUAAUUUACUCGUAAAGUCGAGGAAAAAUAAUGAGGAAAAAUAUUUCUCGUUAAUUUUCCUCGUUAAGCUUGUGUUUUCUUGUAGUGGAGAUAGUGUGUGAUUUGUGAUAGUGUGUGAUUUGUGAUAGUGUGUGAUUUGAGAUAGUGUGUGAUUUGUGAUAGUGUGUGAUUUGUGAGUUUGUGUGUGAUUUGAGAGGGAAACUUGUGGGUAUUUAUAGAAAAGCGGGCCACUCUAAUUCCUCGUAAAGGGAGGACUCGUUAAUUCCACGUAAGGCAAAAUCGUCGUAAAGGCCUCAUAAUCUGAAAACGCGGGCCUCGCUAUUUCCUCGUAUAGUAAAACGCGGGCCUCGCUAUUUCCUCGUAUUGUAAAACGCGGGCCUUUGUAAUUCCUCAUAACUUUACGAGAAAAUUACGAGGACAUGUAAUCUCUUAUAUAUACUCCCGAGCGCUCACUCUUUAUAUCGUCUCAAAUUCCUCUCCACUUCCUCUCUAUUUCAUAGCAAUGGUAAGUCUCUCUAAUUCCUCUCUAAUUUGAUUAGUUUAGGAUAGAUUAGGUGGUUAGUGUGUGGAAUUUAGAUAGGUUUACGGAUUUUGAUUAGGUGGUUAGUGUAGGAAAUUUAGAUAGGUUUACAGAAUUUGUUAAUUACUGUUGAUGUUAAUUUUAAAAAUUAAGUUUUUUUUUCCAAACGAUUCGAAAGAACAGACUUACUCCCCAUUACAGAGAGAUGUUUGGUGAGCCUGGUAGUCGUUUAGACCCAUCUUCUUCAGCUCCCGGUUCUUUUUCAGCUCCCGGUUCUUUGGGUCCGGAGACUGUCCGCGAGACUCAGUCUUCUCAGAGAGUCUCUUGGUCGCCUUCUUCUAGUGCACCUCAUGCUCAGUACACUCAGAGAGUCUCUGGGUCUACUUCUUCUAGUGCACCAUCGGCUCCUCAUGUGCCUUCCUCGAUGGCUCAUCCGAUGGCUCCUCCGACGAUGCCUCCUCCGAUGGCUCCUCCGAUGCCCGCCGAGAUUCAUCUCGAUUUGAUGGUGCCUCCGAGUGCUCCUUACUCGCAGUACACUGUCGAGGACCCUCUCCGUCAGCCAGACAGAGAAGGUUUACCAGUCAUAGACCCCGACCGACCGGACGAAACUUUGUUACAUUAAUUUUUUUUCAAGUCUUUUUCAAUUCUUUUAUAACGUUAAUAAAUAAUUUAUACUUUAAAUUUGUUUUUUCAGGUUUGGGGUUGACAAUUGUCUUGCAUCAAACGUAACCGACACAAUCAAAGGUUACUUUUCCAUGCCACAUCCGAACUGUAGAAAGACGCCGAUCUACGUCAGAAAGACGUGGUUCAAAAUUUACGCUGUAAGUUACUUUUAAUUAAUUAUAUGUACUUUUAUUUUUUCAUGAUUUAUAUAUAUUUUCUAAACUAAUUAUUAAUUUAAUUUUUUAUUGCAGCAAAAAAUAUCAUUGGUCGAUGGGGAUCACUGAGAGGGUGAGGAAACAGUUUUACGCGAAGGCAAAAGUUCGCUUGUUGGACACGGUCUCCAACUGGAAGGAUGACUGGAUCGUGAAGGGAUAUGAGCGUGGCAAACCCGCUGAGCUCACCACGGAUGUGUGGGAUGACCUCAUCCGUUAUUGGCGGGAUCUUGAGUCCAUCAGAAUCGCCCUGUCUUGCUCUGCCUCCCGUAACACGGUAGAUGAGCACGGUCACUGGCCGAUGCUUCACUCUACAGGCCAAAAACCCCACGCCGGUGUCCGUUUGGAAAUGGUAAUUAAAUAUUUUAUUUAAUUAAAUUUUAAAUAUAUAUAUAUGUAUAUUCUAACUUUCUUAAAUGUUUUUAGGCCAAAGAGACGGGACAACUCCCGUCUCUUAUGCAACUUUACGAGAUGACCCACAAGAAUAAGGCGGCCUAAUUUCUAGAUGGCAAGUCCGAGCAAAUCUUCAACGACUUGGUUGCUCAGGUUGACGACCGCCAGACCCAGCUGACCCAGCAGUCCACCGACGGAUUACCCGUCACCUUAUCCACACAUGAAGUGGAUAAGAUUUACGAUGACGUAAAUUUUUUAAAAUUUUAAUUUUUUUAUUAUUCAUUUAAUUUAACUUUAAAUUUUUACUAACAAUAUUUAUUUUUUUUGUUUUUAAGGUUGUCCCUAAGAAAAAUGGAUGUACGUUGGGGAUUGGUUCCGUCAACGAUGUUCCGAGAGCAACAUCGUCUUAUGCUCAAACACGGGAAGAUGAAGUCACUGCGCUGCGUAGAGAGUCCGAGCAGCUGCGUAGAGAAUCCGCUCAGCUGCGUAAUGAGAUGGACUCGACGUGAUCUGCGUUCACAGCUCGUAUGGGUGGACUCGAGGGCUUCUUGGAUAUUUUAGCGGCCACAAAUCCGGAAUGGGAGUCCUUAUUGAGGAACUUGCGACGAAAAAAUCCCAUUCCAGGCGAGUCAUCAUCCGACACACAUCCCGAGAUGGAUGUAGAGAGGAGGAGUGAUGAAUUCUACCGGGCGAUGAAUGACUCUUAGUUUUUUUUUCUGUUGUUGAAUUAUAAAUUCAAAACUUAUUUAUAUAUAAAAUAUUUUGGUAUUGAUUUUUUUUAAAAAAUUUAAUUUUAUUAAUUAAUUAAAUAAUUUUAAUUAUUUUUUAAAAUUAUUUUUUAAAAUUCUGUAAAAUAAAAUAACAAAGUAAAUUCGUAGCUAAUUUAUGACCUAUUUACGUGGAAACUUUACGGGGAAAUGACGAGAAAAAAUAAACGAGUAUUUUACGAGGAAACGUUUACGAGGAUAUGACGAGGAUAGAUAAACGAGUACUUUACGAGGAAAUACUUUCAUGGUUAUUACGUGUACUUUACGAGAAAAAUCUUUCGAGAUAUUUACGUGUAAUUUACGAAGAACACGUUUCGAGGUAUUUACGAGGAAAUCUAGCGACCUCCUUACGUGGAAUAUUUACGUGGUCUUUACGACGAAAUGAUUACUUCGUCUUUACGACGAAAUAUUUUUCUCGCUAAUUUACGACUAAUUGGCGAGGAAAUAUGUGUUACGACGAACGAGUAAUGACGAAACGUGUUUCCUCGCUAAUUCCUCGUAAAGCCUCUUUUACGACGAACUCACGAGGAAAACCGCUCUCGUUAAACUUAUGUUUUCUUUUAGUGAUUACUCAUUGUAGCAAAAAUGAAAAAUUGUGUAAAAUCUAAACUACUCAACAUUUAUAUGUAAAUUUAAGUCAAUAAAACAAAAAAAUUCUAAAUCUAACAACUAACCCUAACUGUAAAAUAUAUCUUUCAACCUAUUGUACCAAACCAUAAGUAUUGUACAAACAUGGCUAAAACACCAAUAUAUUUUCUUCAAAUUUUUCUAUAUAACUUAAAUUUUAAUUAUAUAGCUCCUAUUAGUUCAUAUAUUGAUAAUUUAUAACAAAUUUUAUACAAAUAUAUUUCAUUUUUAAAAUAAAAUUAUAUAUCAAAUUACAAAAUAAAAUUCCUGAGAAAACUAAUUAGUAAACUUUUUUGGAAGUAUAUUUAGUAGACUUUUUCAAAAGUAUACUUAGUGGACUUCUUCGGAAGCAUACAUAAUAGACUUCUUCGAAAGUCUCUAUGUAAUAAACUUAUUUCUGUUAAAUUUAGAAUUUAAAUAAUAUGAUCAUAAAAUAAGUUUUCGAUUUUUUGUUAAACUAUAAAAGGUAAAUGGUAAUUUUGCUAACCAUUUAAGUUAAUCUUGCGUUUGAUUGAAUAUGUGGUCAACUUUAAUAUUUCAAAUUAAUUUUUGGAUUAUAUUUGGCCAAUACCUCUUCAUUAAAUAAAAAAAUUGAUUCUUAACAGCUAUCUAGUUGAAAUAGAGUUUAUAAAAUGAGAUGAAAAUAUAUUGUUUUAGUUAUUUGUUAUGAGAUACAUUUUGAUUUUCAUGUAAGUUUUAUAAAUGAAUUUUACAAAAAAAAGUUUUACAAAUUAAAAACUACACUUAAAUAUAAUAUUUAGAUUUAAAAGAAAAAGUUAAAAAUGAACAAUAUAUAUAUAUAUAUAUAUGGAUGACGGAUUAAAAUAUCGUGUUUUUAGUACACGAAUGAACGGCCUAAACUCAACUCGUAAACUGAACAUAAAAACAACAGUUGGUUUCCAGGAUUUUAUAUAUUCUCUUGCUGUUGAUAUUAUUUUGAAAAAAUGUUAAAUAUGAAAUUCAUAUCUAGAAUGAAAUUUGAUAAUAGAUCAUUCUAGUUCACGUGAGAAGGAAAGAUAUAAACCUUCAAAAAUAUAUGAUUGACUAAAACUACUAAAAUUACUUAUUGUGGCUGACAAACGAGUGUUGUAUUUCUGACAAAAAGGGUCGUUCACCCAUUGUGUAAAAUCGGUUGUUAUUUCUUAAUAACAACUUUUAGAACCAAAAAUAAUAUAAAAUAGAAACAAUGUAGAGGAAAAAAGGAUUCAGCAUAGGACGUACACGUGGCAAUCAUCGACAAAGGAAAUGAGCUCUUAUAUAUCGACCUUCGUCAUGUGUCUGAAAUCGAAGCAUUUCACACCACAAAGAUCAGUAAUGGCUCUCGAGGUUAGCUAAUUCUUCUUCACUACACUAAAUUUGUUUUCUAUAUUUUGAUUGUUAGAGUUUACAUCGAUACUCUCCUACUUCGUCGUUAAAAUCUGCUAAGCAUUGAUGCAGGCAUGGUUUAUGGAUGAUAGCAAUGAAGACCAGAGACUUCCUCAUCAUCGCAACCCGAAAGAGUUCGUCACAUUGGAUUACUUAGCAGGUUUUUUUCCAAAUUUCUCGCUUGAACGUGAUUGCUUUGCAAUUUUUUCAUGAAAAAAUGACUUUGUAUAUGAUAUGUUGUAGUUUAGGUCUGGUUUGGAUAACUUAUUUGUGUUUUAUAUUUUAUUUACAAUAUAAAGCAGAUGAGCUAUUUUAUAGCUAACACCAAAGAAACCUAAAUUAGGAAAAUGAACAAAAAUAUACAUAAGAGAAGAUCUAAGAGAUUCACAAAGCUAUCAGAACAAUAGUUAUGCUCUGUUUGGCAGAUCUGGGAGUGGUGCACUGGAAGCUGAACCCUGAAAACUACGAGAAUGAUUCCAAGCUAAGCAAGAUUAGAGAAGAACGGGGUUACGAUUACAUGGUACAUACGUGCUCAUGCUCACAAUAAAUGGCUCAUGUAUCUGGUGGUUUGGCAUUGAAACCAAUGAGACAGAUACUAAUUCUCACAAGUUUUAUCUGUAAUCAAAUCUUUAUAUUAGGAUUUGCUGGAUCUAUGUCCUGAGAAAGUGAGCAACUACGAGGAGAAGCUGAAGAACUUUUUCACAGAACACAUUCACAAGGACGAAGAGAUUCGUUACUGCCUAAAGGGAAGUGGCUACUUUGAUGUUAGGGACAAGGAUGACCGUUGGAUCCGAAUCUUGAUGAAACCGGGCGAUCUCAUUGUCCUUCCUGCCGGAAUCUACCACCGGUUCACACUUGACACCAGCAACUACAUCAAGGUAUUAUAAAGCCCGCUUCAGUCUUUGUAACUAAAACAACGCAGACACAUCUGUUACAUCUUAUGUAAAAAGAUUUAAUUUUGUUAGAUUGUGAUGAAUUAGUGGUUGGUUUUGCAGCUAAUGAGGCUGUUCGUGGGAGAACCGGUUUGGACACCAUAUAACCGGCCCCAGGAAGAACAUCCGGUUAGGAAGGAAUAUAUAAAGAGCUUGACCAAGAAGUUUGGAGAAACCAUCCGAGCUUAUUAAGAAGUUUACUAUAUGCUUUGUGGUGUCGUAUGUAUUGUUUACUCUACCAGUAAAAGCAGAGACUCCUUCCUGCUUGUUUUGUGACAUACUUUAAUAUAUGCUUUUACAUCUAAAAAUAGAAAGUAUUAAAACUAUAUUUAUUAAUAUUUUACAGAAUAACCAUUCUAAAACAAAACAAUGUUUAUUUACUAUUUUUACAAAUCAAAUAUAUUAAAGAGUAUAUAAUAUAUUUUUAAUACAACUGUUAAUAUAAAAAAAUUGCGCUUUAUGAGCAGUUUCUGUAAACAUGCCAUCAUAUGUAUGGGCCAGUAUCUCACCAGCAACAAAAUUAUUAUUAUUGGAAAUCAGACAUAAGGUACAUUCAUGAUAUGAGGUCAAGGUGUGAGAGGAUCUUUGUAACCCGACAACACCAGCUACACCAGCACGGCCCUUGGCCCCAACGCUGAAUCUGAACAUGAGAGUCAGUGAUCUCAUUAACUAGGAUAGGAAUGAAUGAAAUAUUGGUCUACUGGAGAACUAUGUUGACCCUGCCGAUAUACCCUAUAUAAGAAGUCAGGCCAUAAGCACCACUUAUCGACGGGAUACUUUCUGCUGGAACCAUACUAAAAAUGGACAGUAUACAGUCAAAUCAGGAUAUUGGAUAACUCGGAACUUACUAAGGGCUGAAGAUGAGAAGGAGGUUCUGGAAACUAGUAUAACGAAGCUUCAAGCCUUUGCUUGGAAGAUAAAAACUCCUCAAAAGAUUUGUCAUCUUAUAUGGCAACUGUUAACCGGUUAUGUGGCAGUGACGAAGAAUUUGGUACGGCGUAAUAUGAGAUGUGAUAAUUACUGUCCAUGAUGUGGAGAGCCGGAAGAAUCUGUAACUCAUGCAAUUUUUGAAUGUCCACCAGCUUUACAAGCUUGGUCUCUGUUGGGGUCAAAAUCGGUCACGACGGAAUCAAUGUCUGAAAGUCCGUAAAUAUCGGCAUGAACGUUUUUACGAAAAAUAAAUCUUCAAAAAAGAUUUAUUUUUACGAAGAAUCUUGCGGAGAAAACACAUUCACGAGACAUCGGACAAGAGCUCGAAAAAGGUUGCUACGCAGCGACCGAGCGGGACGAACGCUCGUUCGCUACGUAGCGACCGAGCGUCCGUUCAGCUUGGUCGCUACGUAGCGACCGGGCUCUUCUGAAACGUCGAUACGACAUUAGUCCAUGCACUCUCGCCUACCCUUCGAUGCUAUCUUCCGAAGACCGUAGCGAACCCAUUUCAUGUUUCCCGCCAUUCUAAGUCAUCGAUCAAACUUUACGGUAACAACCGCGGAAAGUUCGUUCUUUAUCGAAAGAAGCCGUAAUAAACGCUUCGAGUCAGAAGACGACCAAAAGGGACCUAAGACAUGACUCGAGGCCCAAUUUACGAUUUCUUAACCAGCAGCCCGUAAGCCGCAUGACGGUUUACGCUUGGUUCGCAAGGAAAGAUAAAUGUCAAGUUUCCGCGGAUAAAUAUGAAAUUUUGAAGAUAAUUACGAAGAUCGGAAAAAAUGGAAUAUCUCCAUUUUUAUGCAAUGACGGCUUAAGGGCAGAAGAGGAAAAGCGUAAACCGACCUAGGAGCCAGUAUAUAAGGAGUUCUAGACGAGAGGCAUGGGGGGACAACUUUUUAGACCCAGAACUCUCGGCACUUAGAAACUCUGAGGCAUUAUUCUCGACAUGCUCUGCUUCCAUGACUGGCACCCGAUUACCAGACGAACGCGCACAAGCAGUUCAAUUUCUUAGUUCACUCUUGAACUACGUUCGGCUUGAUCCUCGAAAGGGGUACGUAGGCAGCCUUUCAUAAGGUUCAGUCCGAAAUCAAUCAAAAACAUUUUCUUUAUUUCUUCAUCUUUUGUAAUCGAGCUGCGACUCAACUAGGUUUGAGCUUUUAGGCCGCUAGAACUAGGUAACUAGCUGACAGCCUUUGCGGCCAAAGCUUUUAUGAUCUCUUGUAAUGAUCGCAACGCUCUUACGCGGACUCGAAAUAAGAUCUACUGUUUUCUCUAAACUCGUUUGUUAUCUUUUCACGAUUUCCGCAUAUAUUUGGUCACUUGCCGUUGGCUCUCGCAGAGAUCCGGGACCUCUGGGAAAUUAGGGUUUUCAUAGUUUCCUAAUUUAAACGUAAAUCGACAAUGCGAAUUUCGGUUCCCACAGUCUCUCUCAGCGACACCAACAAGUAAAGGGACCUUUCCUCUUUCGAGCAUAUAUGCUAAUAUGGAUUAUCUCUUUUGGAGAAAAAACAGUAUUGUUGAACCAUGAUUAGACAGAGACCCAUCCAUAUCACUGGAUAAUUUGGUACCUGUAGAGGCCAGAAAUGUUAAAUUCUUUAGGGGAAUUGAAAGGGAUCCUUUGGAGCUAGUCCGCUAUGCAGAGAGUGAGUGUCAAGCCUGGUUUAACGCAAGUGAGAUCGUACCAACAGUUCCACAAGCCCUUAAUAUUGAAGAACCUCAAGUCUUAAAGUUGAGUAAUAUCUGCAUGACAGAUGAGUCUUGGACAUCUACUGCACAGUUUAGUGGAUAUGGAUGGGUCUGACUUGAUAGUUUGAGGAAGGUUCAAUUUAUUGGGACAUGGAACCAAGUUCGGAGAGAGACUUCAUUAUAUUCAGAGGUGGAAGCACUGAGAUGGGCGAUCGAGUGUAUGCUUCAGUAUUCGACUUGUCAAAGUUUUGGAACGGACUGCAAGGAUUCGAUUGCGAUGAUCAACGAGCCUCAUGCUUGGCCGAGCUUUGCGACAGAAUUGGAGAGAAUAAAUACUCUCAAGAUAUGCUUUCCGGACUUCAAGAUCACUCAUAUUCCAAGAACGAAUAAUCAGAUUUCAGAUUUCUUAGCUAGGAUUGCGAGAUCUUUCCAUAGAGUACUCUAUUUCAUUGGUUGUUCUAUUCCGGUUUGGUUACCCAGACCACCUCAAGUUUGAGUAAUAGAAUAGUUUUUCGAUAAAAAAAAAAAAAACUGAAACAUGGAGAGUACUAAAAUAUCAGUUUUAGAAAAAAGUAAUUAAGAUAUCAUUUUAUAUGAAAUUUGUAUAUCUCUUGAUUCAUAUACAUCUUUGUUGGAUAUUAUAUUUUGAUGAAAUUAUAAAAUACACAAAUACAUUUAGCGUUACAUCGAUGAUAAAAUCAAUUUAGACGAUGGUGAAAAUCUGAAUCUUUUAUUUUCAUUAAAAAUUGAUAAUUCUGGUAAACUUUUAGGAGUGUUCAUUUAGAGGAUACAUUGAUUUUGUAUGACCAAAAGGAAAAAAAAUUGUAUCUUCGCAUACGGUGGUAGUAAAAGAAAAAAUCAUCUUCAGAUCAUGUACUUUUGGUUUUGGAUCCCAUUUGUGCUUGAAAUCCUCUUUGUAAUUUGGUGAGAUUAAUAUCAAGGUUACAAUUAUUUGUGAUGAAAUCAAUCCUUUUCAAAUGUGACGGAAACCAAUCCGAUCCUGAAUGGAAAUGGAAUGAAGCCAAUAAAACUAAAAUUUUUGGUUUCCCAUUGGAAACUAAUCAUUGCUUUUUGGCAAUCUUGAUAUGAGGCUCAAAAUAAGUGGUCAAUAUAGUAGAUUGUAACAGACGAUCGAUUAUGGUAUUUGUUGGUAAAAAUUCAAAAUUUGGGAUAAACACUAUGAUAACCAGUUUAUUCUAUAAUACCAAAUUCGUUUUCACCGGAACCGAUAGGAUAUAUAAAAAAAACCCAAAAUGAUUGUGCUAGUUUUAUUCGAGAAUGUUACAAACGUGAGGAAACACAACGUCAACAUUACAUGCACCGAAUUUAACAAAGUUACGUGAAUGUAAAUCAUGUGGAGUCCACCAUCACUAUGCACGCAUAGUAACUUUUACUUUUUACUUCUAUGUAAAUGAACGUUUGUGUUCGACGAAAGACACACCAUCUCUUCUUCCUUUCUAUCGUUAUUAUCUUGUAUCAGUAUUAUCUCUUUUCUACGGGUAUAAAAUUUCGCUCCAAUUUAAAUUUCUCUAUACUAUAAAAUUAUAAGUUAUUUUAUAACACGUUAUCAGCACGAUCACUGAUAGACCAUUGAUUUUACCCACAUUUGGCCAUGCUAUAUAAGUGUUUUAAUAUAUAUAUUUACUACUAUAUAGAGUUUAUUUAGAAUAUUUAUAGGUUCAGGUACGUUCUGGAGAAAUAUGGUGAUUUUGGAGUCUUUUGAGAUGAAGAACUGCACAGACGUGUCAGAUGUCUAGUUAUGUAUGGAGACCUUCCCACCGUUAGAUUGAGCCCAUCGUUUGGCACAAGAUAGAUCUUUGAGUUAUAUUUCUAAUGCCACCGGUUUGGGGUCAAUCAGCAUCCAGUAGCAGAAGUUAUGCCUGUUUUACUGAAGAGUGGUCAGUUUGCCUCGCGAGAAGAAGCGGUCGAGAAGAGGAACAUAUGUCAAUCGAUGCAGAACUCAUGAUAUCGAUCAAUAUGGAUGCCAGAAUGCGGGCCGAGCAUAUUUUAUGACCGACUGAAGCCCAGAAGCAAACAAAAAUUACCAGAAUACCCUUGGACGACCAGAAACCCUAUUUAUGUGUUUUCUAAGCCAUUGUUGACGGCUAAGCUUUAUUUUUCAUAGUUCUAGGUUAGGAGAGAAGAGAGGAACUCCUUCAGAGUCCUCUUGAAACUCCAAUGUUUUGGAUUUAUUUAUAUUUUAUGUUAUUUCUAUUCAUCUAUGAUUUCUGUGACAAACAUCAUGCAUGAGUAGAUCCACCUGCUAAGUUUAGGAAUUUCUAGGGUUUUGAAUGAAUUUCUGAAUUAUAUGAUUGUUAGGAUAUCUAAAGAUCUCCACAUCAGGAUAACUUGUAAUACUAGGAUCCAAAGUAGUUGGAAAAACACGAUAGUGUGACUAAUUUCUUAAACCUAGAAUAAUAGGACAAUUGAGAGGCACGAGAGUGCAAUCAAUUAAUGGAACCCGAAUCCUACUGGAUUAGAUACCUAGGCGCAUACGAGAGGUGGUCUAGGAAUCUAGUUGAACAUAAUCGAUCAGAUCGAUAACGCUUGCCUAAGGCAGUGUCGAUCGACGCUUAUACCAUAGCAUCGAUCAACACUCAAUCCGUAGAAUCGAUCGACGCUCAUACCAUAGCAUCGAUCGACGCUCAAUCUGUGUUAACAUGCGAGAGCUGAAACACUGAACUUAGUCAAUAGAUUAGACUCACAGCGAGAGCUGGUUGUCUUUUGCAUUAGAUAUCGAGUUCUAGAAUCAAUCCUUAGCAUCUAUAGUUUAGAGUUCUAAUAACCUAAAUGAAACCCUAAGUCUAGUAACCAUCCUUCCAUCAAACAAAUCUCUGCCAAGCUGAACAAUUGUCUUGUUCAACCUGUUUACUGCUUUAUUACUGCUUUGCAUUACUUAUUUACUGCUUUGCAUUACUUAUUUACUGCUUUAUAAACUAUUAGCCUAGCUUAAUCAUAAACUGUUUAGAUCUAAUUGGUUCCCUAGCACCUUGUGAAUUCGAUCUCUAAAUACUACAACUUGACCUCUUAUUUGAGAGAGUAUAAAUCACUCCUUAGGGUAAUUUCAGUGAUAUCAAAUUUGGCGCCAUUGCCGGGGAGCUUUGAUCGCCAUUAGAUCUUGUCUAGUUAGAUUUAGUCUAGAUUUUAAUACUGUUCAGAAAAAAAAACUAAUAAAUUUUUUUCUUGUGUUUCAGGUACAUCCAUAUGAGUACCAGAAGCAACAAGGGGAUAGGGAUCUUACUAGUAGAGCCACUGGAUUUGGAACGCGUGAUCCAUAAGUCUAAGAUCGACACUCCAAGCAGCAAUUGCCAGCGUAGAAAUCCAAGCGUCGAUCGACACUAUUCAUCCCGCGUUGAUUGAUAUUGUUCACCCGCUGUUCAACCUACGUCGAUCGACACUAUUCAACUUGUGUUAGAAAACACUGUUCAGCCCGGUACUGUUCAUUGAGGUACUGUUCACCUUGACACUAUUCACCCAAUGUCGAACGACACUGUUCAUCCGACGUCGAUCGACACUGUUCAUUCCCCGUCGAUCGACACUGUUCAGCACGACACUGUUCACCAUGACACUUUUCAAUCAGGCACUGUUCAUCCCGACACUGUUCAUCCGGUGAAAAAUGACACUACUUACGGGGAGACAGAGAAGAUCGAAGUGCUUAUACUUAAUGUCAAUGAGAAUGGGAUGUUAAGAGACGAAGAAGGUCGCACUCGCAACAGCGCAGGACAGUUGAUUAAUGCUUAGGGUGCUGUGAUCCCUGACAUGAUUGCUGUUGCUGAGAUUAAUGACUUUGACCUGAGCCGAGAGUGGUAUGAUUGGGUAGGUCAAGACCCCUUCCAGGGUCUUCCUCACCAAGAUCCCAGAAAGCACAUCGAAGAGUUGGAGGAUCUCGUGUCAAGGAGUGAGCGGAAUGAAGUGUCUGAAUACCACAUGCUCUGCAAGAUAUUCCCUUAUUCUAUCUAUGGGGAUGCAUUCAGCUGGUUUUGUCAACUACAGCCAGGAUCUCUAACCAGCUGGGAUGACAUUGAAAGAGCCUUCCUUUACAAAUUUCUGAUGAUGCUGAAGCAACUCGAGAAAUGGAGAAAAAUUAUAAAUGGGACAGGUUCUUGGUAUCGUUAGAUGAGGAGUAUAUGAUUCCAAUACAGCUGCUCGAUGACAUUAUGGCAAAAGGGAUGAACAACAUAUGUCUGGAGAGCUGAGCAGAGUGGAAGAAGCUGGUACUGAUGACGCGACCUCAACGUCGACCGACGGCACGACCUCAACGUCGAUCGACAUCAUGACCUCAACGUCGACCGACAUCAUGACCUCAACGUCGACCGACAUCACGACCUCAACGUCGAUCGACGAUGUAGACAGAGAAAUCACCAUGGAAGACUCCUUAGAGCUGGAGGAAUGGCUUGAAGAUAUGGAUCAAAAUUUGAAGAAGAAGCUUGAUUACGAUCAGCAUACUUCGAGAGAAGAUCUGGAAACUUCAUAGGCUGGCAUUGGUCGACACCAACCUGAUGAGAUCGAUCAACAACCACCCCCACAUCAUCGAUCUACACCCACCCGACAUCGAUCGACACCGCCAACCACUUAUCGAUCGGCACCACCCACCUAAUAUCCGAUCGGCACCACCCACCUAAUAUCGAUCGAUUCCCAUCGCUAGACGUUCCGCCAGGUUGCAUAAUUGAGAUGCAACCGAUUGCGGAGAGGAUGGACAUGUCUAAGGCCUCACACCUUGCUGUCCCUAAACAUCAGAGACCACCUAUCUGGACGGAAGAAGCUAUUGGGUUUCACAAAAGAGUUAAGAGGAUACAUGAUCCUGUGAAGAUUGUGGUUCCAUGCGCUGUAUUUGAAACUGAAUCUCCUACAGUGGGAUAUUGGAUGAUCAUCAGCACAUAGGAGCUUCUUAGAGAAGGUUGCGAUUUAGAGAUAAAAUCGAUAAGGACCCAGCAUAAGCAACAUCGAUUGACACCGACCGGAUACCAUCGAACGACACCAACAAACCAGCAUCGAUCGACGCUAUCACUUCUCCAUCGAUCGACAGUGGACGCGUAUCAGAGCAUAAGGAGUUCGAUGUGUGUGGAAAUCUUAGGGAUGGAGAUACCACUACGCAAUCAGACAAGCCUGGGGGAAAGAAGAGGAGGAAUUGGAAGAAGAGAAAAAGAAUCAAGAAUGGUCCUCAGGUAUCAUUGACCCCUCACUUCUCAGAUUAUGUCAAGAAAUCCAGAGUGCGCAGCAGAUGCUUCUCAAAACCAUUUGCAAAGGUUCGAGCACUCUUUAUUGUUGAGAUGAUAGACAAAGGAGAAGAGUCUAUUUCACACAAGAAUGAUAAAGCUUCAGAGAGCAGACAUUGAGACUUGUUUUGGAGCACGUUCUCAUUCUCAUCCGGAAUAAAUCAGAUCUCCAAAGUCAAGCUAAAUGACUAUAACAAAACACUGAGUGCGAGGCAACCCACUAUUAGGUAAUUUCUUUCAGUUUAGUUUAGAGUGUUAAUGAUUCAAGUUUUUAUUUAUUGCAGGUCAAAAAAAAAUGGAUGAACAAUAACGACGGUAAUGUAGCAGAGGCACUGUAGCAGAGGCACUGUAGCAUCGAUAGACACUGUAGCCAACAAAUCGAUCAACACUAUAGCAGAAAACCGGGAGUUACUCUAGCAGUGUUACUGUAGCAGAACUGUUCAUCGAAUUUUUUUUUUAAAUUAAUUAAUUAAUGUUUUAUUAGUUAUCUUUUACUGAUUUUUUUGUGUUUUGUUUAUGAUAGAUAAAAGGAAAAAGAUCCAAGGAAGAAGAGUUGAUAUACCAGAAGCGAUCGACGACAACAUGCCAUUGUCGGUCGACAGAGCAUCACGAGUAUCGAUCGAUCGCCACUUAACUGUGUCGAUCGACGCUCACCAUCAACGAUCAGGUAUAACGUUUCACCUUGUUAAAUAUUGUCCUUAUGGUUUAUUUCCCCACUAAUCUUAGACUGUAUAACAAUGGUCACAUUGUUGUUUAAGUUUGGGGGAGGUUCUACUAAUAUUGUGUUUGAGUUAGCUAUUUAGAAAAAAAAAAGGAACCGAGUAAACGAUUGCCAUCUGUAUCGACCGACGCGAACCUGUCGACAUUGAUCGACAUUGCUUUACCUGAAUCGACCGAUAUCAACAUCCUUACAUCGGUCGACAUUCAUUCCGGUCGGGUAUGUCAUUCUUACUUGUUACAUUGAGUCCUUAUGAUUUAUUUCUAACCAGAGCUCCAACUGAAUUUACACUGGGGACAGUGUAGUUUAAGUCUGGAGGGAGGUUUACUGAUAUUUAUUUACUUAUUAGUCUUAUUAAAAUGUUUUCAAAUUAAGUUAUUAUUGAGUCAAGAAGGGGAUUAUGAACUCAUAGAUUUUGCUAGAUAUCUAACCACUCUUUAGAAACAUUCUCGACUUACUAAUUGCAGAUAGUACUAAAGAUACUAAAGUGGAUCAACCUGUCAACUAUCCACACUUGCUGAGAUUGUUUGAAGGAACCAAAGCUGAUCUCCAACACUAAACCUGACACAAUUGCUCGUCUUGGGGCUUGGUAUACGUGGGAUCAGAUUCUUCAAACAAGUCUGGAAGGUAAAGCCUUGUGUAGAUUUAUCACAUUUUCUCUCUCUAUUUCGACCUUAGAUUUAUAGGUAGAGAUAUUUAUUUUAAAAAAAAAAAUGAAAAAGAAAGGAAAAUAUAGAAAAAAAAGAAAAAAUAUAUAUAUAUAUAUAGGUGUUAGUUAGGUGGAUACCGAACAAGACUUGGUGGCUACAACCAUUAAGGCUUGCUUCAUAAGGAUUCCAACAAAAAGAAUUCGAACGGGACUUGGUGGCGGCAAUCAUCAAGGUUCGAUUCAUAUGAAUUCUUGGAUAUAUGUCAAAAAGAAGUGAACAUGACUUGGUGGCAACCACCAUUAAGGCUUGAUUCAUGGAAGCAUGUCCAAUCUUGGUCAAUGAUCUUGCAAUAUAAGUAGACUUUGACUAAGAGAGAAAUUAGUAGAGAGAAAAUAUAUGAACUAACUUUUACCUGCAGAUCCAGAUACUUGUUUGAAAAUCCUUGCAUCCUGUGAUCGAUACUCCCAAGGUAAAGCCUGCACUUUUAUUUAUGUUAAGAAAUGAGGUUGCUAGAGAGGAAUUUCAGACAGAAUUUGCUAAGUUGUUGGCUAGGUGAAUUUGGUUGCUAAGCUAGGAUAUUGUGUAAUGUGCUUUUGUGAUUAGGACUUCUUAGGUGUGGAUUGAAAUAUUGUAGAGGUGAUGAUUCUAAGUUUUAAAUCAUGUGAGUCCCUGCUAUUUUCAAAUCUCUUUCAGAGAGACUGCCUCUUUGUUUUGCUUGAGGACAAGCAAUAGGGUAAGUCUGGGGGAGUUGAUAGACCAUGGAUUUUACCCACUUUUAACCAUGGUCUAUAAGUGUUUUAAUAUAUAUUUACUACUAUAUAGAGUCUAUUUGGAAUAUUUACAGGUUCAGGAAUGUUCUGGAGAAAUAUGGUGAUAGACCAUGGAUUUUACCCACUUUUGAGGUGCAAAACUGCACAGCCGUGUCAGAUGUCUAGCUAUGAAUGGAGACCUUCCCACCGUUUGAUUGAGCCCAUAUUUCGUCACAAGAUAUAUAUUUGAGUUAGCUUUGUAAUGCCACCAGUUUGAGGUCAAUCAGCAUCCAUUAGCAGAAGUUAUGCCCGUUUUACUGACCAGUAGUCAGUCUGCCUCGCGAGAAGAAGCUGUCGAGAAAAGGAAUGUAUGUCGAUGCAGAACUCAUGAUAUCGAUCGAUAUGGAUGCCAGAAUGCGGGCCGAGCAUAUUUUAUGACCGACUGAUGCCCAGAAGCAACCAUAAAUUACCAGAAUACCAUUGGACGACCAGAAACUCUAUUUAUGUGUUUUCUAAGCCAUUGUUGACGGCUAAGCUUUAUUUUUCAUAGUUCUAGGUUAGGAGAGAAGAGAGGAACUCUUUCAGAGUCCUCUUGGAACUCCAUUGUUUUGGUUUUAUUUAUAUUUUAUGUUAUUUCUAUUCAUCUAUGAUUUCUGUGAUAAACAUCAUGCAUGAGUAGAUCCACCUGCUAGGUUUAGGAAUUUCUAGGGUUUUGAAUGAAUUUCUGAAUUAUAUGAUUGUUAGGAUAUCUAAAGAUCUCUACAUCAGGAUAGCUUGUAAUACUAGGAUCUAGAGUAGUUGGAAAACCACGAGAGUGUGACUAAUUGCUUGAACCUAGAAUCAUAGGACAAUUGAGAAGUACUAUGGUGCAAUCAAUUAACGGAACCCGAAUCCUGCUGGAUUAGAUACCUAGGCGCAUACGAGAGGUGGUCUAGGAAUCUAGUUGAACAUAAUCUAUCAGAUCGAUAACGCUUGCCUAAGGCAGUGUCGAUCGACGCUUAUACCAUAGCAUCGAUCGACACUCAAUCCGUAGAAUCGAUCGACGCUCAUACCAUAGCAUCAAUCAACGCUCAAUCUGUGUUAACAUACGAGAGCUGAAGCACUGAACUUAGUCAAUAGAUUAGACUCACAGCGAGAGCUGGUUGUCUUUUGCAUUAGAUAUCAAGUUCUAGAAUUAAUCCUUAGCAUCUAUAGUUUAGAGUUCUAAUAACCUAAAUGAAACCCUAAGUCUAGUAACCAUCCUUCCAUCAAACAAAUUUCUGCCAAGCUGAACAAUUGUCUUGUUCAACUUGUUUACUACUUUAUUACUGCUUUGCAUUACUUAUUUAUUGCUUUAUAAACUAUUAGCCUAGCUUAAUCAUUAACUGUUUAGAUCUAAUUGGUUCCCUAGCUCCCUGUGAAUUCGAUCCCUAAGUACUACAACUCGACCUCUUAUUUGAGAGAGUAUAAAUCACUCCUUAUGGUAAUUUGAGUGAUAUCAAUCACUCUGCGAUUCGGUAAAAUUUAUAUGUAUCAUAUAUACCCUGCUAUAAUAGCCGGUAUGCCUCCUACAUUACUAUUUAUUAUUUUGUAGUAACUGUUUUAAUUUAUUGUCAUUUACCUAUAUUAAUGUGGGCGGUAUGUCGCCUUGUUAAAAAACUUUGAUUGUUAAAUGCACUAUAAUUACUGGCUUGGCUGUGCCGCCGCAUAAUUUAUUUAAUGUUAUAAUUUUCCUAUUACCAUAAUACGAUUGAUAUUUAUUUGUUUAUUAUAUUAUGGUUAUUAUAUAAAUGUUUGCUCACCUAGAUAAAAUAUUAUGAAUUUUAUGGGAAUACAAAUGACAAACAUCGAGAAACUUCAGUUUCCGGCUGUGAAAAUAACUCUCGAAAAUUACAUCGGAUGGGUCACAAAUGAGAAACCUUACCUUGUAAUUAAGAAGUUAACCGAAACGAUAAAAAUCUGUAACAAAUCACCCGAGCAUAUAGCCGAAGCGGUAAUCUUCCUGAAGAAGCAUUUAGAUGAGAAUCUAACGCACGACUAUGCAAACAUCGAGGACCCAGCGGAACUUUGGAAAGCUUUGAAGGAGAGGAUUGAUAACCAGAAGGAAAUCAAUCUCCCUCAUGCUCUUGAAGAGUGGAAAAACCUGAAGUUUCAGGAUUUUCAAAAGGUUAAGGAAUACAAUCCCGCUGUUUUGAGGAUAGUUGCACAACUAAAGUAUUGUAGUAUUCCCGUCUCUGAGGCAUAAAUGCUUGACAAGACAUACAACACUUUCCACAAAGAGCAUAAACUCAUACCCUGAAUUUACAGAAAAUGUGGGUACACUAGAUUUUCUAAAUUGAUGGUUACGCUCAUGUUGGCUGAAAAGAAUGAUGAGCUACUAAUCAAAAACCACAAUUCCCGACCUACGGGAGCCAAUGCAUUCCCUGAAGUGAAUGCUAUGGCGGUUGAAAAUUCGGAAAGGAGAAACCAUACCAACCGAGGUCGUGGUCGCCUUCAACAACAAAUGUGGAAAAACUUAGAAUCCUAAGUGGAAGAGAUCUAACAAAUGGGUUAGACCUGAACAACUUCCUAAGGGUAGAGAAACUCAAAAGGAUACCACCCAGAAACGUGAGACUGUAUGUUACAAAUGUAGAGGUAAAGGACAUUGUGAUACGCCCAAAAUCGAGCACCGUCCUGCUUGGAUCAUGGAUACGGCCCAAGGUGGCGAUUUUGUCAACCAGCUCGACCAAACCGAGGUUCUCAUGUCGGAUCAUACCAGUUCUACUGCCCCUGACAUACCAUCUGAUCAUUCCGUCUAUACUGAGCUGAUUUUCCCAUCAGAUCGUGCUGAUCAGACCGGCCGUAUCGUUCCAUCCGAUCACCCGGACUGUACUGAUGGACUGAUCCGACACAUCGAUCAGUUCAUGAACUUUGAUCAUCUGAAUUUCUCUAAGGCAAGGAUAUUAAAGCUUUCAGAUGACUUAGCCUCCAUUUGGUCCAGAUCAGUCCGUGAGAAUCAUCCAUCCGACCAUAUGGACCGUACCGGACGCAUACUGCUCCUUACCGUGGGACAUACUGCAGGAUACAAUGAAUCUGGACAGUGGCAGCCGAAGGGUUCAUUCGACCAGUCAACAUAAUUUUCUGUGCUUUGACUAGAUCUGGUCAAUCAUCUAUUUUCUAUGUCUCUUUUUCAUAUAUUUCUAUUGAUUUUCUUUGACUACAACUAGUAUAAGUAUGUAAUCUCAUUCCAUCAAUAAAGCAAUCGAUUUUUCCUUAUUAUUUCCUAGUUUCAAACUCUCUUUGUUCUCUGUUUAGAACACUCUUGUUCUCUUGGUGAGGUUAUCUCCGAGUGAAUCCCCUUUCGUUUUGCUGGACUUGUGCGUCACAUCAAGCAGUAGACGGAAUAUAUGGUAGUAUCAUUGGUCCAUCCGCAACCCUUUGUGUCACCAUCCAUCCCAUCAGUUCUCAAUCCUUCUGGAUCGAGUCCAUAUCACCCGCACCGGUCGAGUGUUCGUUCCUUAGGGUUCUUCACAUUGGUCUCAUACCUGUUGUACUCCUCCACAUCUCUGUAAGUUAUAUCAAGAGUCCACGAAAGGCAAAGCUAAAGAAGUGAAUCUCACUGAAACUUUGAAGGGACAUCGUACCUCGAAGCCUUCGAUUUCACAAAUGAGAUGGAGUAAAUUGCUCCCAAAGAUAACUGAAAUGAUCGUAAUAAAACAACUGAAUAUUCUUCAGUAUUGUCAUGUAUAAUUAUUAUAUUUCCUGUUUCAAAUGAAUAAUAAUGUUUUAAUUUCAACUUAAUGUAUAAUUAUUGUGUGGUUUCCUUAUAUGAUUAUUAUAUGAAUGAAUUUUAUGUUUUCUUUUAUUAAUAUUUUUGAAAAUUUCCGAAAUGGAUCAAAAUUCUAAUGGAGAGAAAUCCAAGAAAUGGAAUCGAGAAAUAUGUAUACCAUAUAGUGGAACAACGCACACUAUUCUGAAACAAAAUAGAUAUUUCUCUGAUAUAAAACCGACAAGAAUUGUCAUCAAUACAAUAUCAGGUCCUGCAGACGUGAUUGAAGGGACUGGUAAAGCAAACUUUACGUUGCCAAAUGGAACAAAGUUUUCAAUAAACAAUGCUCUAUAUUCUCCGAAUUCUAAAAGGAAUUUGUUGAGUUUCAAAAAUAUAUAUAUUCACGGAUAUGAUAAUCAGUCUGCAGCUGAGAAUGAAAAAAAGUACAUAUAUGCAACUUUUGAUAAAUGUGGAAAAAAGUACAUAUUGGAAAAGUUCCCAGAACUUCCUUCGGGAUUGCAUCAUACUUAUAUCGAUGAAAUCGAAUCAAAUCAUGUAGUGAAACGAAAUCCAGAAGAAUUCACAUUAUGGCAUGAUCGCCUUUGACACCCAUGCACUACAAUGAUGCGUAAAUCCAAGAGAUUUCUCAAGGGGAAUAAAAUGACAUGUGUUGCAUGUUCUCUUGGAAAAUUGAUUGUAAGGCCAUCGCCAACCAAAAUUGAUAAAGAAUCACCAAAGUUCCUUGAAAGAAUUCAAAGCAAUAUAUGUGGACCAAUACAUCCACCUUGUGGACCAUUCCACUAUUUGUUGGUAUUAAUUAACACAUCUAGUAGAUGGUCACACGUUUGUCUAUUAUCAUCUCGAAAUGUGUCAUUUGCGAGAUUUCUAGCUCAGAUAAUCAAACUGCAAGCACAGUUCCCUGAUUAUACUAUUAAAAGAGUUAGAUUAGACAACACUGGUGAAUUCACAUCCCAAGCAUUCAAUGAUUAAUGUAUGGUAACGGGAAUUGAAGUUGAACAUUAUGUUGCUCAUGUUCAUACCCAAAAUGGUUUGGCUGAAUCUUUAAUUAAGUGUCUGCAAUUGAUUGCAUGACCAUUGAUCAUGAGAUGAAAACUUCCAACCUCUGUAUGGGUACAUGCUAUUUUGCAUGCAGAAGCACUCAUUCGUAUCAGACCAAGUGCAUACCAUAGGUAUUCUCCAAGACAGUUAGUGUUUGGUCGAGAACCAAAUAUUUCCCAAUUAAGAAUCUUUGGUUGUGCGGUAUAUGUGCCUAUAGCACCACCACAACAUACAAAGAUGAGACCAUAAAGAAGAUUAGGAAUAUAUGUUGGUUGUGAUUCUCCAUCAAUUAUACGAUACCUAGAACCACAAACUGGUGAUGUCUUUACAGCACGGUUCACCGAUUGUCAUUUCGAUGAGAAAGUAUUCCCACUUCUAGGGGGAGAAAACAAAAGUGUAGGAAUGGAUAUCAUCUUGAUCCUCCUACUAAAGAGUCAAAACAAGAACUCGGCGAAUUAUGCAUUUACAGAGUAUAGCAAAUCAGCUACCUCAUGCAUUUGCGGAUACCAAGACAGUAACUAAAUCUCAUAUACCAGCUUCUAAUGCUCUUGCUUGUAUCAAAAUAUCAAAUGAGGAAGGAAAAGCAGAUAAUACACGUGAGUCUAAAACACGCUUGAAGCGUGGUAGACCUGCUGGUUCUAUGAAUAAAUAUCCUAGAAAACAAAAGAAUCUCAAGAUAAAUGACACACCCAAAAUAGCAUAAAAUAUUUUGGAAAAAACAAAUAAUGAGGAUACUGAGAAAGUUGAGCAUCGUUAUUCGGAAAAUAAUCAUGAAAUUUCUGUCAACUACAUCUGUAAUAAGAAGAUAUAAAAAAGAAAUGAAAAGGAUUAUGUUGAUGAUGCUUUCUCAUAUAUUGUGUCAAGUGAAAUAAAUGAAGAAAUCGAUGAUCCAUAACCAAAAUCUGUUUAUGAAUGUCAAAAGAGACAUGACUGGAACAAAUGGAAAGAUGCAAAACAAACCAAACUAAAUUCGCUUAAUAAGCGAGAAGUUGAUAUCACUCAAAUUACCCUAAAGAGUGAAUUACUCUCUCAAAUAAGAGGUUUAGAUGUAGUACUUAGGGAUCGAAUCCACAAGGAGCUAGGGAACCUAAUAAAUCUAAUCAGAUUUGUAAAGCUAGUUUGUUUAAUGUUUUUAAUGUAAAGUUGCAAGUUUUGUGAGCGAGUAAUUGCUCGAUAGACUGGUUGGGGUUUUGGUGCUUAAAAGGAAAUAGUUAGACUUAAGGUUUUUAUUCAGAAAAUUUGGAUAGAUGUUUAACAAGUUGCAUGCAUGAUAUCAUAGAGCUCAACACUUAAUAACAAACCCUUAGGCUUUCGCUUUCAAGGUUUGUCUAUUGACCAGUGUCGAUCGAUUAUUCUAUAGGAAUCGAUCGAUACAUUUGUUGAAACGUCGACCGAUUAUUCAAAAGGAAUAUCGAUCGACGUGAUUGGUCAAGCGUUAAUGCACAUGUUGAAUAUGCUCACUAAGGUUACUAGAUCAGCUCUCGCUUAUUCUAGCAAGUCUUAGCUCAGUUAGAAUGGUUUCAUUAUGAGAUGAAAGUUAUCACUUAAAUCUAACAAUCCUAUGACAAGUUUUAGGUAGCUAAUCUAGAAUAUGACAUUAAUGACAAUCCUAAAGAUUAAUAUCACAACUUAGCAAUCUAUAGUUGUGGCUAAUCCCUCAUAACCUAUUUAAACCCUAAAAUCUAACAAGAGAACUACUCAGACAUGGCAAAGCAAUUCAUAACAACAAUAAGGUAUAGAAACUGCAUUCGAAUAAUAGAUAGAUAUUAAUGGAGUUCCAAUCACAAAUCUCUUUGGAUCUUCUCUCCAAUCUACUAAAAAUCCUAGAAAACCUUUACUGUUAAAAACAGUAAAACAAGAACGCACACUUUGCCUCUAACAUGUUGGCAAAAGUUAUAUAAUUAUGUUAAAACUCGUUAGGGGUAAUCUUGUAAAUUGGUGAAGACUUGGGCUCUAAAUCAGCUGUGACCAAACUGGCAUUAUGCACGCUUCGUUGUGUAUCGAUGUCAAGAUGUGAACAUUGAUCGAUUAUUCCUCUUCAAUAUCGACCGAUGGUCGAGCUCGAUGGUCAUCUCGGGUACUUACUCCAAAUAUCUCCAAAAUGUUCCAAAAUCAUCAUUUUUCUCCAAAUCACUCAUGAUCUUAUAAAUAUUCAAAAUAUACUUUAUAAUAUAAUAAUUAAUAGUUAAAACAUUUAUAAACCAUGGGCAAAAGUGAGUCAAAUCCAUGGUCUAUCAACUCCCCCAGACUUACCCUUUUGCUUGUCCUCAAGCAAAACAAACAAGCAGUCUCUGUGAAAGAGGUUUGAAAACAGCAGAGACUCACAUGAUUUAAGAGUUAUAAUCAUCACCUCUACAAUAUUGCAAUUCACAUAUAAGAAGUUCUAAUCACAAAAGCACAUUAUACCAUAUCCUAGCUUAACAACCAAAUUCACCUAGCCAACAACUUAGCAAAUCAUGUCUGACAUUCUCCUCUACCAACCUCAUUUCUUAGCAUAAAUAAAAGUGCAGGCUUUACCUUGGGAGUAUCGAUCACAAGAUGCAAGGAUUUUCAAACAAGUAUCUGGACCUGCACGUAAACAUUAGUUCUUAUCCUCUCUCAACUAAUUUUGUCUCUCAGUCAAAGUCUGCUUAUAUUGCAAGAUAAUUGACCAAGAUUGGACAGACUUUCAUGAAUUAAGACUUAAUGGUGGUUGCCACCAAAUCCUGUUCAUUUCUUUUUGACCAAUAUCCUAGGAUUAUUUGUGAAGUAAGCCUUAAUGGUUGUACCCACCAAGUCAUGUUCUUAUCCUUUACCUAUAAAAUUCUUAUGAAGCAAGUUUUAAUGGUUGUAGCCACCAAGUCUUGUUCGAAUCCCUUCCUAAUAAAUCUCUAAUAGAUAAUAUAUAUAUAUAAUAGAUUUUUUUUUAUAAACUAUAUCUAUAAUUUUAAUAUAUAUUUCGAAAAUAGAGAGAGAGGGUGAUAAAUCUUAGGGGUGGGCAAAAAACCUAAACCGAACCAAUCCAAACCAAACCAACCGAAGUUAAACCGAUCCAAACCAAACCGUGCUCUUUACAUAACCCAAUUGGUUCAUGUUUUACUCAACCCGAAUGGUUUGGUUUAGGUUCAAACCGAACCAAACCGAACCAAACCAAUAAUCCAACAUAUUUUUAUCUAUAAAUAAAUAUAUAUAAAUAUAUAUAUGUAAACAUAUUGUAAAUUUUAGUUAAAGUUUUGUUUUCCAUUUUUUCUUAACUUCCAUAUAUUUUUAAAAAAAUCUAAAUAUGAUUCAAAUAAUCCUAAUACCUAAAGAUUGUACUGAAAACAAAACCUAAAAACUAUAAGCAUCCAAAUCGUAGCCAUCUCGUUUCGAUCAUCUUCUCCAAUUUUCAUUCUCUAAAUUAUGUAACAGUUAUUAUAGGAUCAAUAAAAACAAAAAGGUUGAUACAAAUAGUCUUUUAGUUAAUAGGUUUUGGAAUGUUUACAAGUCUUUGUUACGCUAAUUAGAUUACAAAUAGUCUGCUCUUUGCUUAUUAUGUAUUUCUUCCUUUGACGUAGUUAAGAGUUUUGUCAUCGAGCUUGUUUUUUGUUUCACAGAUUUUUUAAGAAAACCAAACUAAAUCUAAACCAAACCGAACUAAGCCGAACCAAACUAAACCCAAACCGAACCCAAACCAAAGCUACUUUGGUUUUAGUUGGGUUGAGUUUUAUAAAACCCAAAUUAACCAAACCAAACCGAACCCGAAACUAAACCGAUAUGCCCACCCCUAAAUCUAUAUACACAAGGCUUUACCUUCCAGAUUUGUUUGAAGAAUUUGAUCUCAUGUAUACCAAGCCCCAAGAUAAGCAGUUGUGUCAAGUUUAGUGUUGGAGAUCAGCUUUGGUUUCUUCAAACAAUCUCAGCAAGUGUGAAUAGUUGACAGGUUAAUCCACUUUAGUGUCUUUAGUACUAUCUGCAAUCAGUAAGUCUAGAAUGGUGCUAAAGAGUGGUUAGAUAACAAGCAAAAAUCUAAUAAGUUCAUUAUCCCCUUCUUGACUUGAUAAAACAUUUUAAAAACUUUUUAAUAAGACUUAUGAAUAAACUACUAUCAGUAAACCUCCCCCCAAACUUAAACUACACUGUCUCCAGUGUAAAUUCAGUCGGAGUUAUGGUGAUAACGAAAUCAUAAGGACUCAAUGUAACAAGUUAGAACAAUAUACCAGACCGGAAUGGAUAUCGACCGAUGUAAAGGUGUUGAUAUCGGUCGCGGCAGGUGAUCUUCUGCCGAUCGAUGUCGGCAGUGUUUUGUCGGUCGAUACUCACGACAAUCGUCUACUCGGAUCCUUUUUUUUAUGACCUGCAAUAAAUAAAAACCAACAUAAAUACUAGAUUAAUAAAAAAUAAUUAAAUAUUACCUAAUAGUGGGUUGCCUCCCACUCAGUGCUUUGUUAUAGUCAUUUAGCUUGACUUUGAAGGUGAUUUGGCUAGUAGUGUUGAAAGCUGGAAAUUGUUGGGAAACAAGUGUCCAUCUCUUCUCUGCGCUUGUUAAACCAUGUACCAGUGAGGUCUCGCAUUGCUUCAUCUCCUCGGCGCUAUUUUUCCUUCAUUGUUGCAGUUGUGUUUUCCAUCUUCUGCAAUUUAUCUCCAAGACUCUCAAGGUUGAACUGAAUUCUUCUGAGUAUGGGUAGGUGUCAGCUGAGAUCUCCUCUCCUUGGUUGUGUGUAUCAGACAUGUCUGAUGUCUCCUUUGGUACUAGCCUGCCUCGGUUUGUAGCUUCGUCGACCGAUGUCUGUCUAUGAAUGUCGGUCGAUUUGUUGUUGCGUAUGUCGAUCGAUGCUGAUGCUUCUGGUCGACGGGCAAUGUAACUCUGAAUCUGCACUAAUUCCCUCUGUAUUGUUUCUAUCUGAGAAGUCAAAGCACUCAUGGUAAGGUCCAUUGGGAAAUAGAUGUCAUCACAUCUCCUAUCAAGCCUCUCUUCUGUUGUUUCCAGAGUUUUUUAUAUCUCUUAUACCAACUGAUCAAUCUCUGCUCUUGUGUGAAAAUCUGGUUGAGAUUUCAUCGGGUGUGAGUUUUUUGGGUCAUCGUCGAUCGAUGUUGAGUGGUGUCUAUCGGUCAAUGCUGGUCGAUGUUUGUCGGCCGCAUGCUGAAUUUUGUCUAUGUCUUGCCUCAUCUCCUCCAUGCAUGUAGUCAACCAACUCAUGCUAUCAUUAAGUGGUUAGUAGACACCAUCAAGCUUCAUCUGGAAAUGACCUUCAUACUUCUCUUGGGCUCCAUAGACUCCAUAGAACAUCUCAUUGAUCUCGUCCUUAGUGUAGAUCUCUGGUACCAGCUUCGUCUGUGUGAAUGAGCUAGCAUGUUCUUGAAGACAUAUGUAGUUGUGCUCAUCUCUCGAAGAUCUUUCCAUUAGCUUUCUGAUAUCAUCCUUGGACACACUAAUGAUGUGACCAUUCAUAUCUCUUGCAUAUCCCUGAUCAUAUCUGUAGACUCCAUACUCAUCCUUCUCUUCCAGUCGAAUUUUCUGGUUCCAAAAAGGUCAAAGGCUCUUCUGCCGAAUUCUGGACGUCUGUCGAUCGAUGGUGGAAUGAGUAUGAUGUUGAUUCUUCUGCUUGAAGCGAUUGUCUAUGCCACCAGCUGUGUUAUAAAACUCUUUUGUAACCCUCUGCUGAUGUGCUAGGACAGUGCAUUGUUGCACGAAGAGAUUGUCUACUCCAUUAGCCAUCUGAAGAAUGUCUGCAAUGUCCUCUCUGGAUAUUUGCAGUGCAUGGCCAUCUAUUGCUCUUGCAUAGUCGGCUGGGUCCCUGAAAAUACCAAAUUCAUCAUGUGUAAAUACUGGUUAUCAAUUUUAGGGUUUUCGCUUACAGUGGAUUUCGGUUUUGGACGGGUGUCGAUCGACGGUGGAAGGCUGUUGUCGAUUAACAGACGGUUGGCUCUGUCGAUAGGAUGGGUCAAACUUGUCCUUUCCCCAGUAGCUUCUUCUCAUUGUUGAUCUGGUUUAUCACAUCUUUGCAUGUUGAAAAGUUCCUCAUAUGUGAAAACCUCAUGAAGUUCAUCUGCUCCUGGCUCAUGAAUUUCUGUUUCUACUGCAUAGCUUUCAUGAUGGUGAUCAUCUGCCCAAAUGCCAAUGGAGUAGUCUCCUUCUCGUACAUGGUCGACUCCAGUGUCGAUCGAUGGAUAGUAGGCAAUGUCGGCCGAUGCUCGUUUUUAGUUUAUCUGAUGAGGAUGAGUGUCGAUCGAUGUUGAAACUGUUCUGUCGAUCGACGACGCAUUCCUUUUCCAAGAAGAAUGGUGGAGAAGUCUAUCUUCCUCAUCAAGAACGGCUUUGUACUCUAUAGCUCGCUCCUCCUCAUAAUAUUCAUCAUACUCCUCUGAAUGCAUGGUGUGUCUGGUGUGUGCUGCCAUAGUGCGGUUUGGAUUACUGUCGACCGAUUCUUAAUCAGGAGUGUCGGUCGAUUUCUUGUGGGCACUGUCGAUCGAUGUUGAUGUGUGAGUUUCGAUCGACGCCGAGUAUUCUGUCUCGUAUUCAGCUCCAUAGUAGGAUGCUGCGAUGAGUACUGGAUCAUUAAUACUUCUGGAGGAUGUAUGUGGCUUCUUGACUGGAAUGGGGUUGUAGUGGACAUGAGGAUUUAUGAGCGUCAGACACAACUGGUUGGUUUGUAAGUUGCACACUGCUCCUACUCUUGACAAGAAAGCUCUCCCAAGUAAUAGAGAAGAGUUCCAGUUUAGCUUGAUAUCCACAAGGAAAUCAACUAGAACUAGGACAUUACCAAUCUGCACCUCUAGGUUUCUCACAACUCCUCCUGAGCUCCUCUGAGAACAAUCCACAAAAGUGAAUGAUUCUUUGGAAGGCUCCACCUGCAGACGCAGCUGGUCUGCCAUAACCCUAGGUAGGAAGCUGACUGAUGCUCCUGUGUCGCACAAGGCAUGUGGGAAUUCAAUACCCGUCACCGUACAUGGUAUUGCAAAUUGCCCAGGAUCACUCUUCUUCUUCAGUAUAAUCCUUUUCUUCAUCUUUUCUCUAGCUUCACAGAACAUUCUCCUAAUGUCUUCUUCGGUUUCUCUGGUCUCUCUGAAGAACAUCCACAAUUUGUGGGUAAAAUAAGCCUCCUCGAAUGGAUUUCUAAAGGAAUCCUGUAGACUCUCUUUUGGAAACUUUCCCUUUCCUUUUCAUUAGCUCCCCUCUUCAGAUGUUUCGCCACUUUUUCCUUUCUUUUCCUUAGGGUUCUUCCCAUAGGAAUCCUAUCAACUUCCAUAGGAUCUGCUGCAUCAUCUGAAGGUAUCAUGAUGGUCUCUGGUGGGUUAUUUGAAGGUUUGGGUUUGGGCCUGAGUGCAUUGAUACGUGCAACAUCUAUCUUUGGCAUCUGCACUCGGUAUGUAAGAGGUGCUCGUCGAUCGAUGGGUGCUGGAGGUUGUCGAUCGAUGGCGGUCUCUUUCUAUCGAACGAUGACGGGGUCAGAAUGUCGAUCGAUCUUGACGUAAACAGGGCUGGGCGGAUGUGGGUAUUUUGCUGCAAACUCCUCGUGAGUCAUGAUCCUCACGGCAUUGCAUGAUGCGGUCGAUUCUGUAGGUGUCAUUGAUCGAUGCUCUGGAGAGCAUGUCGAUCGAUUUUGAUUAAAGUCCGUCGAGCGAUGUUCGAAGUCCGGCGUCGAUCGUCACCAAUGCGAUCCGCUGAAACUCAUCAAAAUUUCUAUUUCGAAAUCUCUUUCUUGCAGGUUCUCAUGCUUCAUUACUUGCCAGAAAUCGUCAUCUAUGAUGGCAUUCACGUGGUGCUUCAUCACAUCAUCUUCUACCCUCUUGUUUAGACUUCUGCCUCUUAACAGCUUCUCCUGUUUGAACAACCUGAAUCUCCAGCUUCUUCACAUGAGUGCUAAAAGUCUCAAACUUUGUGUUCAGGUUGGUGUAGACAGAGUCAAUCUUCCCAUUGAAGUCCACCGUCAUGCGCUGCUAUCCCUCAAGAACCCAAUCAAGCAUCUCUUCAAUCUUGCUCUCUUAUAACCCAUGUUGUUGCUGCUGUAGUUGUUGCUGUAGCGUUUCUGGUGCUGUGAACCUUGGUUGAAAUUGCCCUUAUUUCCAUAGGAACUUUUGUUUCCACUCUGGUUUCCAGAUCCUUGGACUCCAGUUCCACUAAUGAAGUUCACAUCUUCUUCUACCUCUGUUGUACCCUAUGUGUCUACAGCUUUUGCAUCCUCAACCAAGCAGACCUGCUUUCUGAGAAGCUUGUGAACACUGUCCAGCUUUUCCCUCACUUCAUCCAUCUGAUCAUUCCCAAGAAUGGUGGUGGAUUUCUUCCUCUCAAAACCAGUGUUCUUGGUGUUGCUGUUGGAUGCUAAGUUCUCAAUAACUUUCUUGCCUCAUCUGGAUUCCUGGUGUUGAAGUUCCCAUUGCGGGAAGCAUCAAGAGCCAUCUGAUACUGCACCGCGAUGCCUUUGUAGAAAGUACUGAGCAGUUGUACUUCAUUGAAUCCAUGGUGUGGACAGUCUCUUGAUAAGACUUGAAUCUGAUCCAGGAGCUUCUGAAUGACUCUGCAGGCUCCUUAGUGAAUAUAGCAAUCUUGCUCCUCAAGUCUUCAGUAGGCGCCUUAUCAAAGAAGUUGCAUAAGAAUGCAUUCUUGAUGUCACUUCAGGAUGUAAGAGAUCCUGGUGGUAACUGUUUAAGCCAAUGCGAAGCAUCUCCAGCAAGUGAGUACUUGAAGAGCUUGCAUAAGAGGUAGUCUUCAAAGACUCCCUCGACUUUGAUAGCAGAUAUAAGAUCCUCGAACCUCUCCAGAUGGUCCAUAGGAUGCUCGUGAUAUAACCCAUAGUAGGGUGUCUGUCCCAUGAGUGUGUAGUACUGCAGCUUCAACUCGAAAUUCCUCCUCUGAAUAAUUGGAGGACGAAUGGCUGAUCAGUUGGUGUAGAACUGACCUGGACGGUUGUAGUCAGCCAACGUUAUGGGUCGAGCAGCCUCAUCUACAGGUAGAGUGUUUCCUGUAGCAUCAGUAUCAUACUCAGGGAUUGCAGCCCCCAGAGCAUCUAUCCUCUGACAUGCUGCAUUACGCAGAUGACCUUCCUAGUCAUGCAGGUCUCCCCUCUCAUCACAUACAAGAAUCAAGGUCGCAACCAUGUCUCGCGGCUCAGUAUCAAUCGAUGUUCGGACUGAAGUAUUGAUCGAUGUCGGAUGGAAGAUCUCGGUCGACGGAAGAUGAGUGUCUUCGAUCGAUGGUGAUGAGUGAGUGUCGGUCGACGAGACUAGUGUCUGGGUUGACGGUGGCUGACAAAAAUCGAGCGACGAACAGAUGUUGUUGUCGAUCGAUGAGGAACGUAUUUCCUUACGGAUUGAACGUUCCAAGCUUGCAAGAUCUGAUGAUAAUAACAUUUGAGUUUCCUUGUUGCUUCUGGUACUGCUGGGCAUGUACCUAAAAAGCCAAGAAUUUUUUUUUGUGUCAGAAAGUGGUUUUAAACUUAACAAGAUUAAAUCUAUAAGGCGAUUAAAGCUCUCCGGCAACGGCGCCAAAUUUGAUAUCACUCAAAUUACUCUAAUGAGUGAAUUACCCUCUCUCAAAUAAGAGGUUCAGAUGUAGUACUUAGGGAUCGAAUCCACAAGGAGCUAAGGAACCUAAUAAAUUUAAUCAGAUUUGUUAAGCUAGUUUGUUUAAUUUUUUUUAAUGUAAAGUUGCAAGUUUUGUGAGCGAGUAAUUGCUCGAUUGAUUGGUUGAGAUUUUGGUGCUUAAAAGGAAAUAGUUAGACUUAUGAUUUUUAUUCAGGAAAUUUGAAAUUAUAAUCCUAUAAAUGCUUAACAAGUUGCAUGCAUGAUAUCAUAGAGCUCAACACUUAAUAACAAACCCUUAGGCUUUCGCUUUCUAGGUUUGUCUAUUGACCAGUAUCGAUCGAUUAUUCUAUAGGAAUAUCGAUCGAUACACUUGUUGAAACGUCGACCGAUUAUUCGAUAGGAAUAUCGAUCGACGCGCUUGAUCAAGCGUUAAUGCACGGGUUGAAUAUGAUCACAAAGUUUACUAGAUCAGCUCUCUCUUAUUCUAGCAAUUCUUAUCUCAAUUAGAAUGGUUUCAGGAUGAGAUGAAAGUUAUCACUUAAAAUCUAACAAUCCUAUGACAAGUUCUAGGUAACUAAUCUAGAAUCAUGCAUUAAUGGCAAUCCUAAAGAUUAAUAUCACAACUCAGCAAUCUAUAGUUGGGGCUAGUCCCUCAUAACCUAUUUAAAUCCUAAAAUCUAACAAGAGAACUACUCAGACAUGGCCAUGCAAUUCCUAACAGCAAUAAGGUAUAAAAACUGCAUUAGAAUAAUAAAUAGAUAUUAGUGGAGUUCCAAUCACAAAUCUCUUUGGAUCUUCUCUCCAAUCUACUAAAAAUCCUAGAAAACCUUUGUUGUCUAAAACAAUAAAACAAGAAAGAACACUUUGCCUCUAACAUGUUGGCAAAGCUUAUAUAAUUAGGUUAAAACUCGUCAGGGGUAAUCUUGUAAAUUGGUGAAGACUUGAGCUCUAAGUCGGCUGUGAUCAAACGGGCUUUCUGCGCGCUUCGCUGUCGAUCGAUGUCAAGAUGUGAACAUCGAUCGAUUAUUCCUCUUCAAUAUCAACCGAUGGUCGAGCUCGAUGGUCAUCUCGGGUGCUUACUCCAAAUAUCUCCAAAAUGCUCCAAAAUCAUCACUUUUCUCCAAAUUACUCCUGAUCCUAUAUAUAUUUUAAAUAGACUUUAUAGUAUAAUAAUUAAUACUUAAAAUACUUAUAAACCAUGGGUAAAAGUGAGUCAAAUCCAUGGUCUAUCAGAAGUAUUUGGAUCUAUUACUCUCACACCUGCAGAUGUGAGAGCAGUUGGAUACAAAUGGGUUUUUGUGAGAAAGUGAAAUGAGAAAAAUGAGGUUACGAGAUACAAAGCUCGCCUUGUGGCCCAAGAUUUUUCUCAAAUACCUUGAAUUGAUUAUGAGGAAACGUAUUCUCCUGUUUUGGAUGCAAUCACAUUUAGAUUCCUGAUGAGUCUAGUAGCUGAUAAAAAUCUCGAGAUGCGUCUCAUGGAUGUUGUUACAGCCUAUCUAUAUGGAUCAUUAGAUACUGAUAUCUACAUGAAAGUUCCUGAUGGAUUUAAAAUGCCAGAAGCAUUAAGUUCCAAACCUAAAGAGUUAUGUGCAAUAAAAUUACAAAGAUCAUUAUAUAGGUUAAAGCAAUCUGGACGUAUGUGGUAUAAUCGUCUCAGUGAGCAUUUAACAAAAGAAGGAUAUGUGAAUGAUCAUAUAUGCCCAUGUGUUUUCAUCAAGAAAACAACAUCCGGAUUUGUGAUAAUCGCGGUAUAUGUUGAUGAUCUUAAUGUUAUCGGAACUCAAAAGGAAAUACAAAAGGCAUCAGACUAUCUCAAAGGAGAAUUUGAGAUGAAAGAUCUUGGAGAGAUACAGUAUUGUGUUCGCCUAUAAAUAGAACAUUCUCAAAAUGGUAUAUUUGUGCAUCAAUCCACAUACACUAAAAGAGUAUUGAAACAAUUUAACAUGGAUAAAUUUACUCCUCUUAUCACUCUGAUGGUCGUUAGAUCACUUAUUAUUGAAAGUGAUCCAUUUCGACCACCUGAGAAAAAUGAAAAGAUACUUGGUCUAGAAGUACCAUAUCUAAGUGCAGUUGGAGCGCUGAUGUAACUUGCAAAUUGUACACGGCCUGAUAUAUCAUUUGCAGUUAAUAUUUUGGCAAGAUUCAGAUCAUCUCCCACACGAAGAAAGUGGAAACUAUUGGAAUGAAAGACUAUAGACCCAUAUAUUUCUGUAAUGUGCUCUAUAAGGUGAUCUCGAAGAUUCUUGCUAAUAGGUUGAAAAGCUUGUUGCCGAAGUGUAUAUCUCUGAAUCAGUCUGCUUUUAUAAAGGAGAGACUUCUGAUUGAAAAUGUCCUAUUAGCAACAUAAUUGGUGAAUGAUUAUCAUAAAGAGAGUAUCUCAUCAAGGUGUGCAAUGAAGAUCGAUAUAUCAAAGGCUUUCAACUCAGUACAAUGGUCUUUUCUACUUAAUACUUUGAAAGCACUUGGUUUGCCGGAGAAGUUUAUCUACUGGAUAUCUCUCUGCAUCACAACAUCUUCUUUUUCAGUACAAAUAAAUGGGAAAUUGGCAGAGUAUUUUCAAAGCAAGAGAGGAUUGAGACAAGGAUGUUCUUUAUUUCCAUACAUAUUUGUGAUUUGUAUGAAUGUGUUGUCUAAGAUGCUAGAUAAAGCCGUGAAUGAAGGAAGGAUAGGAUAUCAUCCUAGAUGCAAAAGUAUUGAGCUUACGCAGCUGUGCUUCGCGGAUGAUUUGAUGUUAUUUGCAAACUGUACAAAAAGAUCAGUUGAGGGGAUUCUUGACGUCUUUGAGGAGUUUGAUAAAAUGACUGGGCUAAAAAUUAGCUUGGAGAAGUCGACUCUGUUUAUGGCAUGAAUUACUACUCAACGGCAAGAAGAGAUCUUAUACCAGUUUCCGUUUGAAUCAGGGAAGCUUCCAGUGCGGUACCUAGGCCUCCCUCUCCUUACAGAGAACAUGACGAUAUCUGAUUUUCUUCCUUUAAUUGAGAAAAUCAGAAAACGAAUCAGUUCAUAAGCGAGCAGAUUUCUAUCAUAUGCAAGAAGGUUGCAACUGAUAAAGUCAGUAAUCACGAGUCUAACUAACUUCUGGAGGGCAGCAUUUAGAUUACCAAGUGGUUGUCUGAAAAAGGUAGAGAAGUUGUGUUCUGCUUAUCUUUGGUUGGGACCGGAUUUAAAUGGUAAAAAAGCUAAGAUAGCUUGGAAGGUUGUUUGUAGAGAGAAGGAGGGGGGGAUUACGAUUGAGACCAUUGAAGGAGACAAACAUGGUAUGCUGUCUGAAACUAAUAUGGCGUAUUCUCUCAUCUGAUUCACUUUAGGUGAACAGGGUAAAGGCUUAUCUUAUUAGAAAAGGAUCAAUAUGGAUGAUAAAAAAAGUAAUCAGAAUGGUUCGUGGAUGUGGAAGAUGAUCCUUAAAUAUAGAGAGAUUGUUAAACAAUUAUAUCGAGUGGAGAUUAAGAAUGGAAGGAGAACUUCUUUGUGGUAUGAAUCUUGGUCAUCUCUAGGGUGUUUGAAGGAUAUUUUGAAUGGAGGUGGAUGCAUUGAUAUGGGUAUCCCAAUCAAUGCGACAGUGGAACAAAGUAGGAAGCAUCGAAGAAGAAAUCAUCGGGUCACUCUGUUAAAUAAGAUUGAGGAAGAGAUUGAGAAGUAUGAAGCCAAUUUGGUAUCAAAAGAAGAUGUAUCUCUAUGGAAGGAUGGGAAAGGUAAAUUCAAAAAAACUUUCUCAUCAGGUGAGACAUGGAAGAUCACCAGAGAGAAGCAUUAACCAUGUAACUGGUAUAAAGCAGUGUGGUUUCAAUAUGCUACACCAAAACACUCUUUCAUCUUAUGNNNNNNNNNNNNNNNNNNNNNNNNNNNNNNNNAGCAGUGUGGUUUCAAUAUGCUACACCAAAGCACUCUUUCAUCUUAUGGACUACAUUACAUGAUAUGCUUCAAACAAGUGACCGUAUGAGAUAUUGGAAUGGGAAUGUGGAUACAUCUUGUAUAUUGUGUCAUGAUCUGACGGAAACAAAUGAGCAUUUAUUCUUUGAAUGCUCUUUUUCAUCUCAUGUAUGGAGAAGCUGAUGAGAGGAGUAUUGAGAAAUGAAUUCACAUUAAGCUGGACAGAUUUGAUAAAGAUAUGUAACAAGAGAGGGAUGAGGAAAAUACGAAUAUUCAUUAUUAGAUAUGCUAUGCAAUUGACUGUAUACAACAUUUGGAGGGAAAUGAAUAGAAGGAGACAUGGAGAAACUGGUCUGCCUUAUGAACAUUUGACUAAGAUGAUUGAAAAGAAUAUGAGAAAUAGAUAUUCAAAGGAAAGGAGACACAGAUUUUGAAGGAGGAUUAAUAUAUUGGUUCAACACAAGAUAGAAAGAAGUGGUGGACUGAUGAAGCAUAAGAAUGAAAUAUAAAAGUUAGAAAUAUUUUAAUUUCAAAGAAACUUUAUUGUAAAGAUCUUUUUUGAGUUAAAUUUAACAUCCAAUUCAAAAAAAAAAUAUUAAAUUGAGGGAAUUGCACGACGAAUAUAAUUUUUAGAAAAAGAUAUUCAUUUCUCGAGGUCAUAAAAGCUUAGAGAGCUACUGGCUUCAUUAUGAAGACAAUUCUUUAUCGAGGAAGAUCAUAUGUAGAUAAACCUUGUUUACAAAAAAAAAAAAGAUCAUAUGUAGAUAUGGACUCAUAUUCGAAGUUGACUCAUUUUGGGUCAAACCAUAAAAUCUGACAAAAAUGACUAAUCAAAUUUGUGUGCACUUCAUAUUUUAAAACUAAUUUUGUCGUGUUAGUAACAAAAUUUGUUGAAUCAUUAUGAGUUUAUAACCUUUUUAGCGUUUACGUAUAGUAUAAAAGGAGAGGCAUACACUGAUUUUUGCUAUAUGAAUGUUGCAUAUAUAUAAGUUUAAUUUCUUGCAUUUUUGGAGUAUAAUAAAGGUACCCUGAACACAUAAAAAUACAUAUAUAUCAUGAUAUAGAAAGCAUAUGUACUUACAUAAAGUUGAUAAAAAAGUACUUUCAUAAAAAUAAAAAGAUGUAGACAUAGACAUUUAUAUCUCUGAUUUAAAUAUAAACGAACUUUUCUCAAAUCUGUUGUUCUUGUGGUCAGCUCGAGCAUCUCUAGGUUUUUCGUGAUUUUCGUUUGAUUGUCGUCGCUAUGGAGUUUAAUAUCAGUUUCUUCAGUUCCAUAAGCACUGCAAGUAAUCUCUUUUAUUUCAGUAUUUCAAUUUUUUAUAUUAUGCUUUUCCAUUAUGAGGCUUUAUCUUUUUAAUGUACAGUUUAUUAACUCCCGACUUUUGGCUCUGAAAGGAUUGCAUUCCUUGUCAGCUUUGUGUUGUAAAAUGGAUCAAAUAUUAUAAUAAAUUUAACGGAUGAACAAAAAAAUAUAAACGAACUUUUCCUUCUUUUCUAAAAUCUAUUUGAUGACCAUAUCACAUAAGCAAUAAAAGUAAAUAUAGUUUUCCCAGACCUAUCAAGUCUAACCGGCUUACACCCAACAUUAACAUUGGUGAAUCAGUGAAAUAAGGAGUUGUCUUGCCUGUAGUACCGAGAGAGUGUGUAGAAGAUGGUUUAUCCAUUCCGGUCGAGAUGACAAACCUUAGUAUCAAUCCGAUAGUAAGUUAGUAUUAUGGUUAGGUUAUGAAAAAUUGGGUUGAUUUAAAAUUCUUACGCUUAUGCAGUUGAUUGGAGUAUUGUUCCUACGUAGAAGAUCUUUGAAGACUUGUCCCAUGGUGGUUUCUAGAAACAAUCAAGAACAUGUGAAAGAAAACUUUGUGUGUGUUUUCUUGUGUUGGUUUCGGUUGGAUCUAUGUCUACAGCUGGUUUGAGGCAGUAAAAACAAACAAUGCGACAAUCUAAACAAUUUGUGUGAGUUGCAAAAAGUUUAUUUUUCCUACUAAAAAUUUCAGAUAGUUUAGUUGUCAUCAGUAUACGAAAUACCAAGUGCUAGGAACCUUGAAAUCAUUAUUCUAAGAAAAAUAAAUGUCUAACAAAUUAGUAAUCUGUGUUCAAAUAUUAAGCCAAAGCACCAGCGAUAGCUGAAAACCAAAUAAAGAAAAACUCAGUCAAAGCACAAACUUUAAAAAAAAAGAGAGUAACACUCCAACGUUCCCUUGUAAAACUAUCUAUAUUUGACUUUGACUACUUACAUCAAUGAAGAAGGAAAUAUAAUGAGUUCAUCAUAUUCCUUUAUUGAUUCAACUCAGAAUAUACAAAUGACAAAGAAAGAAAGAAACAUGUGAGGAGUAUGCUUCAAUUAAAACCUUGGCUGCUGAAAUUUCUUCAACGCAGGAUUGGUGAUGGCACUCGUGCAUCAUUUUAGUAUGAUUUAUGGACUGAUCUGGGGCCUGUAUAUGCUAUGUUUGGACCAUAUGGUCCAUGCCAAUUGCAGGUUUAGCUUCAUGCCAACGUUUCUGAUGCAGUACGUGAUGGUUCAUGGAAUUUUCUAGCAGCUCAGUCUGAUGAUAUGGAGACCUUGCAGAUUGUUCUAUCUACCAUGGAGGUUCCAUUACCAUAUAGAGGAUAGGAUCAAUAUCUUUGGCUCGCACCUAACGGAACUUAUCUACCAAAGUUCUCCUCAAAGGCAACUUGGGAAAGAAUCAGGAAUCGCUCUGCCUUGGUUUCAUGGUCAAAAGUAAUUUGGUUCAAGCAAAAAAUCCCAAGAUGGUCCUUUGCAGCUUGGAUGGCCAUUCUUGGGUGUAUACCCACUCGUGACAGAUUUCUUGUAUGGGGAUUAAAUGUUCCAAACAGUUGUGUGCUCUGUGCUUCAGGAAUUGAAACUCAUCAACACUUGUUCUUUCAAUGCAAUUUCACUGUUAACAUUUGGACACGGUUUUGUGGUAGAAUGAUUGCAUCCCCUCCUGCUAAUUUUAUGGCAUCCGUACCCCUCUCUCAGUUGCUGAUGGACUCUGAUCUCAGUGAUACUGCUGUGGUAUUUAACUCAUUUUCAGGUGAUUGUGUACACCUUUUGGAGAGAAGGAAACUCACGUAUCUUCAGGGGGCAAGCAUUAACCAGUGACUCUCUCUUUGCGUCAGUGGAUAGAAUGGUCCGUGACCGGUUACUCUCUUGCUCGAGUGGUGCUCAGGUUGGUCCAUCGUUGCUACAGCUCUACUUCUGCUUCAUCUCUCCUUACAGCUAGUUGUUCUUGCCUCUGUUUUGUGCUGUUCUUUUUGGAUUGCACCUCUGAGGUUUUAAAUUUCUAUCUUUGUCUAUGUCUUCUUCGUUAUCCUCCAUCUUCCUCCUUGUAAUAAGUUACUAAGCAACAUCAUUGUAAACUCUAAAAAAUGGUAUGCAAUUUUAACAUUUGUACCAAAAAAAAGAAAAGAAACAUGUUGACAUUGGUCCCAAACUUAGCAUUCCUAAUCGGAUGGUUUGAUAUAUAAGCAUUGCAACAGAGAGUGUCUUCUUUCAUAUUGACGUCAGUAGUCACUCCCAAGUACCUGACAGUCCAUUGCAUCAGAGUGUUCCAUUUGAAUUUCAGAUAGAAUCUCGAGCAAAGGAAGUCCUGCUCUAUUCAUAUCUACAUGCAUCAUAAGAGCAAACAAACAUUUAAAAAACCCAAUGGCUGUCUCAGAGUCAAAGUAAAUAUGUGUGCUAGUAAAUACAAUAUUGUGGAUCGUACUAACCUUGCUAACAUACCGUUUGGUCGAUCGAAGGUAUGUUUAAAUCAUCUAAUCUCAUCUCAAAGUUGAUAUUUGUAAUCUCUAACACUGAUUUCCACUGCAGGAGUUGGACUUGCUGCUUACUCAAAACAUGCUUAGACGUACUAUGAUAAACAUUCUCAUCGAGUUCAAAAGUUUAGACAAUCGGAAUGGAGUAAUCGUCUACAGAGUUAAUCGAAAAGAAAGAUGUUUACAUUCUCAUCGAUGAGGAGCAUGCCAGACUCAUUAGUUCACCGCCUUUCCUGACAUUUCUUGCCUCCCAAAAUCUCAGCAAACGAACAUCCGCAGUGUUGGAGCAUCGCCCAGCUUUCAAAUCUGCAAGGAGGAUGAAGGUAUUCGCCAUCGCAGUAAUCAGUAAGUAAAAAGACUAUUCUUCUGGAUCUCAUCGAACCUGUGAUGUUCAUCGCUCUGGGAGGGGAUGAGCUCAACUGAAUGAUGAAGAGUGGGGACAGUGGGUUAAUUACGUAGAAAAUGGGAGUAAAGAAUGUAUCAAUGCGACCUCGAGACAUUACGUUAAGAAUACGUUAAACACGUUAAACAUUCUGUAACAACAUUUUGUAAUUGGGCCAGUAAACCUGUUUAAAAAAUUCAACAGUUUCCUAUAUAAGCCCAAACCCGUUUAGAAAAUUCAGCCGAUGAACGUGACAAGUGUCCUAACACGCUCUAUGAAGAGAGAAAAAACCUACUUUAUAGUAUUAAAAAUAGAUGCUUGCAAUGAUAUGGGCCUUAUUAUAAAUAAUGUGCCAAAUCUCCAAUCCCAAUUUGCAUAAACAGAUUACAGAAAAUAACCAACAUUAACAUUAUAAACUCUGUGGGACUAAUUUGCUUUAACAGUUAUCGAAUGUUGGUUGGUACAUAAGUAUUGAGUAUUUUUCAUUAAUUUAUUUCCUAUGGUGAUUUUCUUCGUGGCACUAAACCAAUCCUUACUAAUAAAAUAGACCUUUUGAGCCUCCAUAGAACGUCUGCAUCAGCAAAAAAAAUUCUCUCGAAAGAUGACACGUGGCAUUAUUAUUUAAAAAAUAGAAAAUAAAUAAUACGUAAAUUUACAAUAUAAAGAAAAAUAACUAAUAAGUAAAUAAACAAUAUAAGAAAUAGAAACAUUGCAUUAAACAAUAAUAAGUAAAUAUACAAUAUAAGGAAAAUAAAUAAUAAGUAAAUAUAUAAUUAAGAAAUAAAAAAACUAAAUUAAACAUAUAUCUGAAAAUGUAUAGUAUAAUAAAUAAUAACUAAAUACACAAUACAAGAAAUAAAAAUAUUAUAUUAAAUAUUUAUCGUAAUAUUAGAAUAAAUAAAUAUAAAAUAAAAUAAAAAAUAAUUAGCAAAUAUAGUAUAUAAGAAAUAAAAAUAUUACAUUAGAUAUAUAUCGUAAUAUUAUCAAUGAUAUAAAAGCAAGAAAUUUAAAAUAAAUAAAUAUACAAAAUAAGAAAAGAUAAACAAUAAGUAAAUAUACAAUAUAAAAAAUGGAAAACCCUAAGUUAAACAUAUAUCUGAAAAAUGUAUAGUUAAAUAAAUAAUAAGUAAAUAUACAAUAUAAAAAUAUUACAUUAAACAUUAAUUAUAAUAUUACAAUAAGUAAAUAUAAAAAUAAGAAAAAUAAAGAAUAAGUAAAUAUACAAUAUAAGAAAUACAAAAAAUACAUUAAACAUCUAUCGAAAAGUAUAUAAUAAAAUAAAUAAUAAGUAAAUAUAUAAUCUAAGUAAUAGAAAUAUUACAUUAAACAUCUAUCGUAAUAUUACAAUUUGAUUUAAAAGCAAAACAGUUAGAUAAGUAAAUAAACAAUAAAAAAGUAAAUCUACAAUAUAAGAAAUGGAAAAACUACAUUAAACUUCUAUCGAAAAAUGUAUAGUUUUACUUUUUUAUUAUUUCCAGAUAUUUUAUAAGUAAAUAUACAAUAUAAGUCAAACAAGCAUACAAUAUAAGAAAUAUAAAUAUUACUUCAAACCUCUAUAAUAAUAUUAUCAUUUAAUAUAAAAGCAAGAAAAUUAAAAUAACUAAAUAAAAGAUAUAACAAAAAAAAAUGUAAAAUACAAUUACGAAAUUAAAAACUAAAUAAAACAUCUCUCGGAAGAAAAUGUUUAGAAAAAUAAAUAAUAAGUAAUAUACAAUUUCAAAAAAAUAUAAAUAUUAUAUUAAACAUCUAUCAUAAUAUUAGAAUAAGUAAAUAUACUAUAUAAGAAAAAAUACACAAUAAGUAAAUCUACAAUAGUAGAAAUAGAUACUAAUAAAAGAGAUAUUUUGAGGUUUCAUAGAAGGUUCACAUCAGCGAAAAAAACUUCUCCCAUGAGACGUGGCAUUAUUAUUUAAAAAAUAGAAAAUAAAUAAUAAGUAAAUAAACAAUAUAAGAAAUAGAAACAUUACAUUAAACAAUAAUAAUUAAAUAUACAAUAUAAGGAAAAAUAAAUAAUAAGUAAAUAUACGAUAUAAUAAAUAGAAAUAUUACAUUUAACAUUUAUCAUAAUAUUAUCAUUUGAUAUAAAAGCAAGAAAAUUAGAAUAAGUAGAUAUACAAUAUAUAAAAUGGAAAAAGCAAAUUAAACAUAUAUCUGAAAAUGUAUAGUUAAAUAAAUAAUAAGUGAAUAUACAAUAUAAAAAUAUUACACUAAACAUUUAUUAUAAUAUUACAAUAAGAAAUACAGAAAAUACAUUCAACAUCUAUUUGAAAAAUAUAUUAUAACUGAAAAAACUAAAUUAAACAUCAAUCUGAAAAAUAUAUAGUAAAAUAAAUAAUAAUUAAGUAUAUUUUUUUGAUAACAAUAAUUAAGUAUAAGAAAUAAAAAUAUUACAUUAAGCAUCUAUCAUAAUAUUAGAAUAAAAAAAGUAAAUAUACAAUAUAAGAAAAAAUAAAUAAUAAGUAAAUACACAAUAUAAAAAAUAAAAACUACCAUCAAACAUCUAUCUGAAAAAUGUAUUUUUUACAUUUUUAUUAUUUACAAAUACUUUUAUAAGUAAAUAUAUAUACAGUAUAGGAAGAAAUAAAUAGUAAGUAAAUAUACAAUAUAAGAGAUAGAAAUGUUACAUAUUAUAAUAAGUAAAAAUAUAAGAAAAAAUAAAUAAUUAGUAAAUAUUGUAUAUAAAAAAUAAAAAUAUUACAUUAAAUAUAUAUCAUAAUAUUAUCACUGAUAUAAAAUCAAGAAAUUUAGAAAAAGUAAAUAUACAAAAUAAUAAAAGAUAAAUAUUAAGUAAAUAUACAAUAUAUAAAAAAAAUACAUCUAUCUCCAAAAUGUAUAGUUAAAUGGAAAAUGUAUAGCUAAAUAAAUAAUAAUCAAAUAUAUAAUAUAAGACAUAGAAAUAUUACAUUAAAUAUCUAUUGUAAUUUUACCAUUUGAUAUAAAAGCAAGAAAAUUAGAAUAAAUAAAUAUACAAUAUAGAUAAAUUCUUUAAGAUGGUCAGUUUAACUUUUUGUCACAAAAUAGCCUUAAUGAGAAAAAUGACCAAAAGAAGUUUUAUUAAAGAGUAAAAAUACAUUUAUACCGUCGUAGGGUUAACUAAUCUUGAUCUAGGGUUUAGAGUUAAGGGUGGAGUUUUGAGGAUAGGAUUUCAAAUAAAAAAAAUUAAAAUUAAAAUUUUAAAAAUAAAAAGUGGCUAUUUUGGUCAUUUUACUUAUUCAAAGUUAUUUUUAUGACAACAACUUAAAAAAAUAUAUUAGAGAGAGUUGCCCUACAAUAUAAGAAAAACUAAAUAAUAAGUAAAUAUAAAAUAUAAGAAAUGAAAAACAAUAUUAAACAUCUAUUUGAAAAAUGUAUAGUUUUAUGUUUUUUCCAAAGAAAUAUAUAUUCACACAAACAUAUAAUUCAAAAUUUUGUUGUUGUUUAGAAUACAAUGUAAAAAAAAAAAUAUAUAGUUAACAUUUGAAAAUCAAAAUAGCUCCGGGCGUAGUGCGGUUUUACUCCUAGUCUUUAUAUUCAAAGAAGCGUUCUUUCUUUCCUGGUGAGGACACGUCGUCGUCCACGUCAGAAAGUCGUCGUCCAUGUCAGAAAGUCGGCUUCUGUCGAAGCCACACGUGUCCCACCCCAACACCCAGCACUUAGAUUGGACAGUUUAUCUGGCCCGUAAUCCUUUAUGUGUAGACCUAAUCUAUUUUCGCGAUGUUGUGUGUGUUCUUCUUCUUCCUUGUUCGACGGCUACGGUGACUCUUGCCCUUCCUCACGAAUCUGAAACUGAGAGCGUUAUGGUUUUUACGUGUUUAUCCCAUUAAUUCAGACGCCCACUACGAGUUCUUCAAUGUGUCUUUUAGAUCUGAAAGGCGGUUUGAUUCGGUAUAAAUAGAUGUGAGUAUUCUCCCCGGUGGAUUUGACAUAUGGUAGAUGUGCUCAGAACUCCAAGCUUUCCGACUCCUCUUUACUGAUUAGGUUCAAUGAUUCAACCGAUUUUGACGAGUUAACCGAACCGGUCUCUCCGUUACACAGCUUCCAGGUACGGACAUGAUUUGUAUAUAUAUAGAUGGUCUUAUUAUAUAUGUAUCUGGGCUUUGUGUUCUAUAUAUUGAUAUAUUGGUAUCGGUUUAUCCAUGUAACAUACUAAUAUCGAUCUUAAUUUCCGUAUCACUCUUUAUGUUUGAUAGGAAGGUGCUCAGAUAUUUUAGGAAAGAUGGGCACAACUGGAGGAAGAAGAAAGAUGGUGAAACAGUGAAAGAGGCGCACGAAAAGCUCAAGGUUAAUAAUAUAUUUACAUUCAUGUUUCCUCACUAUUGUUUUUAAUAAAUAUUUUAGAGUAACAUUGUUUAAUUAUAUAUAUAGGUUGGAAGCAUUGAUGUGUUACAUUGUUACUAUGCACAUGAGGAAGACAAUGAGAAUUUCCAGAGGCGUUGCUACUGGAUGCUUGAACAGUGAGUCCUAUGUUUUCCAUAUUUCACAUUUUUUACCGGUUUAGUGUACCGUAAAUGUUACUUUGAGAACAGAAGGAAAAUGAAAUGUGAUUUGUUACUUUUAGUGCUUAUGUCCUCUGUCUUUUGUGGGUACAGGGAACUGAUGCAUGUUGUUUUUGUUCAAUACUUGGAGGUUAAGGUAUAGCUUUUCUCUCGGUACUGUACUAAUAUAUUCUUUAGAAUAUAAACACCCAUUCACUCAACAUUAUAUUGUUCCUUUUUAAAGUGGGUUCUCUUUUUUUUAAUGGUGGUUUUGAUAAGUUCAUGCUAUUUAUACAUGGUAAUAGGAUAAGCUCCAUUGGAAUAAAAGAAAACAAUUCAAAUUCUCUGAGUGGCUCCACUUCUGUGAAAAUUGAUUCAACGCAAACACAUCCAGCACAUUGUCACCACUAUGUGAAGAUGCUGAUUCUGGUAUAUAUAGUUAUCUUUAGCUUUAUGUAUGUUUAGGGACAUAGUUCUAUUUACAGGCUACCUUGCUUUACUAAAAGAAGGUUUCCUUCCUUCCUCUUCCGCCACAUCGGAUUCCACGUAGAUAAGUUGAAUUCUGUGAGCGCGACACAUGUCCAGCUAAUUAAACUCACCGUUUCAUUUAAUUUUGUGUGCAAUUAGUACAGACAGGCUUUGCUAUGUGCGUUCUGUUUAAACUUAACAUUUAUUGGGCUAUUUGUUUAAUUCAAGAUUUCGUUAGCCCGUUACCGAUAGUCUCUUUCCACUUCAUCUAAUACACGCCAAAUUAGGGUUCAUCAUCCAUCGAUCUCCGACACUUAAAAUUUUUCUUCAGCAUUCUCUAACACCAUCAAUGGCGUCUUCACUUGCAUCGUUAUGCCUUCUCUUCUAAACAACCGAAAUGGUCAGAGUUAAAGAUUCAUCGCUUUUAAUUCCAUAGACCGACGUGAAUACGAUCUGACAUUGAUUGUGAGUUAUCCUAUGCAAGGCGGUCUAUUAUACACCUAUAAAAAAGAUUAGCUUUCUUCACUUGAGUAUCAUCCUCUCAAUCCGUGAAAAUACCAAAUUUAAUAAAUUCUCUUUGUGGCCGCUGCUCCUUUGCUCAGGUUCUGGGAACCCAAGAAUGGCGAACGUGGUGGGGAACUCAUGUCUCUUGAUAUGCUCUUACUGGAUUCAAAGGUAAAUAUGUUUUUAACUCAUGUUCAGAGUGCUUUUAUGUAUAUUGUUUUGGAAGCCAUGUUAAAAGUGUUCUUAAACUUACGUUCAUAGUCUUCUUAUGUUACUAAACUCAUGUUCGUAGUCGUCUUAGACUCAACAUUAUGAAACUGUUAUAUUCGGAUCUUAAUUAACCAUAUUCUGAAAGAUUUAUUCAGAAACCUUUUGUGAUUUUGCUCAUGUUCUUAGUCUCCUUCUUUUCUUAAACUCAUGUUUAUAGUGAUCUUAAGCACAUGUUCAUAGUGUUCUUAAAAACAUGUUCAUAAUGUAGUCACGUGGUUCAGGGAGAAUUGAGUUCACUCCCACGGAGGAUGCUCAUGUUAUUGCUGAUUGUCUUAAUGAUCUGUGCAGUCUUUUCUCUCAAUUAUCUCUAAUUGUAACCAUGAAUUUGCAGUAUUUUCUCAGAGAAGUUUCCUUCUUCUCCGGGCCUGCACUUUUGGGUGCGUAUCCUAGAUUUUGGUUCCUAAGGGAACUGGUAUUGCAUGACAAACACUCAAGUUAUGAUCCAUCAACCACUUGGUACUGCCGGAGCCAAAGUAUGAUCAAUUUUUAUGCUUCUAGAAUUUUCUUUUUCUCUUUUACUGACUGAUGUUCUGAUAACAGAAACAUUGAAUGUGUAGGCAACCAAAAUGAAUAUUGGCAUAAGAGAAUGAUGUCCCACAAAAUUUAACUAAACAAAACCUUCUCUAAAAUCACCGGAAACCUGAAUCACAGGCAUGACUGAAAGAAGGAGCCAUUCUUCUUAUUCUUCUUAUUCUUCCACAUGAUUCUUUUUUUUUCAGCCUAAUGAUAUUUUUUACAUAUUGAAGGUGAGACAGGCCGUGAUAACUUCUUGAAUCCAUGGGAGGCGAAAGAGUAUGGUUUAGUCAGCACUGUAAUUUUGAUGAUGGCAAACCAAGAUUAAUCGUAGAAGGAACAAAUAAAGAUUUGCCAUUAGAGUAAUCGCGGAGACACAUUGGCUACGGCACUUCUGUAUAGAGAAUGUUGUUCUCGCAUCUAGUUACUCUUAUUAUUUCCUUAUAUUAUAAUAGCAUGUAUUAGGUGCAAGCCUGUAACUAUAAACAUGGCGUUUCCUGACUUUGUAACAUUUCUCGAAUUAUUUGGUGUAAUUUGAAGGAAACAAAAAAAAAAGAUUAGUUGUUGUACGCAGACAAGGGCGCUAUGUUGAUGGCUUCAGAGAUAAAGUUUGUCUGAGACAAUUUAAUGUUUUCUUAAAAGUUCAAAAAAAUCCAAACAGUUUUGAGUAUUAGUACGGUUCCACUAUACGUCUAGAACCAUAUAAAACCAUGCAAAUAUUUUUAAAAUACAUGACUCAGAUAUGGUUGCAGUAAACUAAUUAAUAUUGAAUAAGCAAUUGUUUAAAAAUAUUAUAGUAUAAUUAUAUUUAAACUAUAAAAUUGAAAAUUUGAGUGCCAAUCUCACCUGCAACCUCGAUCAAUCUACCCAACAUAUGCCAUAAAUCUGUCCAGAACCGCACAAUCUGUCCACUAUGAAUUUUCGGACAGACAAACUGCUGCGCAAGAGGCCUCAGUUGUAGUAAUUUUCACCAAACCCAAGAGCCUAGACCAGUGUCUCUAAUAUCCCAAAAAGACUCUUAGCGAACAAGAUGCUUCCUCACCCAAUCAGCUCAUAAUGACAUCUUUCCAUUGAGCUGUCGCCAUAUGAGUUUAAGAGAAAACACUGUAGAGACAUCACUGAUUUUUCUAACCCCCCAGUCCUCCUUCCUCCAUUGGCCUACAACCUCCCUCCAAGACACUUUUACCUUUGUGGAAUCUUUUGGCGAGCCGCUCCAUAAGAAUGCAGAGAACAUGCUAUCAAUGAUGUCAAGACAAGCUUUAGGCAACCAAAAAGCUGAGCACCAAAAAUUUGUUGUGCUAUUAAUAACUGAUUUAACAAGCAUGAGACGUCUUGUGAACGAGCGAGAUUUGCUCGUCCUGCUCUGUAACCGCCCUCUGAUUUUGGCCAGUAGAGGCUCAUAGUUAUUCCUUGACAUAAUUUUGGUUGUGAGGGGCAGACCAAGAUACUUAACCGGUAAGCCUGAAGUUGAGAACCCAGCAGAGACAGCCACCUCUUGGAGCCUUUGCUUAUCUACUCCAGCCACAAACACCGUAGAAUCUGCAAUAUUAAUACAAAGCCCUGAGAUCCUGGCAAAUUCGUCAAACACUUCAAUAGUACCUUCCAAGGAGGAAGGAGAUCCAUUUAUCAUCGGCAAAGCUAAGAUGUGUCAAUUUGAUUGACAUACAAAGAUGAUUAUAUUAUAUCCUCGUGUUAAGCACCGCCGAGUUAAGCAACCUAGAGAGCACAUUGCUGACAAUGUCAAACAUAUACGGCGAAAGAGAGCAGCCUUGCCUGAUUUCUAGAGAACUAGAGAAGAAACCUUCCAACUCUCCAUUGACUGAGACCGAGCAUGCAUGAGUAUCUACACAUCUCAUAAUCCAGCUAACAAAGAGGUCCGAGUAGCCCAUAGGGCGGCGGAGAUUACCUCCAAUGAAAGACCAUUGCACAAUGUCAAAAGCCUUUGAUAUAUCAAACUUGAUGUCUGAACGAGAUGAAAUCUACAGUUUGUGAUAAUCUUUCACUAACUAUGUUGCCAAUAAGAAAUUUUCGAGAAGAAGGCGGCCUUUAACAAACGCACACUAAUUUAAAUCGACAGCUGAAGGUAGAGUGCCCUUGAGAAGUCUAGCAAGAAUUUUCGAUAUCACUUUGUAAACUAUAUUGCAACAUGCAAUAGGUCUAUAGUUGGUCAUACGUUCUGCCUCUAGCGAUUUGGGAAUCAGUGAGAGAAGCGUCGGGUUAGUGCUCUUAGGCAGGAAGCUAUAUAAGAAGAAGGACUGAACUGACAAAAUAAAAUCCAUUCCCACCACAUGCCAGACUGCCUUAUAAAACUCCCAAUGAAAACCAUCCAGGCUAGGAGCCUUAUUUGUUGGCAUAUAGAACAAGAUUUUUUUAAUUUCGUCAUCCUGAACUGGUUUAACAAGAUCAUCAACAGCCGCAGCAGGGCAUCUAUAGUUUACCACCUCCUGCAAAUAUUCCAGGGAAGCACCCUCGUAAUUAAUCGACUGGCCAUUCAGAAAGGUGUCGAAGUGCAGCGCUUCUUCAGCCUUAAUCUCUAUCAGGUCUGUGAGAACCCUUCCAUCUCCUGCUUUAAUUCUUCGGAUUGCAUAUUUAGAGUUUCUAGCUUGACAGACCUUGUGGUAGAAACAAUUUUUACGGUCUCUAAUUCCCAUCCAUUGGACCCUUGAUUUCUGGAAAUAAAAUUGCUCUUCAAUGCCUGAAAUAUGGUACCAGUGUUCCCAAGCAGCUGAGACUUCCUCAUAAGCUUCAGACGAGGGAGAUUUUGUAGCCACAUUUUGUUUCAAAUAGAGAUCUUCAUAAGCUUGUUUGACACGAGAUGGAAAGUCCCCAAACAUGUUUCUGUUCAGCUCUCUAAGAGGACUCUUUAAUCCUUUGAGCUUACCAUGAAAGAUCUUCAGAGCCGAUCUUGACUGAUAGAGCCUUGAUCUAGUACUUCUAGGAACCGUGGAUGACUUGUCAUGUGAUUGAAAAACUUAAAAGGCUUCCUGUUUGUUGGUUUAGUAGGUCUGAGCUGAGUCCAACAUCUCAUAUGGUCUGACACUCCUCCAGCUUCAAAUGUAGUGAAAGAAACAGGGAAUGCAGAGAGCCAUUUUCUGUUUACCGAGAUUCUAUCAAGUUUCUUACUAAUUGGAUUUUCAGGCGGGUGGUUAGUCUAGGUGCAUACUGAGCCCAGUUGCGCUAGAUCAGCUAACCGACAGUUCCUUACUGUAUCCUGGAAAUAUAUCGUUGCACUAGUACCCGCUCCCAGAUGCGUGCCACGUGAGUGUUCAUUAGAGGUGAAAAAUCACAUUGAAAUCACCUUGAACUAUCCAUGGAUACUCUAUUCCUACCGCUCUAGCAGCUACAUCUUCCAUCUUCUAUCUCCCUCCAUAAACCCAUCUCACUUGCUUGAUUAAAUGCAUAGACGAAAGAAGAUGGAUGAUAACGAAACGGUCGAUGACUUCGCAGGAAGAUAUUGGGCAUAUCAUCCAAAACAACCUCGUUUGAAGAAAACAUAGAAGAAUCCAAGAUGGUUAAGAAGUUCUUUAAGGGUCUUACGAGACACAAGUAUAUCCAGAUAGUAGCAUCGCUUUAGCAAGUCCUAGAUCUCAACUCAACGGGUUUUGAAGAUAUCGUUGGAAGGAUUAAGGUGUACGAGGAGCGUGUAGGAGAAGAAACUUAGAAAGAAGACCAAGGAAAGCUGAUGUUUUCGAACAAUGAACAGCAUAGUCAGAGGGGAUAUGAGAACUCUCGUGGUAGAGGAAGAGGACGGAAUGGUAGAGGUAGAGGUCGAGGUAGGUCACACAACCAAUCCGUGCGUCACACACCGAAGAUAAAAACUCGAAAAAGUAUUGUUCAAAGCUGAUAUGUUGGAGAUGUGACAAGCCUGGUCACUACGCAAUUCUCUGUCCCGAGAAGACAUUGAAGAAACAAGAAACCAACCUAAACAAGACAGAAGACGCCGAUGCACUCUAUGUACAUGAGGUGGUGUCCUUGAACGAAGAUAAGGUGAUUCAAAAGAAUCUUGAUAUCGACAAAGGCAAUGGAAGUGUUUGGUAUUUGGAUAAUGAAGCAAGUAAUCACAUGACGGGAAACAAGGACUUCUUUUCGAGUUUGAAUCUCAACACCAGAGAAAAUGUGAAGUUUGGUGAUGGAUCGUGUGUUGACAUUGUAGGAAAGGGUGUGUUUACCUUUGUGUGCAAGACUGGAGAGAAGAAGGCACUCAAAGACAUAUACUACAUACUGACCUGAAGCAACAUAUUGAAUCUUGGGCAAGCAACAGAGAACGGAUGUGAGGUUAACAUGAAAUACGUCUACUUAUCUCUCAUACAUUCGUGUGUAAGGUUGCUAGUACGUGUUACAAGAUCUCCAAAUCGCCUCUAGAAGACCCCUGUGGAGAUAAGCUACCCGGAGUGUUUACAUGUCAGGGAUGAAGAUGCUACAUGGAGGUGGCAUGCUCGACUAGGACAUAUAAGUUAUGGAGUGAUGAACAACAUGGUAAGGAAAAAAAAUGUUCGUAGGAAUUCUGUGUGUAACACACGAAGAAAGCUUGUGUGUCACAUGUCUCGCAGGGAAGCAGAUCAGACAGUCAUUCCCGACAAAGGCCAUGUUUCGUGCGACAAAGCCAUUAAAAUUAUUGUAUGGAGAUUUGUGUGGACCAAUCACACCACCAACGCCAUCAAAUAAUAAGUAUGUCUUUGUCUUGAUCGAUGACUUCUCUAAGUAUAUGUGGGUUAUACUAUUGAAGGAGAAGAGUGAGGUAUUCGAUCGAUUCAAAAGAUUUAAAGAGAGUGUAGAGAAGAAGACUUGGUCAACCAUUAAAACCUUUUGCACCGAUAGAGGAGGAGAGUUGAGCUCAGCUGAGUUCAAUCUAUUAUGUGAAGAGAAUGGAGUUAAAAGGCACCUAACCGCGCCUUACACCCCUCAGCAAAACGGUGUUGUGGAGAGGAGAAACCAAACUUUAAUGAGAAUGACAAGAAGUAUGCUGAAGGCAAUGAAGAUGCUGAACUACUUCUGGGGGAAGCUGUAUGAUAUUCACGUUACCUCAUCAACAGAGUUCCUACAAAAGCCUUGAAGGAUCAGACGCCAUACAAGUGCCUCACAUCGAGGAAACCAAAUAUCGAGCACUUGAGGAUAUUCGGUUGUGUAGCUCAUGUGAAAAUCAAUGGGCCUUAUCUGAAGAAGUUGGAUGAGAGAUCAAAGAAUGUGAUCAAUCUUGGAACUGAGCCGGGUUCGAAAGCCUACAGACUCUAUGAUCCAGUCGCAGGGAAGGUGAUGGUGAGUAGAGAUGCAAUUUUCGAUAAGAAGAAAGCUUGGGACUGGUCGUCUACAAAAAACCAAGCCGAUUGUGAACCGAGCAUACUUAAGUUUCCACAUGAAGGUGAUAUAGAAGAAGGUAAUGAUCAAGGUAAUGAUCAUGGACAGGAAACUAUAAACCAAGAUGAGGAAGAAAAAAAAUGCGGAUCACAAUGCAAACCAAGACAGUGGAGGUCAACCGUUGGUGACUAGACACGGCCGAACCAUAACAAAACCAAGAUAUCUCGAUGAUUAUGUGUUACUUCCAGAUCAAGAAAGUGCAAUGAUGUUGCUCACAGUGGAUGGCGAGCCAUAGAACUAUUUUGAGGCUGCACACGUAUGAGAAUGGGUUGAAGCGAUGGUGGCCAAGUUGGAGUCUAUCACACGAAACAAGACAUGGGAGCUUGUGGAUAGACCGGCUGGACUUAAACCUAUAGGGUUAAAGGGGAUCUACAAGAUAAAGAGAAAGGCGGAUGGUACAGUGAGAAAGUAUAAGGCGACACUUGUGGCAAAAGGCUAUGUAUAAAGAGAAGGAAUAUACUUCGAUGAAGUGUUUGGACCAGUGGCACGACUUGAAACUAUUCGGCUCUUAAUAGCCCUCGCAGCAACAAACGGUUGGGAGAUACAUCACAUGGACGUGAAGACCGCUUUCUUGAAUGGAGAUCUAAAAGAGUUAGUGUAUGUAACUCAACUCGAAGGUUUUGAAAAGGAAGGAGAAGAUGAUAGAUUUUAUGUGUUACACAAGGCUUUAUAUUGGUUAUGCCAAGCACCCAGGGCAUGGAAUGUGAAACUCGAUCAGGUUCUCAAGGAGAUGAGAUUUAAGAAGGGCACAAAGGAACCAUCAGUGUACCGCAAGAGUGAAGGAGGAGACGUCUUGAUUAUAGCCAUCUACGUUGAUGAUAUAUUUGUGACAGGAAAUUCGCUUAAGAUGAUUAAGCAAUUCAAGGAAGAAAUGUCUAAGAAGUUCGAGAUGUUAGAUCUAGGUAAGCUAGCGUACUACCUUAGCAUAGAGGUGAUUCAAGGAACAUACAGAGUCAUAAUAAAACAAGAAAGGUAUGCUCAAGGAGUCUUGUGUGACACAAAGAUGGAAGAGUGUAACGCAACUCAAGUUCCAAUGAAGGUGAACUUGAAGAUCUUAAAGAUGAACGAGAGAUAGAUGCUACGAAUUUCAGAAGAAUCAUAGGAUGUUUGAGAUAUCUGCUUCACACAAGACCCUGACCUGUUUUACGCAGUUGGUGUUCUUAGUAGAUACAUGCACAGUCUGAGAGACUCUCAUAGACAAGCCGUCAAACACAUAUUGCGGUAUGUGAAAGGAACAACAAACUACGGUAUGUUCUUCAAGAGAGAUGGGUCAAAGAGUGUCGUUGGUUAUAGUGACAGCAGACACAACAUUGAUGUCGAUGACGGUAGGAGCACGUCUGGAAAUGCAUUAUACUAGGGUUCAUCGUUGAUCACUUGGACGUCGCAGAAGCAGCAGACGGUUGCAUUGUCAUCAUGCGAAGCAGAGUUCAUAGCAGCAACAUAAGCAGUUGUUGGGGUCGAAAACGGUUACAACGAAGUUAACGUCCAAAUCCCCGAAGAAGAAAACGUAGAAACCUUCUUCGACAAAUACUUUUUCGAAAUAGAUUCUUCUUUACGAAAAGCUUUGCGGAGGAAACGCGAGUCAUCGGACAAGAGCUCGAAAAGGGUCGCUACACAGCAACCGAACACGUGUUCCGCUCGGUCGCUGCAUAGCAACCAAGCUCGAGCCAAAGCUCGGUCGCUACGUAGCGACCAAGCUCGAGUGAACGCUCGGUCGCUAUCUCUUCCGAAAUGUCGAUACGACAUUAGUCCAUGCAUUCUCUUCUACCCUUCGAUGCUAUCUCCUGAAGACCGUAGCGAACCCAUUUCACGUUCCCCGCCAUUCUAAGUUAUCAAUCGAACUUUACUGUAAAAACCGCGGAAAGUUCGUUCUUUAUCGAAAGAAGCCGUAAUAAACGCUUCGAGUCGGAAGUGGGCCAAAAGGGACCUAAGACAUGACUCGAGGCCCAACUUACGAUUUCUUAACCAACAUCCCGUAAGCCGCAUAAUGGUUACGCUUGGUUCGCAAGGAAAGAUAAAUGUCAAGUUUCCGCGGAUAAAUACGAAAUUUUGAAGAUAAUUACGAAGAUCGGAAAAAAUGGAAUAUCUCCAUUUUUAUGCUAUGGCGGCUAAGGGGCAGAAAGGGAAAAGCGUAAACCGACCUUGGAGCCAGUAUAUAAGGAGUCCUAGGCGAGAGGCAUGAGGGAGGAUUUGGACACAGCAAACUUAGCACUUAGAGCGAUUUUAGGCAAUUUUCCGUUUUUGUCAUUCGAGCUGCGACUCAAUUAGGUUUUUGCCGUCUUAGGGUUUUAGAACUAGGAAUCUCGCCGACAGCUCUCGUAGCCCAGGCACUUACCUUGUUGUAAACACUCAAACGCAGAUUCGGAAUAAGAACUAUCUUGCUCUCUUUUUCGAUUUCUAAUUUUAUUACUGUUCUCGUUUCAUGUUCUGAUUGCUUGGCGUGUGGUAUUAGCAGAUAUCCGGGACCUCUGGGAAAUUAGGGUUCUCCUACUUUAAUAAUUUAAUCGGAAAAUCGACAGUGCGAAUUUCAGUUCCCACAGUUUGGCGCUAGAAGGAGGGAGGAGUACGGAUCAAUCUAACCCGCAAAAGCCACCCGACGAUCAAGAACAAUAUGCAAGACUCAACGUGCGUGAACGUCAUCUUGUUCAAGGGGGAGCAACGGUCGAUCGAGCCAAACCUCGAAACGAUCUCCUUGUUAUCGAACUGACGAUCCGAGAUAUCGACGUCGCUAGGGUGCUAAUCGGCACCGGAAGUUCGGCCGAUAUCAUUUUCAAAGAUACUCUCGAGAAAAUGGGGAUCGAUCAAUCCGAAAUCGUGAAAUACCCUAGCCCACUACUGGGACUUUCGGGAGAAACGACCAUGGCCUACGGGUCGAUUAAUCUCGCAGUCACAGCCGGAACCGUGACAAGAGUCACAUAGUUUCUAGUCGUUGACCGUCCCACAUCUUACAACGUUAUCAUGGGAACACCAUGGUUGAACACCAUGCGUGUCAUCCCAUCAACGUACCAUCUUUGCCUCAAGUUUCCAACCCCUAACGGAGUCGAGGUAAUAUGGGGAAACCCAAGAGUAUCACAGGUGUGUUACGCCGUACAACAAAAACGAAAAAGACCAGACCUCAAAAUCACUCCUAGAAAAACGGAGAAAAAGGUCUCCGACCAGGGUUCGCGAAGUCAAGAUUCGGCUGAACUCUUCUGACAGUCUCGUAACGUCGCGGCCCUAAAGGAAAAAUGCAAAGCAACUUGCGAACCUGUGGUCACAGUCUGUCUCGACGAAGCAUCUCUGGAACGAUGCAUCGAGAUCGGAGCCAAUCUCCGCGAGCCUUUAAGGACAGAGCUCAUAACCUGUCUAAAAAAGAACCUCAAUACUUUCGCAUGGGCCGCAGAAGAUAUGCCAGGGAUUGACAUUAACAUAACGUGUCACGAAUUAAAUAUCGAUCCGACUUUCAAACCCGUCAAACAAAAAAGGCGGAAGCUAGGACCUGAACAGGCUUCCGCGGUCAACGACGAGGUCGAAAAAUUGCUUAAAGUCGGGUCAAUAACGGAAGUGAGGUAUCCAGACUGGCUCGCCAACCCUGUUGUAGUCAAAAAGAAAAACGGAAAAUGGCGAGUUUGCGUGGAUUUUACCGACCUAAACAAGGCCUGUCCAAAAGAUAGUUUCCCCCUGCCACACAUCGAUCGAUUAGUAGAAGCAACGGCAGGAAACAAACUUAUAUCUUUCAUGGACGCCUUCUCAGGUUACAACCAAAUUAGGAUGAACCCUGACGAUCGCGAGAAGACUGCGUUCAUUACCGAUCGUGGAACCUAUUGCUACAGGGUAAUGCCCUUCGGCCUCAAAAACGCUGGCGCAACUUACCAACGACUCAUGAACCGUAUGUUCUCUAAACAACUCGGUAAAACGAUGGAGGUUUAUAUAGACGACAUGCUCGUCAAAUCCCUCCAAGCAAAGGAUCAUGUAUCACAUCUCGAGGAAUGUUUCGCACAGUUAAAUUCCCAUAACAUGAAGCUCAACUCAACAAAAUGCAGGUUUGCCAUGGCAUCAGGGGAAUUCCUCGGCGACCUAGUCACAUUCGGCGGCAUCGAAGCUAAUCCAAAACAGAUCAACACACUGAUCGAGAUGGCUUCGCCGAAGAAUAAGCGGGAAGUCCAAAGGCUGACCGGUAGAGUCGCGGCACUUAACCGGUUUAUUUCACUAUCAACAGACAAGUGCCUGCCAAUCUAUGAUGUCUUGCUGGGAAAUAAAAAAUUCGAAUGGUCGGAAGAAUGCGAAAACGCAUUCCAACAGCUGAAGCGGUAUUUAGCUUCCCCUCCAGUCCUCGCAAAACCAGUGGAGGGGGAACCUUUGUUCUUGUACACCGCUGUAUCAGCAACAGCUGUGAGCGGCGUGCUGAUCAGGGAAGACCAUAUUUCCAAUCCCACACGAUCGUCGUACUCACGACUUUUUCCUUACAAACGAUUCUGCAUAGCCCGAGUCAAUCGGGCCGGUUGGCCAAAUGAGCGGUGGAACUGAGCGAGUACAAUAUCGAGUACCGACCGAGAACAAGCGCAAAGUCACAAGUGCUUGCGGACUUCUUGGUCGAAUUACCGACAUAGACCAUAACCAACGAGGAACCAAAUUCCACUUGCCUCCUUCACGUCGACGGAUCCUCGUCCAAGCGGGGAUCAGGCAUCGGAAUUCGUCUCACAUCUCCGACGGGCGAGAUCUUAGAGCAAUCAUUCAGGCUGGAAUUCCACGCCUCAAACAACGAAGCUGAAUACGAAGCACUCGUCGCAGGACUGCGUUUGGCUCACGGCUUGAAAAUACGAAACAUUCAUGCUUACUGCGAUUCCCAGUUAGUGCCAAGUCAGUUCAGCGGAGAGUACGAAACCAGGGGCGAACGGAUGGACACGUACCUCAAACUGGCCCAAAAACUAGCGCAAAAGUUUGACUAUUUUGCCCUUACGCGAAUUCCCUGUUCCGAAAAUGUCUAGGCAGAUGCUCUCGCGGCCUUAGCAUCAAGUUCUGACCCAGGACUUAAAAGGGUAAUUCCGGUCGAGUUCAUCGAACAUCCGAGCAUCGGACCACCAAUCGUCGUCAAUGUCAUAGAAGGCCAAAAUGACGAAGAAGAAGAAGUAACGAUACGACCGCAAUCAGAGCAAUCUGAUUACGGCUGUGAUACCCCAUGGCUGCAGACAAUUCGAGACUACAUUAUCAACGGACACCUGCCCAUCGAGAAAUGGGUAGCCCGCAAUGUCCAAACACAGGUUGUGUGCUACGUAACAAUAGACGGUGAAAUUUACAAAUGGAGAUUCUCUGGACCACUCAUGACGUGCCUGGGAGGGGAAAAAGCGAAAAAAGUGAUGGAAGAAGUACAUUCUGGGUCUUGCGGCAAUCAUUCCAGCGGAAGAUCACUGGCAGUGAAAAUCAAGCGCCAUGGAUACUACUGGCCAACGAUGAUCGGAGAUUGCGAGAAGUUUGCACGAAAAUGCGAAAAAUGCCAGAGGCAUGCUCCAACCAUCCGACAACCAGCCGAUGUUCUCUCCUCCAUCACAUCGCCCUAUCCUUUUAUGCGCUGGGCCAUGGACAUCGUCGGUCCCCUUCAUAAUUCAAAGCAAAAGCGUUUCCUUUUAGUCCUCACCGAUUUCUUUUCAAAAUGGGUAGAAGCAGAUUCGUACGCAAGUAUAAAAGAUGUCCAAGUCGAAAGUUUCGUAUGAAGAAACAUCAUUUGUAGGGAUGGAGUUCCUUACGAAAUCGUAACCGAUAACGGAUCUCAGUUUAUCUCGACCCGGUUCGAGGUUUUCUGCGAAAAAUGGAAGAUACAGCUUAACAAAUCAACGCCCAGGCACCCGCAGUUUAACAGACAAGCUGAAACGAUUAAUAAAACCAUUCUCGACGGACUGAAGAAACGCUUUGAGGCCAAAAAAGGUAGGUGGGCCGACGAACUCGAGGGAGUCCUCUGGUCCCACCGUACCACCCCGAGGCGAGCAACAUGAGAAACCCCUUUCGCUCUGGUGUACGGAACGGAAUGCAUGAUUCCCGCAAAAGUAGAGUUCCCAGAUGUUCGAAGAAGAUUACUUCCCGAACGUGAGGAGCUCAACAACGCAAUGCUCCUCGACGAUCUCGAUCUCAUUAACGAGCGCCGAGAUCGAGCGCUCAUUCGAAUCUAAAAUUACCAACACGCAGCCGCAAAGUACUACAAUUGCAACGUACGGAAUCGCAGAUUUAAUCAGGGAGAUCUACUCCUUCGCAAAGUCUUCCAAAACACCGCUGAACGAAACGCGGGAAAACUCGGAGCAAACUGGGAAGGACCCUAUAAAAUCGAAAAAGUCAUCCGACCGGGCUCCUACGAAAUAGCCAACAUGCAAGGCAUAAAAAUUCCAAGGACCUGGAACGCGAAGCAUCUCAAAAAAUACUAUCACUAAACAAACCAACUCACAAUGACCGAACUACGAGACGGCUUGAUCUCCAUAAGGAGUACGUAGGCAGUUUGUCGAAAGGCAAAUUCAGCUGUCCCCCCUCAUUAAAAAGGGGGAGGGGUGGAUACGUAUACUCGUAUACUCUCAAACUCGAAAACAUCCGACCGCGCCUUCGAUGUUUCCGACAUAUCUUAACCAAGCAAAUUAUCUUUUAUCCGCAAAAAAUUUUCGAUAUUUGAAAAUAAAUCAGCCGUUAGGGAGAAGCAGCCUUUGGCAUCGCGAGACAUCGCGAGACGUCGCGAGAGAUGCCUCGAGGGUUACUUCUUCCGAACGACGAAAACGGACACUCCGUCAAAAAAUGAUGAACGUUUUAACACAUAUCUUGCGCAAAAACUAUAAAUGACGGCAUCUGCAGCCAAGUUCGGUGCUGAUCACAUCGAACUCUUGAACACAUUAAACAGACAUAGCCAUCUCACGAAGAUGACUCUCGUACAUCGGACACAAGGAUAAUAGCGCUAUAAAAGAAACCCGAAAUUUUGGUCCAGCACUUCCGGUUGGCUUAAAAAUUGUCUCCGGAGAGAUGCUCGAUUCAUAUCUAACAAGUCAUAUAAGCCGAGAACCUAUCGCGGACUUUAAAUCGGUACGAAUCAGGUUAAAAUCGCGACAGAUAAAUCGAUAGCCGGCUAGUCACCGCAUAAAAUCUUAAAACCGAAAGUAAACCUAGGUCUUGCCCUAAACCCAACGCACUGGUCUCUAACAUCUCAAGGCAUGAUAUCCAAAAGAUACGAGAUCCCAAAACCAUGCCUCUAUGUUUAUAUUCGACAUCUUCAGAUAUCCCGCGAAGUCGAUAUCUCGCGGAAAAACUCUCGAAACAGAUCUCGAACAAAACAUUUCACAUCGAAGAAGGAUAUGAGACGACAACUCAUCACCCUUCUUCCACGCCAUACGAAAGUUUAUGAAAAAUGCAACUCGAUCAUCUUGUCAUAAAAAAGCCGCAGAGCGGCAGGGAUUCAAAGCCACAUACGUCCAGUCCCGAAACACGAAAUAAAGCCAUUUAAGGCCGAAACAUCAAACAUAAAAAAAAUCUCCCGCAAUAGAUCUAAUUAAAGUCAUCCUCAGAGCACACGCUCCCUCUUCACCCGUCACGUCGUUCAAGCCUGGAGCCGCAUCACCUCCGGGCCUUCUGAACACGCCGGAAGAAAGCACGCGGAUUUCAGGUCAGCUAGGAUGAGAUCGAAAUCUCCAUCCACGACUGCCAAAUCUCCCUUGCAGCCGGACAGUCGGGCCUCUUCGGCCUCUAAGGUUGGAGGAGUCUCGCUUUGGAACGACUGAACCACGGCCAUCCCGUCCUGAAUCGUCGCCAAGGCUAAAUCCCUGUUCCGAAUGCAUUCGAGAGAGCCCCGAAAGGCGGAAAUCUUCGACAAGCGAGCUUGAAACUCAGAACGAAGAGCAUCCUUGGCCUCUCGAAUCCCGUGGCUCGCUAAUCCUGCAUCGCCCUCGAUCUGACGCUGAAGACGACGCACCUCCGAAGAUUUGGCCUUCCUGUUUUUCUUCUCCUUAAGCAAUGAACUCGCCGUCUUCCCGAGGUCCCUCUCGAGCUCCCCUAUCGCGACCUCAAGUUUCGACACUUUCACGGAGUGAGAAUCCUUGACAGCCGUCAGCAUGGCCUCGGUUUCAGGCCAUCUACCCUGCAGAUCCAACAACUCCCCGGCAAGACGACUGGUCUCAGAACCGCACUUGCUGAUCAUCCCGUCGAUCAACGACAUGAACUGAAAAACAAGAAGAAAGUUAGGGAUUCUUUGUCUUUUAGAGAAAUAUGUAGCAAUCAAGAAAGUAAGUGAGCGACAAACCUUUCCGCGAAUCCCCGACGCUAUGCUCGAGUCUCCUUGCUGCGAAGAUUCCCCGUCACCGCCCUUGGUAAACUUCCUCUUCCGGCCCUUAGGCUGAGCAACCGGAACAACACUAGGAAUGCGCAGCGCUAUAACGAUCUCCUUCCUGGCCGGAGGAGGAGGCAUAGAGUCAGCAGCCUUCUCCUUAUCUUCGACGAGAAUCGGAGUUGUGGACGAUCCAGCAGGUAAAGCCGAAGCAUCCGGAAUGACCGAGCCUGCGAGAGUUCCCGUAUCUCGCGGAGUUACGCCCUUGGUCCCAUGACCCGGAGCAACGGCCAGUGCAGAAGAGGACGGUAACUCGGCACCGGCUCGAACCUGUUCUUUCUCGGCUUGGCGACAAACUAAUUUCUCUCGAAAGGAGAGAUGGUCGGCAACGCAAGCCGGCGCUUCGACCAGAAAAGUCAGAAUCGGCGCCGGAGAGGUGGCCUCGCCCAUCUCCACAUCGGAACUCCGCUUGUCACCAUGGGAAGAAGACAUGUUAAAAACAAGAGAUUUGGAGCUAGAGAGGUUUUGGAGGUUUGAAGAAAGGAAGGUGUGGAGCAAGUGAAUGACAAGAGCUCUCUACUUAUAGAAGUACAGGCUCGGAAUUUUAUAAACACUUUAUCGAGAAUUCUCUUCCGCGGAGUUUGAAGUAAACUUCGUUCAAUACGCCUAGCUUUACCAAAAUCAUCAAACCGCCCGCUAGAGUCUCGACUCUAACGAGCUAGGGGCUAUCUGUUGGGGUCGAAAACGGUUACGACGAUGUUAACGUCCAAAUCCCCGAAGAAGAAAACGUAGAAACCUUCUUCGACAAAUACUUUUUCAAAAUAGAUUCUUCUUUACGAAAAGCUUUGCGGAGGAAACGCGAGUCAUCGGACAAGAGCUCGAAAAGGGUCGCUACGCAGCAACCGAACGUGUGUUCCGCUAGGUCGCUGCAUAGCAACCGAGCUUGAGCCAAAGCUCGGUCGCUACGUAGCGACCGAGCUCGAGCCAAAGCUCGGUCGCUACGUAGCGACCGAGCUCUUCUGAAACGUCGAUACGACAUUAGUCCAUGCAUUCUCGUCUACCCUUCGAUGCUAUCUCCCGAAGACCGUAGAGAACCCAUUUCACGUUCCCCGCCAUUCUAAUUUAUCAAUCAAACUUUACCGUAAAAACCGCGGAAAGCUCGUUCUUUAUCGAAAGAAGCCGUAAUAAACGCUUCGAGUCGGAAGACGGCCAAAAGGGACCAAAGACAUGACUCGAGGCCCAACUUACGAUUUCUUAGCCAACAGCCCGUAAGUCGCAUGACGGUUACGCUUGGUUCGCAAGGAAAGAUAAAUGUCAAGUUUCCGCGGAUAAAUAUGAAAUUUUGAAGAUAAUUACGAAGAUCGGAAAAAAUGGAAUAUCUCCAUUUUUAUGCUAUGGCGGCUAAGGGGCAGAAAGGGAAAAGCGUAAACCGACCUUGGAGCCAGUAUAUAAGGAGUCCUAGGCGAGAGGCAUGAGGGAGGAUUUGGACACAGCAAACUUAGCACUUAGAGCGAUUUUAGGCAAUUUUCCGUUUUUGUCAUUCGAGCUGCGACUCAAUUAGGUUUUUGCCAUCUUAGGGUUUUAAAACUAGGAAUCUCGCCGACAGCUCUCGUAGCCCAGGAACUUACCUUGUUGUAAACGCCCAAACUCAGAUUCGGAAUAAGAACUAUCUUGCUCUCUUUUUCGAUUUCUUAUUUUAUUACUGUUCUCGUUUCGUGUUGUGAUUGUUUGGCGUGCGGUAUUAGCAGAUAUCCGGGACCUCUAGGAAAUUAGGGUUCUCCUACUUUCCUAAUUUAAACGGAAAAUCGACAGUGCUAAUUUCGGUUCCCACAGCAGCAAAGCAAGCUAUAUGAAUCAAGGAAUUAUUGAGUGAGAUACUAAGUAGAGAAGGCGACAAGGUCAAGCUUAGGAUCGACAACAAAUCAGACAUUGCUCUAACAAUGAAUCCAGUUUUCCAUGGAAGGAGUAAACAUGUACUCAAGAAGUAUCACUUCAUUCGUGAGUGUGUGGAGAAUGGGGCAAAUCAACGUGGAGAAUGUGCCGGGUGUUGUGCAUAAGGUCGACAUACUUACCAAGCCAUUAGCAAGAAUUAAGUUCAAGCAAAUGAGGAGGUUACUCGGAGUUCAAGAAAUUGAUCUCCCUAAUUCAAGUUGAAAUUAAGGGGGGGUAAAUGUUGGAUAAUUUCAUGUUUGUGUAAACUUAACAUAUUAUUAGAUGUUUAAUAUGCUAAGAUAAACACAAUAAAGAAAUCUAGAAAUAAGAAAAGUUUUCUAUUUAUGUUAGGUUUGUGUUUUCCACAUCCCACGUGUUAAAAAAAAUAGUCUGUCAUAUAAAUAUAGUUCUUAUGGAGAGGUGUUUCGUAUGAUAUAAGAAAAACAUAUAGAAAGCUUUAGUUUUGAGAAGUUUGUAAAGCUAAUAAGGAAAUUUGUUCUUAUAAUUCUUGUGUUUCUAGAUAUUUAAUAUUUUUGCAUCAAAAUGUCCAUUUGUUGCCAGCUGCUUCGAUUUUUCUCUGUUCUGUUGAACCACAGGUUCUCGUACGGUACAGUGAGCGAAGGACUAUAGCCUCUAUAACACUAUAUUCGUGUGAUCUGCCUUUAAGCUUUGAUAAAGGAGAUAAAGAGUGUACUGGUAGUCUUAGUUGUAAAGACUAUAUACAUUAAUUUCUUCGUUGUGACUAGUUCAUAACAUCGAAAUGAAUGUUUAAUGAGGGAGGCUAUAUUUCUUCGUUGGUCUGGUGAAAUUUGUAAAAAAGGUAGUGAACAAAAAUAAUAUAUGUAACUAGUCCAUAACAUCAAUAAUAGAAUAUUCCAAAUGAUGUACAUAAGAGUUAUAUAACAUAUAUAAAAAUGUGACAUAACAUAUAUGGGAUAAAUUUGAAAAUUUAAUUGACAUAUUCAAAUAUCAAAACCAAAAAGAGAAAUAUACACAAAAAGUUACAGUAAUAGUUUGUUGGGGUCAAAAUCGGUCACGACGGAAUCAAUGUCUGAAAGUCCGUAGAAAUCGGCAUGAACGUUUUUACGAAAAAUAAAUCUUCGAAAAAGAUUUAUUUUUACGAAGAAUCUUGCGGAAAAAACACAUUCACGAGACAUCGGACAAGAGCUUGAAAAAGGUUGCUACGCAACGACCGAACGCGUCCGUUCCGCUCGGUCACUACGUAGCGACCGAGCGUCCAUUCCGCUCGGUCGCUAUGUAGCGACCGAGCGUCCGUUCCGUUUGGUCGCUACGUAGCGACCGAUCUCUUCCGAAACGUCGAUACGACAUUAGUCCAUGCACUCUCGUCUACCCUUCGAUGCUAUCUCCCAAAGACCGUAGCGAACCCAUUUCAUGUUUGCCGCCAUUCUAAGUCAUCGAUCAAACUUUACAGUAAAAACCGCGGAAAGUUCGUUCUUUAUAAAAAGAAGCCGUAAUAAACGUUUCGAGUCAGAAGACCGCCCAAAGGGACCUAAGACAUGACUCGAGGCCCAACUUACAAUUUCUUAACCAACAGCCCGUAAGCCGCAUGACGGUUUACGCUUGGUUCGCAAGGAAAGAUAAAUGUCAAGUUUCCACGGAUAAAUACGAAAUUUUGAAGAUAAUUACGAAGAUCGGAAAAUAUGGAAUAUCUCCAUUUUUAUGCAAUGAAGGCUUAAGGGCAGAAGAGGAAAAGCGUAAACCGACCUAGGAGCCAGUAUAUAAGGAGUCCUAGACGAGAGGCAUGGGAGGACAACUUUUUAGACUCAGAACUCUCGGCACUUAUUCUCGACAUGCUCUGCUUCCAUGGCUGGCACCCGAUUACCAGACGAACUCUCACAAGCACUUCGAUCUCUUGGUUCACUCUUGAACUACGUUCGGCUUGAUCCUCGAAAGGGGUACGUAGGCAGCCUUUCAUAAGGUUCAGUCCGAAAUCAAUCAAAAACCUUUUCUGUAUUUUCUUCGUCUUUUGUUAUCGAGCCACGACUCAACUAGGUUUGAGCUUUUAGGCCGCUAGAACUAGGUAACUCGCUGACAGCCUUUGCGGCCAAAGCUUUUUUGAUCUCUUGUAAUGAUCUCAACGCUCUUACGCGCACUAGAAAUAAGAUCUACUGUUUUCUCUAAACUUGUUUGUUAUCUUUUCACGAUUUUCGCAUAUAUUUGGUCACUUGCCGUUGGCUCUCGCAGAGAUCCGUGACCUCUGGAAAAUUAGGGUUUCCCUAAUUUCCUAAUUUAAACGUAAAUCGACAGUGCGAAUUUCGGUUCCCACAUAGUUCUUAGUUAAAGAUUUUAAGAUCUAAUUAGACUACAUGUGAGAGUUGAAUCAAUAUACUAAAAUAAUAAAACAUGUAUUUAUUUUUCAUUUACGCUUUAGUCUUAUAGGUUGCAUGGAAAUUCGGAUGAAAGUCCGUUUCACGUUUAGUUUCAUAAACGUUUUGGAAUCGGAAUCUUUCAGAAACUCGUGGAAACUCAUUAGAAACGUGUUUCUUGAAAAUUUCAUUUUUGAAACUAGAUGAAACUGUAUUUCCACUUUAGAAAUUUGUGAUUAUGUUUUGGAAACGUGAAAAAAAACUUCUUAAAACAAGUUUUGUAACUUAUACUUUUAUUUUGAGUUAAGCCACCCAAUAUUUAAGUAUUGGAUAUCUUCUAUUUUAAAAUUUUAAUAUGAUUUAGAUGUUUAACUAUUGCUUGUUACAUUUUCGUGUACUUAACAUAAAAUUAUUAUUCAUUGAUUUAUAUUAUUAGAUAGAUCACCAAACAGAAGAAAGUAAUUGUAUACACACAUAUAUAUAUAUAUAUAUUUAUAAACGUUUCCAUUUCUUAUAACUUUAAAAUCAUGUUUCCACGUUUUAAAACGUUUCGUUUCCGCGUAUCUUUUUCCGAUUCCAUGCAAUCUAGCUCUGGGCUUUUCCAUUUUAAAUAGAUGGAGAAUUUCAUUUUUACCACUUUCAUGGUACCACUUUUCAUCUUUACCACCACUAAAAGGACAUUUUCAAAAAUAUAUUUUUUAUUAAGUGGCAAAAGACUCUUAUACCCUUGUUUUCUAUAUAUAUAAUAAAUCAUUAUUUAAAUAAAAAAAAAUAUAUAUAUAUAUAUAUAAUUAAAUUUUCGAAUUAUACGUUUUCAAAUUCGAAUUUUUUUAUAUAUUUUUUUUUUGAAUUUGUUUUUCAAAUUUUCUUUUUGAAAAUCGAAAAUUAUGUUUGAAACUAUUUUAAAAAAUAAUUAUAUUUUUUAAGUAUUUAUUUAUAUAUUUAUUAGAAUCCUAAAUUUUAUAUUCCAAAAACUCUACACCACUCCUCAACUAUAAAACUUAAAUCUAGAUUAGUUAACCUUAUGGGUAUAAGUGUCUUUUAAUAAACAUGUAAAGUAAUAAUAUGAAUGUGGUAUUUGUGGCAAUUUCUCUAAAUAGAUUUGUUCAAAGGUUUUAAUACCAAAUAAAAAAUAUUCUUAUUUCAUUUGAAAUAUAUUUUCUUAUCAAUAUUUAUUUUAUCAAAACAUGAUAUUAAAAUCUUAAAAAUGAAAACAAAGAAAAGUUCCCGCGCUACCUAGUAUUUUCAAUUUGAUUUAGUCAAAAGAAUAAUAAAUUGUUUUUGUAACGUGACGUUAAUUUGGUCAUGGAGAAUUACUCUCCUCAAGGCUAAUUAAUUUGUCAAGAAUGCUCUAUCAAUUAGGCCCUACCAUCAAUACACAUUAUACAUUCUGUUUCUUGUUUUGAACAUACGAUCAACAAAGAAUUUUUUUUUUAGCAACAAUUCAUUAAUAGAAAACCAGAGUUUUACGUGACCAUAGUUGUAGCUAGAGCUCUCUUGGCGAGAGUGUUAGCAGCAAUAUUGUCUAAACGAGGAAUGAAACAAAAGCGAGAAACAGAGAGAUAACAAGAUAGAUUGUGAAUAUCCUGGAGGAUACCAAAAAGCUCCUUGAUAGAGUCUCUCCCAUUGAUAGCUCGGAUGAUGGUCUGAGCGUCGGAUUUGAUGAGUAGUUUGCUGUACCCGAAAGCUUGUGCUUGUAGUAGCGCUUCCCUUAUCGCCAUGCCCUCUGCCACCAGUGGGGAGGGGACGAAGUGUUCUGUUGCAGCUCCUUUGGCCAAAACUUUCCCGGUAUGGUCCGAGAAAAUCCAAGCCAGCCCCGCUUUCUUAUCUGUUUCCUUCCAGGCUGCAUCUGUAUGAACGUUGAUGACGAUCAACAAAGAAACCAAAAGAUUUUCCCACUUUAAUAUUUUUAUUUUUCAAUGUAAAUGAAUGUUGUUUCUUGCUUUGAACAUGUAGGUGCUUGAGGAUGGGGUUCUGGAUCUGGAGACUACUUUAGUCUCCAUCUUGCCAUCUCCAAUGCACUAUGCUGGUCCAACCGAGGUUCAGUGGCACGCCAAAGCUAGGAUCAAUGCGGGAGCUAAUUUCUACACAGUUACUCUUCAUAUCAGGAACCAAGGUACAAUCUGAAAUUACGUUCUAUUUCCAUAUCCAAGGUUCGUAGUUUGUGACUGAAAAGCAAUAUAUUUGGAUGAUGAUUUUGUUCUAGAUGCGUGGCUUGGCUAAGAAGAAAGAGAACCCACCAGACGGUUUCAUGUGUCCUUCUGGUUGGAAAGUGCUGGUUGAUUACUACGACAGUGGCAACGCAGAGUCUGGUAAUGGAAGGGUUUCAGAAGCUGUCGUUUCUGCUUGAAUGCAGAGAGUACGUGUCCCAUAAAGGUUUCACAUCUCAUGUAUGAUAGGUACCACUUCACACAGAAGUUCUGUUUAUAAAAACGCUUUCCAAUAGAACCAAUGUGUGUUUGUAUAAAACAUCUGUGUGUUCUUUGUGUCUCUGGUGUCGACGUCACAUCGACUUGCAUCGAUUUGUACCAUAUUUUCGUAUUGUUGUAAUAGAGAAACAUUUGUGAUUGUGCGAUUAAACUGUUCUCUUCUAAAACACAUCUGUAAACUACAUAGAACUAAUCUAGACAAGAUUGGAGAAACAAAGAAGAGUUUUAUGUACGUUUGCUAUAUAUGAUGGUGGGUCGAUUCCUGGCGGUGGAAACACUGCUGGGACGAGGCGGUUCUCAAUUUGGAAUUGGAGGCACCACAUCGAGACGUGUUUCCGGCGUUACGCUAUCAUCAUGCACACCACUAAUUGCGUAUGGGAUAAAAAAUACAAUCAGAUAUGUAAAAGAUAAGUCACAUCAUUACAUUAAAAGACAACCAUAACAUAUAAAUCUCCAAAAGAAUUAUUAUUUAAAAAAAACUAGGACGACGUAACGGGAGUGAUCCUAGGAACUGCAACAGGAAACUCAUGAAUCUCAUCACUCCAUGGAUUAGAAUUUUCAACCGGAUCAACCGUUCUCAAAGCUUUCCAAACCGCACUAUUACACUUGAAACCCGAUCCAAAAGCAAUUUGCCAAGUCCUGUCUCCUCUCUUGAUCCUUCCUUUAGCUUCACUAUACGCAAGCUCAUACCAAAGCGAGCUACUUGAGGUAUUACCAAACCGGUUCAACGUCAUCCUCGAUGGCUCCAUAUGCCAUUCGGACAAAUCAAGAUUCUUUUCUAUCUCAUCAAGAACGGCUCUACCUCCAGCAUGAAUGCAGAAAUGCUCGAACGCUAGCUUGAAAUCAGGAAUGUAAGGUUUGAUCUUCUUGACUUUGAAUACUUUGCGUGUCACGAGGGUUGCGAAAAAGAGAAGUUGUUCGGACAUUGGCAGGACGAGUGGUCCGAGAGUUGUGAUGUUUGUUUUGAGAGCUUCUCCAGCUAUUGCCAUUAGGUUUUUGGAUAGAGAGACUCCGACUUUGCCGGUUUCUUCUGCGUUGUUGUCUUCUCGUUGGUAAACGCACCCAAAUGCGUUGUCAUCAGCUCCUUUGUGGGUACGGACAGUGUGGAUGAGCUGAUAUUUUGAACGGCUGCGAUCGGAAGAGCGGUUCGAGAGAAGUACGGCGGCUCCACCCAAACGGAAGAUGCAGUUAGAGAGAAGCAUUGAUCGGUCAUUGCCUAAGUACCAGUUUUGAGUUAUGUUCUCUGUGCUCACCACUAGUGCGUAUGAGUUUGGCUGGACCUGCAUUAUUAGCAUGAUUCGAUAAGAACAAGAUUCUUGAAUCUAAAAGACAAACUAUGAACAUGGCUUUUUAAGUUAUGCUUUGAUAUUAUUAUUACUACAUGGUUAGUGCUGUAGUGUGUAUGCACCUAAUAUUGUUGUAACUAUUUGAGAACUUUUAUUCAAUUUGCCAACUAGCUUAGAGAUUUAAGGAACUUGCAAGCAUGUGCUACCACGUUGGUUUCUCAACUGUCAUAGACUCUUACAUAAAUAUAUAUAUAUAUAUAUAUAUAUAUAUAGGGACUGUAAAUAAUUACGCAUCAAUCCUACAUGCACUGUUCCUUUUUUGUUCAAUAGUGGAUGCUUCUUUGAAAUGAAAAAAAUGUCAUUAACUUUUAUAUUAUAUAUAAAUAAAUAAAAUACAACUUUGGUCAUUAACUCAAGACAUUAUGAUUUUUCCAAUUUCUCAACCACCACCUACCCAAAUACUAAAAGACCUGUCACUGUCAGAAUUUUCAUAGACACGUGACUUGUUUGAUCUUUAUGCUUUCAUACAACUCAUUUUAUAAAAAGUUCGACAAUAUAAAUGAAAUAGUAUCUCAAAUAAUUCGAUUUCAAAUAAUUUAGUCAUAAUAACAUGCUUAUAGCACGCAAUAGUGACAAGAAAGCGAGUUAUUCCAAAAAAAAACACAUAUUAAAUGCUUAUUAAGUUGGACAUAGCACAAAAUAAUUAAAACUUUUACUGUUUUUAAUAACAUAAAAUUCAUGAGCUGUCGUUAGCCUUUUCAAACAUUUAAAGGCUGAAUAAGAAAAGUCACGACGGCUCUUAAAAAGCAAACCGGACUAAACCAAACCAAAUAAUUAAUUAAAACAUAAUCUGAAGUAGUACUAAAACAAAUUAAAGAAUACAAUAUUUACCUGGAGAAGCUGUUUAGCGAGAUCAAUGGAGAUAAGGCCAGCACUACAACCCAUUCCACCGAGAUUAUAGCUCAGAAUAUUCCCUCUAAGCUUAUACUUAUUCACAAUCAUCGCAGAAAGUGACGGAGUUGGAUUAAACAAGCUACAGUUAACCACAAGAAUACCAAUAUCUUUCGGUUUAAUACCGGUUUUCUCAAGAACUGCCUCAAUAGCUCCGAACAUAACCGUCUCUGCUUCUUUCCUCGCUUCCUCCAUACAAGGGUUCGGAGGAACGCGAAGAAGAGCUUCAGGGAAGUAAGUCUUCUGACCAAGACCGGACCUCUCGAGGAUCUUUUGUUGAAAUGCGAGAUUAUCUUCAGUGAAGAUACCUACUCGUUGAGAACGGUCCAUGAAUGUUUCUCGAGUGCAGAUCAAAGAAGGGUCUGGUUUGUAACAUGAGAAGUCGAGGAGGAAGACACGGCGAGGACGGGUGGUGAAGUAAGCGGUGGAGAGAGAGAUCAAGAGCGCGGUGGCGAUAGUGGCGGAGAGGAAAUGGAAACGGAGGUGAUUGUAGAGAAGAGUAAGGUCGUUGAGGGAGAAAGAAGAGAGGUUUGCGAGUGUGGCGGCGAGGAGAGGGAGGAGGAGGAUGUAAAGCGCGUUGGAGAUUAGGUAAUGGUAACCAAGUUUGACGUAUUUGAGACGAACGGACAAGAGGAAGUUGGGGAGGUUGUUUGGGUUUUGGUCGGAGUUUGUAACGUGGACGGGGACAGGACGGUGAGGUUGGUGGUCUUGAUUCUGGGUCAUGGUGAGAACGAUGAAAGGGUUAAGCUUUGUUUUUACUGUCGUUAGGAUGAAUAAGAAGAGAAAGGAGGAAAUAUGUAGAGAAGAGAACUAGAGAAGUGUCAAGUUUAAGUUGAGCGCCUGAAAAGUUGGAGGAGCUUUGAGAAUUUAAUGGCAAAUUUUCUUUGCAAGAGAGAGAGAGAAGCUUGGUUAUAAUGUAGUUAGGAAAAAUGGGAACUAUUUAAGGAAAAUAAUAAUUUUUUCUAUAGACUUUACAAAAAGAAUAAUUCUAGCAAGUUCAAACUAAUACAUGAAUAAUAACGAAAUUCGUUUCUGCAAAUAAAGAAAAAUAGAUUAUUUUAGGAUAUAAUAAAAUGAUAGCAUAUACAGUAACCAUUACGUAUUAAUAUUAUAUAUUUUUUAAAAUUAUAUGAAAAUAGUAAUUUGAUGUGAAUAGUGAAUUAUGUAUAUUUUUAGGUAUAUAUUGAAAAAAUAUAUAAAGGGUUUCAGCCAAAAGCGGAUAUUGUUAGUUUUAUGUAUACAUGUGUUUCAACUUGUGAGUUUACAAAUCAACAAGUGAAACAUAAGUUAAAUCCACAAUUUUAUUACAUGCAUCCUGUUUCUUAUGUACAUAGUAAGUUAUAUAGUCUUUAUAAUAAAAACUAAACCAUAAAUAUAACUUGGAAGCUUUUGUUUUCAUAAAAGUAGAUAUAUUUUUGUUUGUCAACUCAUAAAAAUGGAUAAAUAAAAGUUAUGUGGGGAGGGAAGAUGCAACUACCCUAUUCACAGUCGAGAUUGACACCUAAGAGACGGCGAUGACUUUUAUCCUAGAAAAUCCAAUUGGUGGCUAAAAUUGGCCGGGUACGAUCAAAUUACCCUUAUGCCCGUUCUUUGACCCGUUAUCUCCGAGACUACCUUCUUUUGCGAACAACUUGCAUACAGUGAAUAUGUGGGGCCUACUUUGUUUCCGUGUCAUGUUAUGUUGUGUAACGUUCGUGUGAACUGGUGUAUAAUGGUAGCUGCAGUUUUGAUAAUAUAAGAGGCGUAGAAUUAAAGUGCAGCACAAUUUAACUGUGAGGCUAUUGUUCGGUUGAUCUCGGGUAGCAUGGAGAAGAAGAGGCGUUCCUGUAUUAGCUAUGCUCUUCAAGUUGCCAUUUACUCUCUGUGGACAGAACGGGACAAGCAGCGUCAUGGAGAUCAACCUAUGCCACUGAAUGUCUUGAUCAAGUUCAUUGACAAAACUAUCCGAAAUAAGCUCAGUUUGGUGCAGAGAAAAGAGUUAAAGGGACUUGAAGAACUGUUCCAGCUCUGGUUCGGUACAAGACUAUAAAUAUAUUAGGCAGUUUAGGAGUUUUGGAAGCCGUAAAAUUAUAGGAGUAGUCACUCUUCAAAAACAAGGUUUCACUUGAUGUACAAAAUUUUUUUUGAUGAAUAAAUAUAGCAUUCAUUCAAAAAAAAAAUUGUGGUUCAUGUGGAUUACAGAAUAAAUAUGGAUUUGAUAAAAAAAAAAUAGUGCACUUUUGAUAACAAAAAUUAAUGCGGUUUUGAUAUAAAAUAAUAUAAAAUAUAUAUAUAUAUAUAUAUAUAUAUAUAUUAAUAAAAGUAGAAAUUAAAUUUGUUCAAUUAGCGAUAAUGUCACAAUUCUUUUUAUACUGUUAAAAUAUUUAAAUUAAUAUGAAAAAAUUAUAAUAUAUAUAUAUUCUUGUUAAAAUAAAUUUAAAUACUAAAAUUCUUUUGAAAAAGUUAAAAAAAUAUUGUUAUGUUUUUAAUAUUUUUACUUAAAUUAAAUAUAUUGAUAUAGCUAAAUAUUUGAUUAAAAUUAAAAACAUGUAUAAAUAUAUCAAACUCAGAUAUUAAUUAUGUAAAGCCACAGCUAUUUGGUUGGUGAACUAUGUAGUGCGUUUUUCAAAAGAAUUGCAUGUAUAAAAAUGGAGUGCGUUACCUUUUUUUUUUUUGUAAACUGCGUUUUUCAACUAAUAUGCAUAAUUGGUGACACUUGCUCAAUUAAGCACUUCCUAAUGCAAUUACGUCCCGCACCACGGUUAUCAAUCAUUACCACAGUAUUUGUAUAUUAGAGGAUUUCAUUAGUAUAAUGGAAAAAUAAGUGGUCAGAAAAUAAAGUUUGUGGAACUAAGAGCACUCUUAUUGGAGAUAAUUUCAAAUAGAUUUCUAAGCAAACAAAAUAUAUAAUAGAAUUAAAGAUUAUACGAUGAUGUAAUGUGUUAUCAAGUGUCAGAAAAAAAAACAAAAUAUUAUUAUUCUAACGUAAAUUAAUUAAAUCAUUUGAUUUUCUUUUUCUUUUUAAAAAUAAUUUAUAUAAAAGAGACAAGGGACUAAUGGAGUUUUAAUGAGAAUCUAUGAACUUUUUAUUUGAAAACUUUAGUGCAUUCUCUCUUUUAUUUUAUUUUAAUUUUAGGAAGAUAUGUAAUGGAAUUAUUCUUUUGUAAAUUCUAUAAAAAUCUGUAAUGGUAUGUGGCUGUGUGACAAUUAAAAUAAAAAAAAAUUGCUGAAGAGUUAUUAGUGCUUGGAAGCGGAAACCAUGCUUCAAUUCCAAGGACAUGAUUAACUUACUGACUUGGAUGGUUUCAAUCAAAAUCUUAUCCGUUCUGAUUCGUUAUUAACAACAUUGAUAUCACUAAAAUUACUCUAACUAAUAAUUUUUUCUCUCAAAUAAAAAAUUCAAUUAUAGUACUUAGGGCUCGAAUUCACAGGGAGUUAGAGUACACAAUAGAUGCUAAUCAGCAGUGAUUAAGUUAGGUAAAUUAUGAAAUCAGUAAAUAAGCAAACAAGGCAGUUGUUUAGUUGAUUGGUUUGAGGUUUGUAAACAAUUAUUAGAAAGCGCUAGAUCUAAUGUUUCUAUUCAGGUAAUCAAGAUUAUAGAUGUAUAGAAUACUUAGGUUGUCAAUCCUAGAACUCGAAUUCUAGUGUAAGGAUAUCCAACUUUCACAUGUGAGUAUUAUGUUUUGACUAAGUCCAAUAUCUCUGCUUCUGCUUGUUGAUACGGAUCGAAUGUCGAUUGAUGCUAUGAGAUUAGCGUCGAUCGAUGUUUCCUUAGACGGGCUUUAACGAGUUGAUCGAUAGGUUCGCUAGUAAUGUAUAUAUCAGCUUUCGCUUGUUUCUAAACAAUCCUAGCCAAACAGAAUUAAUUCUGAUGCAGAACCUACCGUCGUAGUUGUCCACAAUCCUAAGUUCAAGGUUCUAGUUAGCUAUUCUAGAACACAAGCAUUAACAACAAUUCCUUUAAGGAUAUUUAUCACCUAAGUAAUUCUAUAUUUUGGGCUAAUCACUCAGAACCUAUUUGACCCUAAAUCUAACAGAUGAAUUACUCAGACAUAGCAAGGUAAAUCAUAAUAGAUAACUGAAUAAAUUGCAUAAAUAUAAUAGAAUUAGAAAUACUGGAGUUCCAAUACAAAUCUCUGAAUGAGUCUUGGAUCUUCUAUCCAAACUACUAAAAACCCUAAGUAUUGUUUGCUGUGAAAAGUAGAAAGUAUGAAAAGCGUGUGUUGCCUAGAACAAUGGCAGAGCACAUAAAUAUUAGGUUAAAAUCGGCCAGGGGUAUUUCUGUAAAUGUGUGUGACUUGAGAUUUAAGUCGGCUGGAAACCUAGUCGGGUCUUUCGCGCUUCGCUGUCGAUCGACGGCACAUGAUGUACAUCGAUCGAUGUUUGUCUCUGAAUGUUGACCUCUGGACUGAUUCGAUGGUGAGCUACGGGCUUCCUCUCAUUUUAUCUCUAAAAUGCACCAAAAUCACCACUUUUCUCCAAAACACGCAUGAACCUGUAAAUAUGCUAAAAAGACUACAAAACAAAAUAAUUAUAUCAUAACACUUAUAUACCAUGGCUAAAAGUGAGUAAAAUCCAUGAUAUAUCAACUCUCUCAGACUUACCAUUUUGUUUGUCCUCAAGCAAAACACAGAGCAGUUUUUAUGAAAGAGGUUUGAAAACAGCAGAGCUUCACACAAUUUAAGAACUCACUAUCAUCACCUCUACUAUGUUGCAAGCCAAAUCAAAUCAAUUCUAACUUUAGAGAUAUUCUCUAUAUUAUAUCCUAGCUUAGCAACCAAAUUCAUAUAACCAACAAAUUAGCUAAUAUUGUCUGACUAACCCCUCUACUGACCUCUUUUAUUACAUAUAUAAAAGUGUAGGCUUUACCUUGGAAGUACACAAAAGACACAUGGACUCUUACUCAAGCAAGUUUCUAAACACACAUGUAGUCUUAUUUGAUCCCUUUCUUCCCUCUUUCUCUCUUCUCUAAAUCUCAAUUCCAAUGAACAAUGAUGCUGAUACAGUUCAUCUUUAUUCAUCAUAUAUCUCCCCUUUCCCUCUUCUCUAAAUCUCAAUUCCAAUGAACAAUGAUGCUGAUACAGUCCAUCUUAUUCAUCUUCUUUUCGAUUUUUCUCUUCUUUUUUUUUUCUUUGAAAAGUGUAAGCGAAUAAUGGGGUCACAAGAGAUACUCCUAGCCCUCACUUCCAACUAUGUGUGAUAAUUCCAUUAGAGAGAAUAAUGGGGACACAUGAGACACUCCUACCCUUCCGAACCGCAUGAAAUCAUUUCAAUCUUUUAUUCUUAUGGAUGCCAAAGAGAGAUAGAGACAAGGGAAUCAGAAACACACAGACUUUGACCUUCCUGGCUUGCAGGAGGAAUCUGAUCUAUUGUAUACCAAACCCCAAGAUAAGAAGAUUAGGCUCAAUUAGGUUUGAGGUCAGCUUUGGUUCCUUCAAACAUUCUCAGCAAGUGUGAAUAUUUGGCAGGUCACUUUAGUAUCUAUAAUACACUAUGCAGUCAAUAAAUCUAAGAGUGGUGCUAGACAGUGAUUAGAUAAUAAGUGAAAUUGAAAAAGUUCAUUGUCCCCUUAUUGACUCAAUGAAAAAUAUAUAUAUUUAACCUGCGAUAAAUUAAAUACGAAAAAUCAGUAAUAUAUUCAAAAUAAAACUAAGUAAAUCUUAUCAAUGGGUUGCCUCCCAUUAAGCGAUUUGUUAUAGUCAUUUAGCUUGACUCUUUGGAGGUUGUUUGGCUAGUAUAGAGGUAAGUGACUAAUUGUUGGAAAACAAGGGUCAUAUCUUCUCUGCUCAUCUGAAACCAUGUAUCAACGAAGAUUCUUAUGGCUUCAUCUCUCUUGUCACUGGUUUUUCAUUAUCUCCUUAGCAACCUCAUUAGCAUGCAUCCUUUUCUGAAGAUGUCCAAUACAGCCCUGGUGCAUUCUAAGUCCGGCAUGUGUUGUUUCUAAGAUGUUCUGAAAUCUCUGGGAAAUAUCCUCCUUGAGAAAGUUUUGAAAAAAACCAAUCUCAUCAAGCUUGUCUUCUAACAACUUCACUGUUACCAGCCUUCCUUUGAAAGAUGUGUGGUUGGCGUCGAUCGAUGGUCGAGUGUGAUCGUCGAUCGAUGGAUAUUCUUUUGCUCGGAUCUCACUCUGUCUCCGAAUUAUGUCUAUCUCCUCUUUCAGCUCAUUCAUGCGUGCAGUCAACAUGGUAAUAUUGUUGUCGAUUGGGUAGUAGACAUCAUUGAGCCUCUUGUAGUAGUCAUUCAUUGACAUCUCUUGGGCUCUGUAGUUCCCAUGUACCAUGUCAUCAAUCUCUGCUCUGUUGUAAGUGUCUGGCUUUGGCAUGGUUCUGGUGAAUUUCUCUGCAUAUUCUGGUAGACAUAUAUGAGUGUUUCCAUCCAUUCUAGCUCUUUCUAAAAUCUCCCUGAUGUCUUCCCUUGACACAUGAAUGAUUCUGCCUUCUACAAAUCGGGCAUUUCCAUGCUCGUCUCUGUAUAUUCCGUAUUCAUCUCUUUCUUCCCAUUGGAAUCUUCUGUUGCCUCUAUGAUUAUAAGCUCUAUUUCCAUACUCGUAAAGACUGUCGAUUGAUGGUUGACAUGUCCUAUCGAUCGAUGUUGGAUCCUCUCUUUUGUCUUGCUGGCUGAAAAGGUUUCCUGUUCCACUAGCCUUUGCAAGAAUUUAUGCGACGUCUUUAGAGAUGUGUAUAGCUCGUCCAUGCAGAGCACGUGCUUGUCCUUCUGAAUCUCUGAAUAUACCAAACUCAUUUGGUCUAAGGUAACCAAAAUCUGCAUCAUCUUUUGCUCUUGCAUCUGACUCUGUCUCGUGAUAUGUAUCGAUUAAUGGUUUGUGGUUUCCAUCGAUUGAUAUCUCUACCCUGGUCUCAUAAGAAGUCUUGAGAACUCUUGUCUCUUCCAUGUUAAGGCCAGGGUACUCAAUGAUCUCCUCUUCUCUGUAGUCCUCAUCGUACUAAUCAUGCUCCUUUUCACCGAUCUUCCUUUGGAAGGUGUAGCUGUCUGAAUUGCGUAGCUAGGUUGGUAGUAAUCAUUCGCCCAACUGUUGAUAGAACCUUCUGGGAAGUCGCCUAUCUCAUUCGCAGAGUGACUAUCGAUCGGCUCUUCCAAGGCUUUGUCGAUCGUCGCUUCAGUCUUCUUGUCGAGCGACGCUUCAGGUUGAUUGUCGAUCGAUGAUUCAUGGUCCGAUUCCACUUCAGCUUCUGGGUCGCAGUAACAAACUGCAAUGAAUCCUGGAUCAUCUCCAAUCUCUAUGUAUCCCGUCUGUGUCUUGACACUAGUUCAUAAUAGAUAGUAGGGUCUAUGAGUGUCAGGCACAACUUGUUGGUCUGCAUGUCGCAUACUGGUCCUACAGUAGCCAUGAAGGCUCUCCCAAGUAGUAGAGAAGAAUUCCAGUUGAGCUUGAUGUCCAGGACAUGAAAGUCUACUGGAACUAGGACAUUACCAAUAUGCACCUCAAGGUUUCUGAUGAUUCCUCCUGAGUUCCUCUGAAAACAGUUCACAAAAGUGAAUGAAUACUCUGAAGGCUCUAUCUUCAGACCUAGAUGGUCUGCCAUCACCUUUGGUAGAAUGCUAACUGAAGAACCUGUGUUGCAGAGCGCACUAGGGUAAUCAAUGCCUCCUAUCAAGCAUGCUACUACAAACUUUCCUGGAUCACUCUUCUUCUUCAGUGUAAUCCCCUGCCUCAUCUACUCUCUGACCUGGUGGAACAUUCUCCUAAUGUUUUUUUCAGUCUGUUAGUCUCUCUGAAGAACAUCCACAACUUAUGGGUAAAGUAAGCCUCCUCAAAUGGCUUGUCCAUUGGGAUCCUUAAAAUCCUCUUUGUAAAACUAUUCAUGUCUUUCUCAUUGCCGCCUCUCUUAAGAUGCUUAGAAACCUUUUGCUUCCUUCUCCUUAAUGUCCUUCUUUCAGUAGCCUUAUCAACUUGCAUAGGCUCUGGUGCAGAACCUAUCAUCGUAGUUGUCCACAAUCCUAAAUUCAAGGUUCUAGUUAGCUACUGUAGAACACAAGCAUUAACAACAAUUCCUUGAAGGAUAUUUAUCACCUUAGCAAUUCUAUAUUUUGGGCUAAUCUCUCAUAACCUAUUUGAACCCUAAAUCUAACAGAUGAAUUACUCAGACAUAGCAAAGUAAAUCAUAAUAGAUAACUGAAUAAAUUACAUAAACAUAAUAAAAUUAGAAUACUAGAGUUCCAAUACAAAUCUCUGAAGGAGUCUUGAAUCUUCUCUCCAAACUACUAAAAACCCUAAGUAUUGUUUGCUGUGAAAAUUAGAAAUUAUGAAAAGCUUGUGUUGCCUAGAACAGGCAUAGCACAUAAAUAUUAAGUUAAAAUCGGCCAGGGGUAUUUCUGUAAAUGUGUGUGACUUGGGAUUUAAGUCGGCUAGAAACCUAGUCGGGUCUUGCGCGCUUUGCUGUCGAUCGAUGGCACAAGAUGUGAAUCGAUCGAUGUUUGUCUCUGAAUAUUGACCUCCAGACUGGUUCGAUGGUCAGCUACAGGCUUCCUCUCAUUUUAUCUCUAAAUGCACCAAAAUCAGCAUUUUCCUCCAAAACACUCCUGAACCUGUAAAUAUGCUAAAAGGACUCUAAAACAGAAUAAUUAUAUCCUAAAACACUUAUAUACCAUAGCUAAAAGUGGGUAAAAUCCAUAGUAUAUCAAGCAUAAAAGAGCUGAUUACAAGGAAUAGGAGAUGUUUAGGAGGCAAAAAUGUAGAGAGAAAUGGCUCAAGUUUAGUGAUAAAAAUUGUAAAACUUUUCAAUCCUCAGUCGAGGCAAACAGAUCAAGACUCCAUUUAAACUCAAAGAUAAGAAUGGCCAUAACAAAUGGUCGGCUGCUGCGAAGGCGGAAGUGGCCAUUGAGUAUUUCUAGGAGUUCUUCGCAACCUCGAACAUUCCUUAUGAACCUAUAUUUCAGGGUACGAAACUGAAGUUUUGGGUUAUGAAUAAGCGUCUAACGUGUAAGGUCUCUAAGGAAGAAGUAAAAGAUGCUAUCUUUUCCAUUAAAGAAGAGAGCGCUCCAGGCCGAGGCGGCAUGGCAAGGCUUUUCUUUUAAAAGUUUUGUCCCACCAUUGGAAAGACAGUAACAAAAGAGAUUCAAAAUGUUUUUGAAAAGGCGACUUUACCAGAUGAGUGGAACUUUACUUACUUGUACUUGCUUCCCAAGAUACAAAACCCAGAAAACAUGACAAACUUAAGACCUAUUAGUCUAUGCUAGGUGUUGUAUAAAACAGUGUCGAAGUUUGUUUAAGCGACUGCAACCAUUCUUAAAUGAGUUUUUCUCAGUUAAUCAAUCGGCCUUCAUCAGUGAAAGGUUGAGUCAGGAUAACAUCUUAAUAUCCAACAAGGCAGUUCAUGCUCUUAAAACCCAUUCACUGGUGGCAUAGGAGUUUAUGGCGGUGAAAAUUGAUAUGUCUAAGGCAUAUGACCAGGUGGAAUGGAGUUAUUUGAGAGCCUUGAUGAAGGCUUUGGGAUUCGAUUAGCAGACGAUUACUUGGAUAAUGAUGUGUGUGUCUUCAGCCUCCUUUACUUUUCUAAUUAAUGACCAGCCGUUUGGUCUAAUAUCGCCAAGAAGAGGUAUUCGCCAAGGACACCCUUUAUCUCUGUUCCUCUUCUUUUUCUGCAGAGAAGGCCUAUCAUACAUGUUGAACAUGGCUGAAAGAACUAAUAUUUUGAGUGGAAUGAGUUUUUCGAAAUCAGGAUCCUUCUGUUCAAAAUUUAUUCUUCUCUAAUAACAGCAUGUGUCUCUGCAAAUAUUCAGUAGCGCAAUGCAAGAAUGUUCAAAGGAUUCUGAAUUUUUAUGGAGAAGCAACAUGGCAGUGCAUUAACUUACGGAAAUCUUCUAUAACUUCAGAGAAUUGAUUCUUGCAAAAGAGCAAGCUGAACUCCAUGCCAUUAUAGGUAUUUAUAAUGAAGGUGUGGAACCAGUAAAUACCUAGGACUCCAUGAAUGGUUCUCAGAAUCAAAAGUGGAACUUCUAUCGUACCUUAAAUAUCAUACUCAAUGUCGUUUGGAUAGCUUGUUUACACAAGUUAUCGCAGGGAGGUAAGGAGAUUCUCUUGAAAAAACGGCAUCAGCUCUCCCUGUCUUCGCCAUGUCCUGUUUCAGAUUUCCCAAAACUAUCAUUGCCAAACUCUCUAGCUUGAUAGAAAACUACUGGUGGAGUUCAAAAUCUCACCACAAAAAGAUAUACAGGGUCUCAUGGGAAAUAUUGUGUCUACCAAAGAAUUUAGGAGGAGCGGGAUUCAAAGAUCUUUAAAGAUUCAACUAAUCUUUAUUGGAAAAGCAAGGGUUGAAACUCAUUGACCAACUUGAGUGUCUCUUGGCAAUAUUUACAAAGAGUAGACACUACCUUCAUUCUGAGUUAUAGACAGCUUCAGAAGGUGAAAGACCGUCCUUCGCAUGGAGAAGCCUCAUCUUCGAUAGAUAAUUACUCCAAAAAGGCUAAAAUUGUAGGUAGGGAAUAGUCAAACACGAGUGUGUAGAAUGAUAAGAGGGUGGAGGACCCUGAUCUAGGCAUGAGAGAGCCUUGGAUUCAGAAUUAUCUAUUUGAUGUCAAUAUGAUGGCUAGUUCACUCAUUGACUUUACUAUAAGAAUAUGUAAUAUUCAGGUGCUUCAGGAAUUUGUUUUUCCAGGUGACAUCAAAAUGAUCAUAGCCAAGCAGCCGGUUCUUUCUCGAGUGGAUUCCUUGUCUUGGAAACAUAAUAGAAGUGGUAAUCUGUCAGUGAAAUCCGCUUGCUGGCUGGCUCGUGACUCGAAGAUUUAAACUUAUUAGCCUGAAGUUCUUGUUCUUCCUUCUCUGAACAUUAUAAAUGAGAAGGUGUGGAAGAUAUAGACGGCUCCCAGUAUCAGAAUUUUCCUAUGGAAAAUGUUGAGUGAUGCACUUCCUGUUUCGGACUUAAUUAGUGCUAAAGGAAUGAAGGUGGAUGAAAGAUGUCAGUUGUGUGGACCGGAUGGAGAAUCAAUUAAUCACACGCUUUUUCAAUGCUCAGGAGAAAGACAGGUUUGGACUCUCUCUGGAAUUCCUUAACCAGAAUAUGGUUUUCAGGAAGCCAAUGUCUUCACUAACAUCAACUACCUUUUAAAUUUAAAAUAUGUCGUCGUUGAGAAAUGGACGACAAAAGAGCUUGGCUGUGGCUGUUGUGGUUUAUAUGGAAGAGUAAAAAUGAUUUCUUGUUUAAUGGCAAAAUAUGGUCACCAGUGGAGAUUCCAAUUAAGGCCAAAACUGAGUCAGUAGAAUGGUUCUUAGCUCAAUUAGUGGAGGGAGAAGUGUCAAACAAAGGUCAUUGGAGACCUCCACAUCAAGGGUGGUUGAUGUGUAAUGUGGCAUUUUAUUGGGACAAGGAUAAGAGACUACUGGGUGAAGCUUGGGUGGUUCGGAAUCAUAGAGGUGUUGUUCUAAUCCAUGGUAGGCGGGCUUUCUCAAAUGUUCUCAGAAAGUAUGAGGCUAGCUAGGUAAAAAACAGUUCUAUGGCCAAUGAAGAGCAUGAUCAGCUUGCAUCUUAAUAAAAUUAUUUUUGCUGGUGAUUUUAAAGAGAUGUUUUGUGCAAUAGGAAAACCUCAUGAUUAGCCUGCGUUUAGGCAUCAUGGUGAGGAUAUUAAGCUGAAGCUAAACUUGAUGGGGGAGUAUCAGUUCAUGGCGGUUAAUUCGAAGAGAAUAGAUGGGCGUCUUUCAUUGCUCAAAGUGUAACAAGACAAAGAUUGGUUCAAUCUUAUGUGAAUAAUGGACAUUAUUCAUGGAUCAUUGAACUCUUUGUCAAUGAAACCCGGUUCUUCUAACGGUUCCUUCGGUGGGAAGGUUCUUAGGGAGCUUUUGGACAUACAAUUUUAAUGAAAUUCAGAAGGAAAAAAAAAGAUAUUUAUGUUACUGCUGCUAAAUUUGUUUCUACAAUUUAUUAUAGAUAGAGAAAAUAGUAAAAAAAAAAUGAAUUUUAGAGUUUUCCCAAAACAACCACAAAACACUUCAUUAAUCUGAAAUUUUAAUAAACUUGUGUUGAUCGAGCCAAAAAAUAUAUAUAUAUUCCCAAAACAACCACAAAACACUUCAUUAAUCUGAAAUUUUAAUAAACUUGUGUUGAUCGAGCCAAAAAAUAUAUAUAUAUUCCCAAAACAACCACAAAACACUUCAUUAAUCUGAAAUUUUAAUAAACUUGUGUUGAUCGAGCCAAAAAAUAUAUAUAUAUUCCCAAAACAACCACAAAACACUUCAUUAAUCUGAAAUUUUAAUAAACUUGUGUUGAUAGCCAAAAUAUAUAUAUAUAUAUAAAUGUAGUCAAUAUGAAUUUUCAUUUAAACGUUAAACUUUAAAAUAAAAUAAAAAUUCAUCGUUUAAAGAAAAAAGAAAAACCAACAAAAUUUACAUUAAAAAGAAAAGAAAAAACAAACCAAACUAAAAGAAAUGAAUUUGUACCUGAUCCAAGAUGUAAAAAUACCUGAAAGAAUCUUGUAGGAUGAUAUAAAACAUAUUUGAAAAUCGAAGUAUUAUUAACAGAAUCCAUAUAGGUUAUAGAAUUGAAACCUGAUUUUUUUUUUUGAAAUAACCUGAUAUGAAAAUCCAAAUUAUUUUUCGAAAUAAGCAUUUGAAAUCUAAAUGAGUAUACUCAAAUACUUAAUUUCAUAUUAUCUAAAAAUUAGUAUGGUUACACUAUGAUUUUUGGAAUGAGUUACAUUAUGAUUUUUGGAAUGAGUAAAAAUUAUAUAUGAACCCCAAGUGUUAUUAAUCAAACCUAACAUGUACUGAAUACUAUCCAAAUGGAGCUUAAGACGUUGAACUUGGAAAACUCGCCCCAAUAUAAAUGUCGCUAAGAUUUCUAAUCACGUUAAAAUAAUUGACAAUUAAGUUAAAAUCGAUGUCGACUAAAUUUAUAUAUAACAUUAUAACCCUGAAAACCUGGAAAAUUUUAUCCGAACCAAUCACUGUCUCAUCCAAAACAAGAAUAUAUAUUUUUGGAUCAAUGAUGUGUUUGUGCUUUCUUAUGGCUACAUUGUGUAAGUUCAAUAUUUUUACUGUCAUUUUUGUUGCUUUUUCUUAUUUUAUUGAAACUACAUCGAUUUGAUUUCUAUUAAAAAUAAAUGCUUGUUAAGUAAAAAAAUAAUAUUCACUAAAUUUAUAUCUAAUUUGGCUCGAUCUCAUAAGUUUACAUAUUUUGGAUUAAUAGAGUAUUGUGCUUUUCUCAGAGAAACUGUAUAAACUGAAUAUUUGUUUGAUCUUUUUCCCAUUUUAGAUAUGAUUUAGACAAUGUUUUCAAACUGAACCUCCAUCCUACCUUGACUGUUAAAUAAACUAAAUCCGAGUUGGUUUAAGACCGAAAUUUGAAUAAAACCAGCAAAAUCAACCAAAACUGGUUAUUUGGGUCAGUAUAAAAGCUGGGUUCAUCAAGUUCAACAUAUAGUUUGAUGAAAGUUUAUUUUAUCAGUUAGCUAUAUUUUUUAACUGGAAUAGUAAAAAAAUUAAAUAUGACUUUUUAAUUUUAAAAGUUAACUUAAAUUAAAAGAUAUUUUUGAAAAUCAAAUAUAAUGUGAAUCGGUUGAACUAAUCUGAUCAUCUAAUCAACAACUAUACCAAGUUAAAAUUUAGGGUGUCUCUUAUAUUACUAUAAUUUUCUUUAAACGUUAUUUAUAUAGCAAAAUCAUUUAUAAUGGUACGCCAAAUUUUACACUAAAAACAGAAUACUGUAAAAACAGAAUUUUUUUAUUCCUAUAGUUAACUCUAUUUUUAAUUCCUAGAUUGGUGGUGGGUUGCCAGAUCUAUCGACGAUGAUGAGAGUUCUGUUCCUCCACAAAAUCUAUUACUACAUGGUAGUUUGGAGAACAAGCAAUUUUGGCAAAUCUUAUUUAGUACAUUCUCCGUAAUGAUUGAUGUUUUUAGAUUUUGUUUUUAUAUUUCAAAAAUUGAUAUUUUAGACUAUAAUUAAUAUAUUUGUUUUUAAAUCUAAAAUAUAAAUUAAAAUAUAAAAUUAUUAGUGGUGGGACUUUAUAGGUAAAACAAGAAGUAACAAAGAAAAUGUAUUUUGAAUUAUGUAUGAAGUGUAAAACAUCAAUAAAAUACUAUACUCUCUUUGUUUCACAAAAAUAUCAUUCUACCAUUAUUUUCUUGUUUUAAAAAGCGAGUCAUUCUAUUUACAUUGCAACUUUCCAUAUAUAUGUAUUUCUAACCAUUUUAAAUAAUCAUUAAAUAAGGUUAUUUUGUGUAUUUUAUCAUUUUUAAUUCAUAAAAACAAUCUUUGUGAAAUGGAAAGAGUAUUUGUAGACAUUUUAUAACCAUUAAUAGCAUUCUAGCAUAUAGUCUUUGCUAUAUUACGAGGAUUCAAAAACUAAGUUCGUAAUACUCCCUCUGUUUUUUAAUAUUACUUCGAUAUAUUUUAUGGAAAUAAAAAAACUGUAUAAUAGACUAAUAUUAUAUUAUUUAAUAUACGAUUAAUUACAUAUAAAUGAUUAAAAAAGUUAUUAGUUAUUCAAAAGGGUAAACAAUUUAUUUAGUAUAUAAAGCUGUAUUGGAAAUGUAGAAUGACAUUCUUUAUUUUUUAUGAAACAGAAAGAGCAUAAGCAACAUGUAUUAAAUUGAUUUUCUGAAGGUUGGUUGUAUCCGAUGCAUUAGAUUGGAUCAAAUCAAAAUGGUACAAUAACUAAGAGAAUUUAAUGGGGUAUAUAAAGUAAGGUGGAGAGAGUUGGGGAGACAUCUUGAAAUGUAAGUGUUACGGAGUAAGCACAUGACAUGACGUCAAGAGGUACUCUCUCUCUCUCUCUCCAUUUAUUCCCCUUUAACAUUCCAUUAUCGUCAAUAGCUUGCCUCUUUUGUAAAAGGUUUUUCUGUGUGUUUUAGGGUGUUUUUGUUUAAUAUACUCUUUCUGUUUCAACCAAAAUUAAAUUUUAUCUAAAUAGUGAAAAUAUCAUUUAUUUUGCAACAAAAAUAUUUUCUCUAAACACCACUUAUACCGAAAUAGAGAGAGUAUCUCAUAAGUUACUCAUUCUACAUUGUUUAAGUGAAUUUAGACCUAGAAAAAUAAUAAUAUAUCGAAUAAUCAGUAAGGAUCAACGAGUCACCUGAUUUUGAUUUUUAAUGUGUACAUUUCAAACAUAUAUUAUAAUCUGUUUUAUUAGGAAUUCUUUAGAUAUUAUGAAUUAAUAUUUUUUUAAAUAGUGAAUCUUAUCAGAAACAAAUCCAUACUUGAUUUUCUUGAACGAACGAAUCAAGUCAAACUAUAAAAAAAAUCAUAUUGAACGUCAAAACAAAAACUAAUGCAAACUUGAUUUUCUUAACCGAGAACGAAUGUCUUAUAAAUUCAUUAUAAAAAUCUUCUGUUUACGAGGUACUGACUUAGAUAGUUUCACUAGUUUGAUCUUAUAAAAGAAAAACUGAUUGACUUUGCGAAUACCAACUCAUAGAUCAUUCACUGCGUCCUGAUCGAAAAGAAGAUCACUGUUUAACAAAUUAAGACUGAAAGGGUUCUAUAUAUACUACUAGGUUCGGUCUGCCCUACGGAGGUGAUAUAUAUUUUACCUGCGAUCUAAAUUAUUAUUUUUGUAAGAUUUUAUGGUUUAUGUUUUAGGUUUGUAUUUGUAAGUGAUAUAUAUGAUAAUGAUUUGUGUCUGUUAGAAAAUUUUACGUGAGGAAAGAUUAAAUAUGAUAAGAUAUAUUUUGAUUGUUUACAAUAGUUGUUUAAGAGUUGUGACAUUGGUAUGCUGUGAGGGCUUCAAAUGGUUUUUAUGUUGUUUUCUUUUACAAAAAUUUAAUCUCAUAUUUGGUGCAUUGUGCUUUGUAAUAUUUCGGGUUCGGAAUGAUUGGGUUGUGGAUAACUAUUUUGUGUAUGUUAUAAGAAUAAUUAGUCUUUAUGUUGAAAUCUUAAUCUUUCGACACGCUAAUGGAGUGGAAGUGGUGAUUAUUUGAAGCUGCAUUUUUUAUUAAACUUAGAAUGUUAUAUUGAAUGCGAAGAAGGUAGUAAAGCAAAGUUAAUCAAAUAAGAAAACAUUGACACUCAAAAUUAUAAAUAUCAUAUUAGUUCUAGAACAUUUCUUUUAAUAUAGAGACGCCAUUUAAGGAACAUUUGAUCUAUCUCCAGCAUUUGUCAGCUCGAGACAUGUCGGUUUGCCGUUCAUGACUAUACAUAAAUUUCAUGCAUUCUUCAUAUUCUCAUGUUCAUAGCAAAAUUAUGGCAUAGAUAUAGUUAUCUUUACCAUAAUUGUUGUUUGCAUAUGUGAAGAUGUAUUAUUCCUUAUUGCGGUUUUGUUUCAAUGUCAAAUUUGUUUGUUUGUUUUCCUAAUAUUAAUUCUUGUAUAGAAUAAGUAAAGAUUUUCUUAUUUAAUCUCCUAUACACUGACUUUUACAGUCAUCGAUCUGAAAUGAAUUGAACGGUUUUAGGAUAUUUUAAAUUCUCUAUGUUACAAUUAAAAAAAGUAAAGAAAAAGGCAUUGGUUAAAAUUUAAUCGUAUGUUUAAAGAGAAUCCUGGACAGCGUCCGUCUUGGAACUUCUAUGUGUGCAGAGCCAAAGUUAAUUAUUAAGUUCUUUGUGAACUUUUAUAUACUAUCAUCUCUGUAUAUUUUAUAACAUAAAACUUCUCCAAUUACCUCUUUAAAUAUUUAGCAUGCACAUUUGGCUACUUUACUAUGAAGAUUCCAUUUCUGACCUAAGUUUUUGUUUAAAAAUAAUAAUAAUAUAGUUAUAUCAUCACAACUACAUCAUUCACAAUUUACAUUCGCAUCCAGAAUGUUCUUGAUGACGUGGCACCCUCAGUUUAUAAUUAAUAUCUGAUUAUAUUAUAAAAUUACUUACAAAAGAUGAAAAUUAUUUAAUUUCUACAAAUUGUUUCUAAUUUAACUUAAUAGUACAAAUAUUAUGAUAUUUAUUUAACAUAUAUUAUACUUCCUUAUGUUUCGAAAAUCCACAUUAUAGAAAGAAAAAAAAAUUGUUUUAUAUAUAUAUAUAUUUCUUUACAUUUUCAAUUCAUUAGUAAAUGGUUAAUUAUAAAUUUCAAAAAAUAUAAAUGUUUUUCAUUAAAAUUUUAUUGGCUAAAAAUUACGAAGAAUAGUUGGUUUAGAAAUUAAUCUAUCCAUAAUCAAAAUUUCAUAUGUUUUCUUAAUACUUGUAAAAGUUCUAAACCAUAUAUAUUUUCGAAAUGGAAAGAAUAUUAGAUUAGAUGGUUAACUAACGUGGGUUAUUAAAUCUUUAAAUAUAUUGGGAUUUAUGUUUGUUAUCAAUUUUUUUUUUUGCUCGUGAUUUGUCACCAACAUGUUUUUCGUUUUUGAUGUUCAAUAAUAUGUGAAAGUAGGUGUUUUUUUCUUCACAUAUUUCAACCACCACAAAUGUGGAUCUGUUUCAUUUUUGUUAUAUUUUUUUUUUCUCUAUUGUAUAAUUGCUUGUAUAAGGGUUAUGUUCACCUUACCAAAUUAUAAUAUUUCUCUGGUGUAUUUGAUAAACAUCGACAAAACCAUAAGUUCUCAUAACAGCCUCUGUACCCAGUAAAACCUUUAAAACACAUCCAAAGCCAGGUAAAUAACCGAAACAGGAAGCAUUAACUUAUUUUACAGUAAAACUUAGAAGAGUCGGAUCAAGACAGAAAUUAAAGAGUUAACGAAAGUCCAAAACCAUCAAAAUCCAAAACGUCUACGAAAUCAGCUGAAGAACAAAUAACAGGCUAAAGUCAUUGAGUAUCACUGUAAAUUUUGGAGGCAAAAACCUACACAGUACAGGUUUAACGCCUUUUUGUUUUUCAAUCUUCAUCUGAUCCCGUCUUUUUUACUCUCUUUGACCCUUUCUUCUUAUCUUCCUCUUCCUCACUAUAUUUGCUUUCAUAAUUCUCUUCAUUCUCAUUUUCUUCUUCCUCCUCCAUGCCUUCUUCUGUAACCUCAGCCUCCAAAUCACUGGUUCUUUUCAAAACCUCAACUUUAAGUAAUGUCUUUUGAUCACAAAUGAUCCAAGCAUCUCUUACGCCAAACUCAUAAGCAAGUCAACUUAUUAGUAUCCUCUGCAGGUUUUUAGAGUUUCCCCAUUUUCAAUCUUGAUCGGCUUUUAACCUUCUCUAACUUCAUUGUUCUCUGUCUCGACGCUUGCUCCUAAACUUUUCAAUGUCUAACAAACAUCACUUGAAGAAGAGUAUAGCUUCAGCUCCAUCCAUGAAACUAACCUUUUGAAAGAGCCAUACAUUGUUUGAAUCCGCAAGAAGAGCCCAUAAGCCUUUCUCUUUGUGGUAAGGAGAGCGAGGAAUAGCGCCUAAGAGUCGAUUGAAAAGUUUUAGAGUGAUCCAAGCUUGAACUAUCACCUUCUGUUUUGCACGUGACUCCUACUUUCAAAGAAGGUAUCAUUUCUAUACACCUUCUCAAUGUCUACAACAUUGCUCUCCGACAAACCAGCAACCCCUGGAGGAGUUGAAGAUGUUCUUCCAAGUGAAGCUCUUGAAAUUCUUGGAAUGAUCUAACCUGCAACGCAAUCUUUUGAGCGAUGAAUUUACUGAAAUAAGGGAGCCUACAAUAAAAAAACAACAUUAAUAAACCUGAAAAUUGUAAACGUUCUGGAAAGUUAACUUAAAAAAAAUCUUGAUACCUUAACAAUGCACUCAUUUAAUCUUAAAGCUUUAUUCCCUUGCCAACACUGCUCUGUUUGCAAGUACCAUCGAUUAGUAUCGUGUUAAUAAUCACAUAUGAUCGUAUUGUAAGUGGCAACAUCAGGCAAAACAAUCAUUAUAUCAAGAAUAAUCAUAAGUUUAUUGGUCUCCUCGGAUUACCAGUAGCCACUUACCAUAACAAUUAGAAGUUAUCACAUCAGGAUGACAGGAACAACACCAUAAACUUUAGGAAACCAAAUCUUGUUGACCUGACCAGUCCAGAAAACAAUUAAUCUGUGAGAAAACAUUUCCUACAAUAUGAUAUGAAAAUUCUUGCCAUCAUUAAACCCUGUUAGCCCAUUAAUCAAUCUGAUAUAGCAUCUAUAAACAAUCCAUCACCGACAUUUCCUACAGGUUAGUUUUGAAUCUAUAAGCAAUUAAAUUGAAAAUAAGGCUAACUUUCUCUAUAAUUGACGCUUUACAUUUCCAGUGGUUUUUUUGUAGUGGAUAAUAAGUUGGGAAGAAGGUAAUUUCGAGGCCAAAGUGGUUUGUUCUGCCUUGCAUGUUUGAACUUGUUCACCUUCUUUUAAUUCAAUUCCUUCCUAAGACUCUGUUAAUUUCUCAAAACCUUGUAAGUGAUAACAUCGGAUUUUCAUAAAAUGGUCAGAGAAGAAGGCUUAAAACAAAACCUCAAAAACAAAAUUUGUUCAAAGAAUUAACGUUAGUUUCCUUUUGAAGAACUUCAUCAGAUUUCAUAAAGUAGUCAGAGUAGUAUGAAAGCAAAACCUAGAAACGUGAUCUACCCAGACUUUAGGUACUGCCGCUUCCAGUCAACCGAUUCUUAAACGGUAUUAGGGAUUGAAACUGGGACCCUCAAAAUCAUUGUACGGAGCCUUCUUAGAUCUGCAGGAAGCAAAUUGUCAUUGUAUAUCAAAUCAAUAAAAAAAUUGCAGAUGAGAGAUGAGGACGAAAGAGUUACUCAUGUUUUGAUACAGCCACGAAGACCUGGUUUAAAGCUUGAGUUGAUUGCAUCUCAAAAUAUCAUGAACGCAUGGAAGCUUGAUCGCCCUUAUGUUCACAUAUUUAUACCUAACACUCACCGUCUCGCAGAACUCAUCGUGAGCGACUGAAUCAAUGAGAUUUAAUACGAAAGCCUUAAUUCUGACUGUUUCAGAUAAUAAGAAACUCAGGCGUCAACGCCGUCGAAUGAAGGGGAGAGAAUGUGUUUUGUCUUCCUGAGACACGUGUCACUUUUUUAGAACAUAACUUUAACUUUUUGAUGUGACAUGGCGCUCUAAGGAGUGAAUAAAACACUUCUUUAUAAUAAUACUAGGCAGGUCCGCGCUACGCGCGGAAUUCAAUGUAUCGGUUUUCAUGAAAUAUAUAAUUUUGUAUAAAUUUUCUUCUAUGUUCAGUUGGUUGUAAGUGUGUUUAUGUUAAGAGAAUGAGAUUGAGUUUUCAUUUACCAGAAUUCUUUUUUUUUAUGUCAGAGUAUCUAUUACUGUGGAAAAUAAAAUUUUAACUUUGAGGUAAUCUUAGUCACUAAAAAUAUAUUUUGUAUUUGUUUAGGACAAUGUCAUUGCUACUAUUAGUACUUGUGGUUGUUUUUUUAUAUUUAUGUUAUAUUUGAGAAGUUAUUUUUGCUUUAUGUUAUGUCAGUAAUUUGCUAGGGAUAAACUAAAACACACCAAAUAAACGGAGGAAUAGUAUGCUUUGAUGAUUAUAUAUUUAUACUUACAUAAAUUUUUAAACUGGCUAUAGAAUAUUAUUCACAAACAUAAAUUAUACGACCAUAUAUUAUUCUGUACAAAAAUAUUAUAAAUCAGCAAAAUACAUAUUAAACUAACUAUUAUUUUAAAAUUAUUUUAUUACGCUAUAGUACAGGUUAGUUAAUAGAAUAACUAUAUAUACUUUUCGAUAUUUGUAUUAAAAUUCUUUGUAAAUCUAAAAUAUGAAUAUAUUAACAUCUCAAAUUGAUAGUAAAAGAAGACCUUUCUUAUAAAUUAUUUCAUCUAAACUUUAAAUAUUAAAAUUAAGAAUAUAUUUAUAAAAUAGUGAUAAUAAUAUUUCUGAAGUUCAAAACAUAACUUUUAAAAAAUUAAGUAAAAUAAUUAAUGUACACAAAUUUAAAUUUUUUUAUAAAACUAAAAUUAUCUAGUUUGUGGAUAUAAAUAUAAUUUCUAUAUAAAUAUUUUUUUGAGGAUAAUAUUGCACUCUAAACUAAACCCGGUUAAUAUGAAUUGCACUCGCAUCCAAAAUGUGCAAUUUUUCUAUAUAUUUGUUUAGUUUCAAAAUCAUAAUAAUCCCCGUAUAAUACACUACAUCUAUUUAUUAUUAUUAUUUUUCUUUCCCUCAAACUAAAAACUAAAACAUAUUAUAAGCACAUUUUUUUUUCCUUUUUAGUCUAAUCCACUAUUACAAUAUGUAACAUAAAUCGAGUACUAUUUUGUAUCUGUAAACAUACAUGUUUAAUAUAUAUGCCUAAACAUCCUAUACAAUCCAUACUAACAAACAUAUAAUCUCUGAAUAAGAAUACUUUUCAAUGAUACAAAAAAAACAACUUUUGGAUGUUUUAAAAAUACAUAAGCAGAACGAACCCGAUGUCAAACGGUGUCAGUAAUGUUAGAUGCGCUCAUGACUGAGCAAAGAUGACGACAUCUUAUGUUACUCCACUAUCUGCCUGCAAGUCUAGUCUUUCCUCUGUUUUAUCUCUUGACCAUAACUAAAAGUUGUUUUAAAAAGAUCUUAGAGUAUUGUCAGGAUAUGUAGUGGCUGCGAUGGAUCUCUCUAUAUACAUAUAAACGCUUAUUGAUGCGCAUUAAAGUGUCAGUUACAUACUACUUGUAUGUAUGGAAAUGCGAAGAGAUAUAUUCAUUUAAAAAAGUGAUGUGUUUUGAAUGCAGGGACACGUGGCGCGACGAUAGCCUUCGAUUUUCUGACGUGGCAUCCUAUGUGGAUGACCUAGGAGUGAAGAAAAACUCUUCUUUAUAUAUAUAGAUAUUUUUUUCUAUAUAUACUAUAUGCUUAAUAGUAAUUAAUGAUUACGCAAUAUCGAAAGCAUUACCUUAACUGUAACUCACGCCUAUCGUUUCAUGUGUACUUAAUUAGGAUCUUAGAUUUUUUAUUAUUACCAGAUUUUCAAUUUUGACAGAAAUACAGAGAAAACAAGAAGCAGAUGAAUUGAAAUGCAUUUAAAAAGAAACUCUACCUAGUCAAAAACAGGGACAUACACCACAAGAGAACAGCUAACCAAACGACUUGACAAAAUCAGAACAUACCAGUUGCCGCAAAAGGAGGAACCCAGUGAAUUCGAGAGUCAGAAGAACCCGGUAGAAUUUGGGAUACCCGAUGAUCCGCUCUUGAGGAUAUGGUUCAACCAAGAACAGCUCGUAGACGACCUCCUAAGCUGCAGCCAACCCAGCCAGACAUAGAAAUCCGAGGCGAAUAACACCCGCAAGACAAGGCCGAGACAUUAUUCAGGAAGGAAGAACCGCUGAGAAGCCACACCACCGCACCUGAAACAAAGCAAACAGAUACCAACCACACCACUCCACGAAUAGAGCAGUCAGGAGUAAGCCCUAGAUUGAGCCUCUGAAGCAGGCUGGAACCGCACGCGCCGCCACUAAAACCGAGGACCCAAGAUGACAAAGCCGCAGAUCUAUAGCCUCACGCGCCUCCUCGUCGGAGAACCCGAAGUAGAUCUGCUCUGCCGGAGACGAUGUCUUCUCCAGACGAAACCACCGUGAUAACCACUGACGGAUCUAAAAGAACCAGAAGAGAACGGAAGAGGCGACCUCGAAGAAAUACUCCCACGGAUCGGAACCUCUUAGCUUCACACCGGAAUAGAUCCACGAGCUUAGCACACCCUAGCCGAGAAGAAGGAUGAAGGGCGUAUAAGAGAGAGAGACUCGCCUUCGACACAGAGAUCUGGACUCCAGAUCUACACUUCCACCUCUACACCCGACCGAGGAACCUCAAACCCCACCGAAUCACCAAGCCUCGCCGCGAUUCCAAGACUGGCCACGCCUCAGAAGAACGAGCAUAUCAUAAGAGAGAGACAGAGAUGUUUGAGGUGAGAAGAAGAAGAGUAAGGGAAAUGGGGGCGGAGCCGACGGUGAAGCACAACCGCCGGCCGCCUAGCUUAGAUCUAGGGUUUUGCCUUCAAGAGAGAGAGGGGAGAGGGGAGAGGAGAGAGCACAGUUGACUUCUAAAGUUUUGCUUGACGUCUUAAACCAAUUAGGAUCUUAGUUAAUAUUAUAAACCGAUAUAGAGUCCCAUCGAUGCACGUAUAAAAGUAUACAUUGAUUCACGUAUCUAAUUAUAUAAAGUACAGUUCUUUCUUUCCAGGUGAAAACACGUCGGAUGACAGGUCAUUAAGUCGUUCGCUGCAGAGACGACACGUGUAUCACGAACAGAACGCAACGCUUAUUCGUUUGUUGCCGUUUGUCGUUUGGGCUGUUUCUUCGUUAUGUGUACGUACAAUCCUAUUGGGCUUAGGUUAAGGGAGCGAUUCGGCCCAGUCAACUAUAGUCUGUGCUAACCCUAAUAUUGUUUUUGUAAAAAAAAUCAAAUAUGUUCAUCCCUUCUCUCCCUUAUUCGGCGACGAUGACGGUAGAACUUCCUCAACUGUCAUGAAACGGAUCUGUGAUUAAUCCCAUCAAUUGAGAGGUCGGGUAUAAAUAGGUCAGUAUUUUUCUUCUGGAAAUCACAAUCUCUUCCUCACUCUUCUACUCGACUCUCUUAUAUUGUUCUAAAGAUUCACUGCUUAAUGGCUAACUCAGAGGUUGUUUUUCGAUCUGAAGUCCGGCAAGUGUUCUCCUGCGAUUCUGGGAGGCCAGGAAUGUCAAGCGCUCAUGUGGCUUGAUAUGCUGAUGGUGGACGUUUUAUUGUAAGUAUUCUUUCCAGAUCCUAACUUAUUAUUUCCGGUGAACCUUAUUUAUUAUUAGCAGGUUUCCGGUGAAACUCAUCCUGAUAAUCAUCAUUCAUAAUGGAUUACUCAUCUGUUCUACUUGCUGAUUUGAACAGAUUUAGAUGUAUCACUUGGAAAGAUAUUCUCUUCCCUGAAACAAAGAAUAUCACCAUUAUUUGUUUCCAGAGGCUGAUAAGAUCAAAGACUGAAACCAACGGUUAUCAACCACGCUGAUACAUUUAGAUCGGUUUCAGACAAUGAAACCAAACUUCAGGAAGAGAAAGUUUGAAAGUUGAUCCCAGCUGGAGUCUCCAGCGUUGUUGUCUCCUACAACGUUCAAAGGUUUUUUUAGUUUCACAAUCUCUCUCUCUUGCCUCUGACUAUAAGAAAGUGUUCUUCUUUAUGGAUUCAUGAACCGUAUGUAUAACAAUAUGAGCUAUAGUUUAGUGCAAGAUAUUCUCUUGAGAUGUUAAUUUGGUGUUUGUGAUCAGGUUUCAGGAGAGAUUGUUGGAUCCAAGAGAAGCAAGCAGGAUUAAGCUGAACUUAAUAUAGAAGUGUAAGUGGGAUAUUAUAUUGUUGAAGAUGAUUCUUAAAUGUAUCAGUGUGGUUGUCUCCAACCGAUCUUAAGCCAGUUGAUUGGUAGCCUUGAGGUGUCAAUCGAUACAAAGCUUCAAUAUUUAUUUAAGCCACUAUGUCUCUCUUACAAUCAUGGUUUAGUUGUUUGUCAAUAAUAUAUGUUUAUGCUGUGUUGGUUGUUGUAAAAGAUCUGUUGCUCUAAACUCAUCAUUAACAUUGCUGAUUUUGGACUGGCAGGUGUGGUUAAUCAGGGUUCACAUUUAUAGAGUAUGUUGUUAUACGCCGGUAAAGAUUUGAUUCCCUUUUUGUGUUGCAAUGUCUCUUUUAGAAUAUCAAUACAUGUGUAUAUAUGUACUUCAGUUACCCAUAUGUCGAUUAGUUGACACACCAUUGCUGCCUUACUGGCUCUAAAAGCUUUGUUAUGAAGGUAAUCGGCACCUGAAGUACUUCUACAGUCCUAUGUAUACACAUUAAAAGUUGGUUAGUAUCAGUUUAUGUGGUACUCCAUCAGGUUCAUUUAUUCUCGGACACUAAUCUUUUGCCUUUUACAUGAUCUUUCAGUGGCUCUGCUCUGGGAUCCAUGCAACAGACCGACUGAUGCAGAGGCUCUGUACGUUCCGUCCUUUCAGGUACACCAGAGAGUAUGUGCUUCAGACGCUAUGGCUGUUACCGUUCCUGUCUUGAUCAGUUGAUUUAACUUUUGUAUAUGAUGUUAAAUGUUGCUUUGCAAUCUUUGUAGCUGCAGAGGCUUUGUACGUUCCGUCCUUUCUUUUACUGGACAUAUUUUUUUUUAAAGAUAAUAUUAACAGUUUAUAUAUUUUGCCAAGCAGAAACUAUUUAAAUUUUAGUUAACAUUUAGAAAUGUAUAUUUUGCCCUCAAUUGAAUACAACACGAACUUCCACUAUUUUCAUUUUAUUAUUUUGAAUAGAUUAUAUGGUUAAUUCUAUUUAUAUAUAUAUUUUACUUUUGAAAAUUUUAAUUUUCAUUCUAAUUUAGUUAUAAUAGAAAGAGUCAGUUAGAAACUUAUAUAUACAUAGUCUAAACCAAUACGAAUAGGAAGAUAGAAUGUGAUAGGUACCAUGCAUUUUCAAAGAAAGACAUACAAUAGCCUUACACUAAUCACUAUGAUUUUUUUUUUCAUUAAAUCACUAAUUGCUAUGUUAUUUCUAUAGAAAAAGAGAAAUUGUCUAAAAUACCACAAGUUGAGUACUCAUUUUCAAAAAUACUAUCAAUCAAAAUAUAAUAACAUUUGGGUUUAGUAUUUGGUGAUUAUUGUUUAGAGUUUAAUAUUUAAGGGUCUGGUUUGGGUUUAUAAAUGUUUUAUAAAUAUUUAGAAAACUUAACUUAGUGUUGUUAUUUAUCACAAAUUUAGGUUAUUUUUGAAAAUAGUCAUUCAUUAGUGGUAAAUUUGAAAAUUGGUAUUAAACUUGUGGUAUAAUUAAAAUUUCUCCCUAGAAAAAGGUCUAAAUAAUUAAGUAUGUUUUUGACCAAAAGAUAAAUAAUUAGAUAUGUAGGCAUACAUAUAUACACACAGUUAAAAAACCAGAUAAAUGCUUUGGUUUAAAUGUUAACUAAUUCAUUAACUAAACCAAUUGGUUAAGCAAACCAGGUCAUUACAGUUUCAUAAAAACGGAGAAUGCUUAUGUGCCAAUUUUUUUUUCUUUGAAAAAGCUUCGGUUCAAAAUUUAAAAAAUCCAUUAACUAAAUCAAUUAGUUAAGAAAAUUGGAUUAAGUAAAUUUUGUUGGUGUUAUAUAAACAUAAAUUUUUGAAAAAUUUAAACAUUUUUCUUAAAACAUAUUACACUAUUAGUUUAUUGACUCGUCCGGACGGGCGGGUUUGCCCUAGUAAAAUAUACACAUGCGUGUGAACGUAAGAAGUUUUGAAUUGAUCAUUUAAUCUGAUUGCCAACGAAAAUUACUACCAAACGAAGAAAUUCUGGUGAGAAAUUAUUCUCGGAAGAAACCAUUUUCUAUAUCUUUUUUCGUAUACUUCUUCAUAAACCAGUUUUACAAACAUUACUUGUUAAAGUCAUUCCUAAAAUAAAAAAAAAAAAGUCAUUCCUACACCAACUAUUAUAUAUAGGUAGAAAAUGACGUUUUGAAAAUGAGUUGAUUAGUACACAAAAAAAACGACGAAAAUGAGUUGAUUUUCUGUACCUUAUAAGAACCUAACUACUAUGGUUGAAAAUUUCUUAGAAAUAAUAUUGUUGACUUCAAAUUUCAACAAUCAAAAUUAUAUAUAUACACUAGUAACACUAUUUUGGACGUGUUUUAUGAUGAAUUAUAUAUGUAUACUAGAUUUUGAUUUUUGAUUUAUUUUAUUUUAUAAAUAUAAAUUUUAGAUUAAAUUUUAUUUAAAACCCAUUUUAUAUUUAAUUAAUUGUAAUAGAAUGGGCUAGUAUGUUUCUUUUGUUUUGUACUUUGUAAAUAAGAUGCAUGUUUGAUCAAAUUACCCAAACAAAACAUAAAAAGUAAUAAGUUCAACUAAAUAAAUAAUUGAAAUAUUGGUUAACUACAAAUUUAACAACUAUUUAUUUUACUAAUUAAGGAUUAUUUUCUAAUUUAUUCAGUCAUCAUAUAAUCAGAUCUUAAUAUAACAUUUUAUAAGUAUCAUUAUAUUAUCUCGUCCUAAAAAAAAUACAAAUCUUUAAAUAUCAUUCCCGUAUUUAGCAAUAGGCAUCAUUUUUAAAAAUAUCUAAGAGAACUCUUUGUUAAUUUAUAUUUUUGUAUUUGUUAUGUAUAGUUAAUUUCCAUAGAUUUGGAAACAAUAAAAUAUGGUUGAUUUUGUAUGAAUAAUAAUAUAUUACUUUCGUAUACUUUAGAAAGUUGCUAGUUUAUAGGGAUAUUUGUUUGAGCUUUUGUCGAGUUUAUUUUGUUUAGAUUUCAUAUAAUUAGAUACUAAUUAUUUACCACUUUCAUGCUACCAUUUUUCAUUUUUACCAUCACUAAGGACUUUUUCAAAAAUAUCUUCUUAAUUAUGUGCCAAAAAACUCUUAUGCUCUUGUUCUUUAUAAAAAUAAAUAUUUAAAUAAAUAAAAAUCUAAAAAAAUAAAAAAUAAUUUCUUCAAUUUUUUUCGAAUUAUACUAUUUCGAAAUUUAAACCCUAAACCCUAAAACUCAACUCUAAACCCUAAACAUUAAUCCUAAACAUUUUUUUUUAAAUACGAACCCUAAACCCUAAACCAUCAAUCCUAAACCUUUUUUUUAUUGAAGUACGAACCCUAAACCCCGAAACAUCAACUCUAAACCCUAAACCCCGAAACAUCAACUCUAAACCCUAAACCUUCAAUUUUAAACCCUAAACCCCGAAACAUCAACUCUAAACCCUAAACCUUCAAUUUUAAACCCUAAACCCCGAAACAUCAACUCUAAACCCUAAAUCUUCAAUUUUAAACCCUAAACCCCGAAACAUCAACUCUAAACCCUAAACCCUAAACUUCAACUCUAAACCCUAAACCAUCAACACUAAACCCUAAACUAUCAACACUAAACCCUAAACCCUAAAAAGUAAACUCUAAACCCUAAACCCUAAAAAAUUAACCAUAAACCCUAAAACAUCAACUCUAAACCCUAAACCCUAAACCCUAGGGUUUAGGGUUUAGAGUUGAUGUUUCGGGGUUCAAGGUUUAGAGUUGAUGUUUCAUGGUUCAGGGUUUAGAGUUGAUGAUUUAGGGUUUAAAGUUGAUGUUUUAAGUUUAGAUUUAGGGUUUAGGGUUUACGUUUAGGGUUUAGAGUUGAUGUUUCAGGGUUUAGGUUUUAGAGUUGAUCUUUCUUGGUUUAGGGUUUAGAGUUGAUGAUUUAAUGUUUAGAGUUAAUGUUUUAACUUUAGAUUAGUUAACCAUAUGUUUUUUGUCAAAGUUACUGAAAAAGUUAUAAAUGUCUUUUAUCCUUCAUUAAAGAUGAGGUAAAAGUGGUUAUUGUAAACAUGAAAAGUGGUACUUUGAAAAUUGUAUUUUUGGUCAUUUGCCUAUAAAAUAUGGGAAAUUGCCAAAAAUACCAUUUUCAAAGUACAACUUUUCAUAUUUACACCAAUCACUUUUACUCUCAUCUUUAAUGAAGGGUAAAAGACAUUUAUAACCCUUUGAUUAGCUUUCACAAAAAAAAAACAUAUGAUUAACUAAUCUAAACUUAAAACAUCAACUAUAAACCCUAAAUCAUCAACUCUAAACCCAAAACCAUGAAACAUCAACUCUAAACCCUAAACCCUGAAACAUCAACUCCAAACCCUAAACCUUCAACUCUUAACCCUAAAACAUCAACUCUAAACCUUAAACGUAAACCCUAAACCCUAAACCCUAAAUCUAAACUUAAAACAUCAAGUCUAAACACUAAAUCAUCAACUCUAAACCCUAAACCAUGAAACAUCGACACUAAAUCCUAAACCCCGAAACAUCAACUCUAAGCCCUAAACCCUAAACCUUCAAAUCUAAACCCUAAAACAUUAACUCUAAACACUAAACGUAAACCCUAAACCCUAUAUGUUUCUGAAAUUCUAUUACUAAACCCUAAAACCCUAAACCUUCAUAUCUAAACCCUAAACAUCAACUCUAAACUCUAAACAUAAACCCUAAACCCUAAAAUCCUAAAUUUUCAAAUCUAAACCCGAAAACAUCAACUCUAAGGUUUUAGGGUUUAGGGUUUACGUGUAGGGUUUAGGGUUUAGAGUUGAAGGUUUAGGGCUUAGGGUUUAGAGUUGAUGUUUCUGGGUUUAGGGUUAAUUUUUAGGGUUUAGAGUUUACUUUUUAGGGUUUAAGGUUUAGUGUUGAUAGUUUAGAGUUGAUGUUUUGGGGUUUAGAGUUGAAGGUUUAGAGUUGAAGGUUUAGGGUUUAGGGUUUAGAGUUGAUGUUUCGGGGUUUAGGGUUUAGAGUUGAUGUUUCGGGGUUUAGGGUUCGUAUUAAAAAAAAAGGGUUUUGGAUUGAUGAUUUAGGGUUUAGUGUUCGUAUUUAAGAAAAUAGGGUUUAGCAUUGAUGGUUUAGGGUUCGUAUUUAAAAAAAAAUAGGGAUUAGGAUUAAUGGUUCUGGGUUUAGAGUUGAGUUUUAGGGUUUAGGGUUUGAAUUUCGAAAAAGUGUAAUUCAAGAAAAAUUAAAAAAAAAAUAUUUUUUAAAUUUUUUGAUUUUGAUUUAUUUAAAUAUUUAUUUAAAAUAUAUAAAGAACGAGGGCAUAAGAGUUUUUUGCUACUUUAUGAAUAAGAUAUUGGGUAAAUUACAUGUUUACCACUUUCAUGCUACCACUUUUCAUUUUUACCACCACUAAAAGGACAUUUUCAAAAAUACCUUGUUCACUAAACGGUAAAAGACUCUUAUGCCCUUGUUCUUUUUAUAUAUAAUAAAUAAAAAAAUCCAAAAAAAUAAAAAAUAAUUUUUUUACUUUUUCUCGAAUUAUACUAUUUCGAAAUUUAAACCCUAAACCCUAAAACUCAACUCUAAACCCUAAACCAUCAAUCCUAAACCCUUUUUUUUUUAAACAUGAACCCUAAACCCUGAAACAUGAACUCUAAACCCUAAACCCCGAGACAUCAACUCUAAGCCCUAAACCCUAAACCCUGAAACAUGAACUCUAAACCCUACACCCCGAGACAUCAACUCUAAGCCCUAAACCCUAAACCUUCAACUCUAAACCCUAAAACAUCAACUCUAAACCCUGAACCCUAAACUUCAACUCUAAACCCUAAACCAUCAACACUAAACCCUAAACUAUCAACACUAAACCCUAAAAGUAAACUCUAAACCCUAAACCUUAAAAAAUUAACCCUAAACCCUAAAACAUCAACUCUAAACCCUAAACCUUCAACUCUAAACCCUAAACCCUAAAUCCUAAAUCAUAAACCCUAAACACUAAAACUUGAUGUUUUAGGGUUUAGAUUUGAAGGUUUAGGGUUAUAGGUUUUACGUCUAGGGUUUAGAGUUGAUGUUUUAGGGUUUAGAUUUGAAUGUUUAGGGUUUUACGGUUUAGAGUUGAUGUUUUAGGGUUUAGAUUUGAAAGUUUAUAGUUUAGGGUUUAGAGUUGAUGUUUCGGGGUUUAGGGUUUAGAGUUUAUGUUUCAUGGUUUAGGGUUUAGAGUUGAUGAUAUAGGGUUUAAAGUUGACGUUUUAAGUUCAGAUUUAGGGUUUAGGGUUUACGUUUAAGGUUUAGAGUUGAUGUUUUAGGGUUUAGAUUUGAAGGUUUACGGUUUAGGGUUUAGGGUUAGAGUUGAUGUUUCAGGGUUUAGGGUUUAGAGUUGAUGUUUCAUAGUUUAGGGUUUAGAGUUGAUGAUUUAGGGUUUAGAAUUGAUAUUGUGUAAACAUGAAAAGUGGUACUUUCAAAAUGGUAUUUUUGGCAAUUUCCCUAAGAUAUUUUUGAAAAGUGGUACCUUGAAAUUGGUAAAAAUAAAAUUUCUCCUUGCUAGAAAUACUAUUUUCAAAGUACCACUUUUCAUCUUUACAUCAACUCUAAACCCUAAACCAUGAAACAUAAACUCUAAACCUAAACCCCGAAACAUCAACUCUAAACCCUAAACCUUCAAAUCUAAACCCUAAAAGAUCAACUCUAAACCCUAAACGUAAACCCUAAACCCUAAAUCUAAAUUUAAAACAUCAACUCUAAACCCUAAAUCAUCAAUUCUAACCCUAAACCAUGAAACAUCAGCUCUAAACCCUAAACCGCGAAACAUCAACUCUAAACCCUAAACCUAAACCUUCAAAUCUAAACCCUAAAACAUUAAUUCUAAACCCUAAACGUAAACCCUAAACCCUAAAUCUAAAUUUAAAACAUUAACUCUAAACCCUAAAUCAUCAAUUCUAACCCUAAACCAUGAAACAUCAGCUCUAAACCCUAAACCCCGAAACAUCAACUCUAAACCCUAAACCUAAACCUUCAAAUCUAAACCCUAAAACAUCAACUUUAGGGUUUUAGGGUUUAGGGUUUAGGGUUUAGGGUUUAGAGUUAAAAGUUUAGGGUUUAGGGUUUAUAGUUUAGGGUUUAGAGUUAAAUGCUUAGGGUUUAGAGUUUAUGUUUUAGGGUUUAGAGUUGAUGUUUUAAGGUUUAG